GCCGUUCGGUAUAGCACUAUUUUAGAAAUUUAAAUUUAUUUCCAGUUAGAAAACUAUUCGCUGGAAUAGCCACCAUCGUAAACCUAACUGGUUGCCGGCGAACGGCGUAAAACACCGGGCAUCUUCUUCUUCAUCGUAUUCUCCCUUCAUCUUUUGAGGUAAGCUUGUGAUUAUGAGUUUCUUCUCUGACUUAGCUUGUAAUUAUAGAUUUUGAUUUUUUUUUUUAAAUUCGUAUUGUAGCCAUUAUUGUCAAUUUUUGUCCCGCCAGCAAUAUUUUUUUAUUCCUACAAGUUGAAGCCCCUGUGUUCUUGUUCCAUUGGUGAGUUUGCUCACUCAAAUUAAUUUUGUUCUGCGGAAUUUACAAAGUUCAAAUGGAUUCAUUUGAAUUACUAUUGAAUUUAGCUUUAAUUCCAACAUCCAUUCUAAUGUUUUGCUAUUAGAUUUAGUUUAAUUUUAUGUUUAAAGCAUCUACAAUGAAUAGCGGAGCUUGGGUUUUAGUUUCAUUUUCUGGAUAACUUGUUUUAGUUUAUCUUGUAUGCUCACCAAGUGCUUGUUAUAUUGUCUGAUAAGUUAUAUACAUUGCUGAUUCUAUAUUAAUAAUGUUACGUUCUAUUUUCAGAAAUUAUAAUACAAAAGUUUUUACAAUGGCGUGCAUCUACAAACUGAAUUGACUUGUAGAAUAAGAGCUUGCAGUAAAUGAAAGUUCAUAUUGUGUAAGAGCAUGGAGAUGUAAAGCAUCAUUACCAUAUCUACAAAGUGCUUUCAUUAUGGUCAGAUGCUCUUCUUGAACUUUGAAAGGUGCCUCGUUCAAGUCCUAGCUAUAACUACUAGCUUUGAUUAAUUAAGUUCCAAUACUAGCUGAAACAGAUUUAUUUAAUUAAUUAAUUGUGUAUAUACUAAUUAUAUUGAAAGUAUAUGAAACUUUUUUUUUUUUUAAACAUGAAUGACUUCUAAAUGACUUAAAAACCUAAAGGAUGUGUGAAAUAAUGCUCAUUUCACUUGAAUGAGCCUAUUAAUACUUUCUAUGAUUGUCAAUAUUGGCUUAAGCAUUUCAGUUAAGUGGUUUACCUAACAGAGAAAAAAAUUUAAUAGAAAACUUCAGAGUUCUAACAGAAAUAUAGUUCACUCUGCAGAUAUAGUUAUUUUACGGUAUACAAAUUAAGUUGUCCUAAUCUCAAUGUCCUGUGACCGAUUUUAUUUUAUAUAGUCAUUAAUUUUUGCCAUGGUUUUUUGUGUUUAUGAGUAUGAAAUAGUGGGAUUUGGUGUACCUUAGCAUCUUUUGAAAAUUCUCUUUAAGUAUGGCCAACAGAAAUAUACAUAUAAUCAAGUUUCUUAAUUGUGUAUAUUAGUUUUGGGUACGAAUGUUCCUAUUCUAGUUCUAGACAAAGCUUCUUUGUUUUGGUCUUCAGAUUUCCAGUAGGUUAAGUUAAUCAACUAUCAUAACUGGCUAGCUACUUAUUGUCUGCCUUGGCGCCAUUACCCAGGCCAUUAUAUUGCAUAGCAUAAGGAAUAGUGAUUAGGUGAUUAUUAGUGAUUUGUUGAGCUUAUUAUUGACCAAACAAACAUAUUCGCCUUUGCCCACAACCUAGUUUGAUUAGUUUUAGACCACAAAGAGCCUUGAUCUAUUCAUUGGCUUUAUUAUUUUUAUUUGGUUUUUCUUUCAACAAUAUUUUUGAUUUCUUAUAAAAAUAUUCAUUGGUUUUUAAACACCUAGUCAUUGGCUAUAUGAAGCAAAUUAAAACUGAGGCUUUGGAUCAAUUUCUUCUAACAAGAUACAAAUGAGCAUAACCUUUCUCCUCUAAGUAAUUUUUUUUAAUAUCCUUGAUUUGUAAGGAUCUGGAGGCCUGAAAUCCUCUAGAUUUUUUUUAACACUGUCAAUGUCCUUUUUAUUCUGAAAAGGAAAUAAAAGGUUUUAUCUUUCAUACCCUAAUAGUAGGCUGGCCUUGUCUUAACAUGGCUUCUUGAGGAUUUGCAAGAUUCAUAGUUCCCCCAACACACGCCCCCCAAAAAAAAAGAAGAAAAAGAAAGAAAAAAGAAAAAAGGAAGAUUUUGCAAGAUUCACCACCAGUUUUUUUUUUUAAUUUAUUAAUUGUGUGUACGUACUAGUUAUAUGUUGAAAGAAUAGGCAGAAGUAUUUCAACAUGAAUGACAUAAAACUUAUUGCUCAGUAAACAUAAUCUGCAUCAGUGGGAAAAUGUAUUUAUCGUUUGUAUUUUUUAUGGUUUUGCUUAAGAAAUGAUAUGUGAAAUAAUGCUACAUUGUAUCAGGAAUAAAUUGAAGAGAUUUAUGAUAUUUAUGUGUUAUUCAAAUUUCAGAUUCAAUUUUAAACUUUUGAUACGUGCAUUGAAAGCUUAGACUUGUUUAAGAAAUUAUUAAUAGACACAUGUUGUAUUAGUGUCAUCUUUGGAUGAUAGUGAGGAUCAUAUGUCUAUUAAUAAUUCUUGAAUUGUCCAGGCUUGGACAGUUUGGGAAUGCAUAGUUCUCUCUGGUAGCUAGUAGCUGAAGUUUUCUUCCCACGUAAAAAUGGCUUUUUCGGUAGCUGCUCCUCGUGUUCUCUGGGUACGUACUAGGUGAAUGGGUGUCAUGUGUUGUUUUGGCAUAACGCAUAAACACUUAUAUAGCUUUGUCGUGAGCUUGGAGAAUUAUAGGGAGAUGGUGCUGAAAUUUUUAUAAACGUAGAAGAAAACUUUAGGUACUUGAGAUUGAAAAAACAUAUGCAUUCUUGAGUGGGAUAUGUAGGAUUUAUCACUUACCUUUGGUAAAUAUGAAGGGAAUGUUGACUCCUUGAAAUAUGCCCAAACCCAUGGAGUAUCUAAAUAAGUCUGAAAACCAAACACUGUUACCUACUAGACGACAAAGCAGAAAAAUUUUCUUGACUCGCUCACCUUUUAAAUAAUUGAAACUCAGCUCAAUACUUGAAUAAGUUUCUGCAGGCACAUCUUCGAAGUUUACCAUUGAAGGCGUUCGGAGCUCUCGCAAGGCAUUCUUCCAUUCAUGGAGACUCUAGUUUCUCAGUGCCCUCAACGCAAUGGGCAAACCUCCAUAUGCCUUAACUACAUUAAUUGCUGUAGACUUGAACUUACAAUUUUCAACAUCAUCACCAUUCAUUAUCUUAAACAAUCUCCAGGCUUCUUGUUCAGUUAGAUUGCCAAUCAAAAAGUUAUCUUUGGAGUCCAUACUUAAAAGCACAUUAUUAUCUCUUGCUGUCAGCAAUAGUCUACAUCCUUUAUGAUUAUUUCCAAAAGGAAUUCCAACCGUCUCCAAAUCAAGAUGUUUCCAGAUAUUAUCUAGAAUCACAAGAAUCUUAUUCUCACUCUUCAAUCGUUCAUACAGCCUACUAGCUCUUCUAUAUUCAGCUUCAUCGGACAACUCCAGACCUAACUUCUCUGCAAUUUCCCCUUGAAUCUUUUUUAUCUCUGGAGUUUAUGAAACCUCUGAUAAAACCACCCCAUAAAACAGCUUUUUUCCCUGGCUUGCCUAGCAAACUCUUUCACCAGUGUGGUCUUUCCAAUGCCGCCUAUGCCGUACACCCCAAUAAUGCUGACAUUCGCCUCCGUCAAUGCAUUUUUAAUAGACUGCAAAGUAGAAAGUCUUGAUUCGAAGGCCUCGUAACCACUGCUAGACUUAAGCCAUAUCUCCUCCGGAAUGGUACGGUGGGAAACAGUAUCAAACUUCUUAACUUCUUCUCCAAGUUCAAUAAUGGCCUUCACCUCCGUCUCUGCUUUCUUGCUAAGCUGAUAGCGACUCUUCCAAUGAGGACUCAAGCCCUUGACACAGCGCUUAUUCGUUGACUCCUCAUCUUCAAUGAAUUUGGCUGCCCGGUCAAUGAUGCCGUUCGCACUUCGCAGUAACCAGCCACUUUUCAACCUUCUCUUCAAUCUCUUCCCCUUUUUCUUUCGCCUCUGAAACCCUGCGCUGAAUGCUCGUAUGUUCAACCUUCAACUUCUCCAUUUCCGCCUUGAUAUUCUCAAAGUUGGCAUUGUAGUUCCAAAUAAACAAGUUGGCGUGCAGUUGGAGGAGCCAAGCAUUUUACAAGUUCCAAGACGAUAGUCACAAUGAUUUCCAGCAUCUCGAAUCCUGACAAAAACGUAGAAGCGAAGAAAGCCAAAGGAAAGUAAAAACAAAGAGACAGCGAUAGGACAAGCAAUUGUGUUUUUCAGAUGAGAUGAAGGAAACAAGAAAAGGGUUUCUAUCACGACGUAAAGAGCUAAAAGAGCUGAUGGGUACAGAAUAAGAAAUGAGACUGAGGAGUGAGCAAAGCUAAAUAAUAACAGAACAAGAACAAUGACGAAUAGAAGAAACAGUAGCAAAGAGCCGUUUAGAUGAUUAGAAUGAAACUAAGCGACUGGAAAUAGUAGAUGGUAGACUAAAGAGAAAGUGAUUGAUUAUUUUAGGAGGCCAAUUAACGUAAUGACAGAUCCGGUUUCGAUGUUUGUAAUUUGAGUAUGAGGUAAAUCGAUUCUUUGUCGAGCCAGUCAAAUACAAAGGCAAAUUAGUAAAACACGAGCCAGCAACUUUUACUCACACAAAAGCCAAUAAUAUAUUGAGAUCACGCAACAUUGCAAUAAAGUUAUCAUCAAGUUGUAGCCUUCUUAUUCAAUCAAUUAUGGCAUUAUCUCUAGCUCUGUAUUUUUCAAAAAAAAAAUUAUUAUUCAAAAGAUGUCUGUCAUUAAUUUUUCAAUGAUUAAAAUUAUAAUUUUUGUUUAAUAUAUAUAACGUAAAAUUUUAAAAGAAUCAGACAUGCAUUAGGGUUAAAAUAAAAAAUAUGGAGGUAGCUUUUAACUAGGUAAUUGGCUCAACUAUGGAUCAGUGUGAGAUCACUAUUUUUCUUAUUAAAAAAAAUUCCAGCCAAACAAUUGUCGCAAAAUCUUAAUAUAAAUUACAAAAAAAGACAAUAUUUUCUAAAAUCAUAGCAAUAAUUUAUAUUUUGAAUACCUGUAAAUAAACCACUUAGAAAGCUUUCGAAACACGAAUAUUGUUGUCGUUUUUAAAGACUUGACAUUUUGGGUAAUCUGAAUUAACAAUGCACAUCACUUGUUUGUCACAAUGUCCAAAUAAAUAAUUUUAAAAAAAAGUUAUUUUCAUUCUUUCUUUUCAGGUAUCCUAAUUCCUUUUGCAGUUUGAUUCCUCUUUUCCUGAAUUUCACACAGCGCACCCACAUUUUUUGACCAUGUGCACCUCCCCCUAUUUCUAUUAAAAAAUCAACUAAUCUAACUGUUUAGGCUGUUAUAAAUUUAAAAGACUAUACUACCCUUAUUUUGAAUGAAUUGGGUAUAUAAGUACUAAAAUACCCUUACAACUAAUAAAAUUUAAAUCAAAAAGUAAAAAUUUAUUAUAAUAUUUUUAAAUUUAUAUGUAUACGAUUUUUUCCCGGAUUACAAACCCAAGAUUAUAAACCUAGUAAAUUACAAAAUCAGAGGCAAAGCAUGAUUCCAAUGUGAAAGAAAAAAAUCAAACACACAUUCAUCAGUACAUUACAAAAUAAAUCCGAUAAUCCCACCAAAACAAAUAAAACCCAAUAGAAAGAAACCCUAAACUAAUGAUACCAAAAUCCCUGAGAGCAAAUUUCAUUGUAAAAUUCUAUUACAAAAUAAAUUCAUACUAAGAAAAUUCAAUAAAAAGAAACCCAAUAAUCAAAAAUCUUAAAACUAAAGAUAUCAAACCCAAAAUUAAAUUAUAGAGGUGGCGAAAGAAAAAGGGUUUUUUUAAUUAUAUAUAUUAUUUUAAUCUUGUGUUAAUUACCAUUCUACCCUUCUUUCCGUUAACAUUAGAUUUGAAAGAAAUGAGGGUGGUGGACAUGGUCUGUAGAUUGGGGGCACAAUGCAAAAUGUCAAAACAAUUGGGGCUAAUGCUAAAUUACACAUUAUUUAAAUUAAAUUAUCCUAAUUGUAUUUUUAUUAAUUAAUUAACAAUUAGUUUCAUUACUAUGAUAGUUUUGUCACUAUGUUUGUUACCAUCUCUCAAAAAAAAAAAAAAUUACUUUUACAUGUCGAAUUGUGUAACAACGAUUUAAUGAAAAAUUAGAAAACAGCACGACAUCUCGUGGCUUAACAUGGUCAUCAUGAAUAUCCCUUAUUAUUAAAAAAUGAACAAACAAACUCUUUUUUAAUACAUGUAGUCCUUUUUUUUAUAUUUCAAAAUAGUUAAACAGAUCCUGAAUUUGUGUGUUCCUCAAUAAAUUUUCAUGAUCAUUUUUUAAAAUAAGGGAUUUUUGUGAUUAUUUUGCCACGUCCAAGGAUGCCGCUGUUCUUGUCACCAAAAAUUAUUCUCAUAAGAGUCAUGAUUAAUUGGACGUCAGCAAUGAGGGCAUGUAAUGAAAAAAAUUUGUUUUGCAUGGGAUCCAAUAAUUUUAAUUACAAUGGUGGUGACAGACCCAGCUGGAAAAUCAACUGAUUUUAGAAUUCUGUUGAAAAUUCUUUAAAUGAUCACUAUAUCUCUAGUUCGAUUAUAUCCUUAAGCUCAUUGAUUCUUUUGUAUUGAUUUUGUUACUUCUUUUCUAAGAAAUAUUAUAAGAACUGCUCAGGCUGUAAGAUUGAUAAGCUUAAAGAGUCGGAACGAGGCUUACCAGUUCGUAAGCUUUUAAUUAUUUGGAUUGCUGUGCUUGCAACUGGUAAAUUUUUCAACUUCAACUCGAUAUAAUGAUUUUGGAGAGAACCAUUUACAGUGAUUUUCAAUUCUUUUGUGAUUUUUUUUUUCAGUUCUGCCAGUCUCAUCUCUCUUUCCCUUCCUUUAUUUUAUGGUGAGUGGAUUAUUAUUGCCUUCAGCGCAGUGGUUAUUAGUGAGAAAAUUUAUAUUUUCCUAUCAAGCUUGGUGAUUUUCUGAGAAAUAUAAGAAAAGACAAGUUUUAUAUGUCAAAUAAUUCAUUGCUUUUUCACAGCAGUCAUUUAUGAUUUCUUUUCAGAUUAGGGAUUUUCACAUUGCAAAAAGGGAGGAAGAUAUUGGAUUCUAUGCUGGUUACGUGGGUGAGUUAUUCUAUGUUUUUUUUUAUCGUAUUUAAUAAAUGACACACAGUAUGGAGUCCGUCUUGGGUACGAAUGUCCACACCUUAUAAAGUGCUGACUCACGCCUUUACAACUCUGGGAAGACAUUCUACCGAGACUUUACAUCACUGUAAACGCACUGUACAAGAGCUUUACAAUACGGACCCGCGUCUUUACAACUUUAAAGGGCCAAGUCUAUGCUUUAAAAAGUACAUAUGUUCGCACCUGGAAACGAUUUACAUAUGUAUGUAUAUAUGUAUAUAUGUAUGUAUGUGUGUGUAUAUAUAUGUAUGUAUGUAUGUGUGUGUGUGUGUGUGUAUGUAUGUACGACCAAUAAAACAGUUCAAAUUCCUCGAGAAGUUAUCCUAACAAGCAUCUUAAUACCUUGAUGAAAUUGAAGGGUCUUAAUACAUGCUUGGCAGAGCUCUAACAUCUGUUUUGUGGGGAAUGGUGGCUGACCGCUGUGGUCGAAAGCCUGUAAUAAUAAUAGGAAGCAUCACAGUGUUAGUGACUUCUAUUUUCAUAUGAUCAAGCUUGAAAUUGAUGAUACUUCGGCAAUUUCUGGAUUUCUUGUCUGUCUUAAAAUGCUCACAGGGUUAUUUUUAACACUCUUUUUGGGCUUAGUGUGAAUUUCUGGAUGGCCAUAGCUACAAGGUUUCUCCUUGGGGCUUUGAAUGGUUUACUUGGACCAAUAAAGGUAUUGAUUGGGGGUAUUUGUUGAUAAUUCCAAUUUAAUUCCUGCAAAUAUUUGUGCUCAAACUUCUCUUACACCACGAGGCAUAUGCAUGUGAAAUAUUGCGCGAUCAGCACCAAACUUAUUACGAAACCAAAAAUGUUACUUGUUUUCUGUACUUGCUUUCGCAUGCAUCACCCCCACAAAACUGCUUGACGAUUGUCCUCAUUUUGAACUUACUAUAGGUUUCAUUCUCCUUGUUUUUCAACUUACUCUGUACCCUUACGUCGAGAGGAUUAUUGGGCCAAUAAUCAUAACACGAAUUGCAGGGGGUAAUAUUUUGAACACCUCAUGCGGCAUUUGGACCAUUUGAUAGUUUGUUUCAAACAUAUCUGUUUAUAAAAUACUUUUCUUCAUGGUUUUGGUCCCAUAACUUUCUAUGUAUGUACAGGUUUUAUCGAUACCGCUUUUGACAAGUUACACUUACAUAGCAAUGCUAUCUGGGUUCAGCCUUGCCUUUUUGAUAAACUGUGCUUCUGUGAUGAAGAAUGUUUUAUCUGUAAGUGGAUAUCCUAAUCAUUGAUCCAUAUACUAAGGUUAUAUUAUCCAUCAGCAAGUAUGUAUAAAAUUAUUUUGUCUUUUUUAUUAGAAUUUUUGUAAUUCUUUUUUACUUUUCCUGAAUUGUAGCAUCAGGUGUCUAUAAUAACUGGAUCGUUCCUUCUGCAAAUCAGAGCAGUGGUAAAUAUAUUUUCUUUUGUUUGUUUAGUACAUUUCCAUGCUUUCAGCUUUUUCAAAUUUUGUAUGUGCCAAAGUUUAAAUUAAUUGGUUGGUUUAUGGUAUAAUAACAGGUAUGAUAAUUUACUAAUGAAAUUUCUCACUAGUUUGUGAAUUACUUGGUGCUAAUUAGCUUAAUCAGCUGCUUAAACUAAAGUGCAGGUAACCAGAUGAUUUUUUUCAUUCUGAAUUCGGUGGAGGCACUUGGAGUAAUAUUGACAUUCAAACCGUUUCUAACUCAACGUGCCCCGUGAGUGGAGAAAAGAUGCAUCUGUUGAAAUAUUCAAAUAUAUAUCAAGCAAAUUAAAGCUUUCAAAAUCUUUCAACAAUUUGAUUGUUUGAUGUGGUUGCCACUUGCCAUAUUUUGUGUUACUUUUCUAAAGGCUUAAAUAUGAAAAUGGUUGUUGGUGCUCACGCCAAUUGAUUGCUGGUAACAUUAAUUGUGCAGUACUUGUCAGAACUACCACAAUUUAUCUUCACAAUGAUGCUAGCUAGAAAGAAAAUUUCAUGUUAAGUAAAAUAUUGAAGCCAUAAAGAGUCUUAUUCCAGAGCCUCAUUAAGUACUAAGUUUUCUGCCAUGCUUUCAAAGUUUACAAAUUCGAAGCUUGGGGAUUCUGUAACAAUGGAGGAUAAAAAUUAUAUAAGAAUAUUUUUUGUACAAUUUUCAUACGACCAGACAGAAGCGAGCAUAAUUUUUUGAUCAUAACUCAGAUCAAAAGACCUUCAAUGAUGUAUAAUAUGCACAUAAAGCUAGCUCAGAACCAGACAUUAAAACUUAUGAUGAAAGGGAAACAUAGAUGUUGAGAUUGAAAACAUAGAGAAAUUUUUUUAAAAAAUCUGAAAUUUUAUUAAUAGAAGUUUGAAUAACAAAAUUAGGGUAUUGGACCCUUUUUAUACAAAUUCUAAAUAUUAUGUAUUUAUCAAAAUAGGCAAACUUGAAAUAUUAUUACAUAAUAACGUUCUCCUAACUGAAAUAAAAAAAAUAAAACAAAUCAUACUUAAAAUCUUAUAUUUAGAGAAAAAAUAUAAAAAUAUUGAAAAUAAUAAGAAAAAUAAGAAAAUAACUUAAACUUUGUAAAAUAACUACGAAAUAAACAGAAUUUCUUGCCGAAUAGAUACCCGCUCAAGUUAUGAUCUAGGAGUGAUAUCCUACUCAUCCUAUGCAACCAUCAGCUGCAUCAACUUCAUUCCAAAAUUAACAAAUAAACCAACUGACGCAUUGCAAAUAAUAAGAUGAAACGAUAAAAUAAACCUAGAGAUCAAACAACACAAGGUAAUAUAUUAAAAAGCCUAUGGGAUCAAAACACAUCGUACUAUGUCGAGAGAGAUGACGACUCCUCCAACAGCAGAAAAUAAAUUCUUUCAUUCAUUAAUUUAAAGUAAAUUUGGUGCUCCAUCUUCUUCUCCGUCACCUAUUACCACCUCUGUCAUUGCCCUGCAUCCAGCUACCUUCAUUGAUACGAGCCGCACUAGACUUUCUGCUGUAGUGGACGGAUGUUACAAUUCCUUGCAAUGGAAAAUCAACAGUUCUGUUAGAUUCCCAAAAGAUAUAGAUGAUCAUGGGAAUAGACUUAAAUGCUUGUAAAAUAGUCGUAGAAUGUCAAGAUAUUUAAAAUGGAGUCCAGUUUGGAGUUGCUUCAAUGAUUAAGUCUGGACAGGAUUAACCAUUUUAUCAGUGCCUACUUCCCCACUUGUUUUUAGCAGUAUCCGGCUUGAUUUAAGAAUCUCUUUGUAUGAACUAUAUUACCCAAAAAAAAAAAAAAUCUUAUUUCAAAUGAUGCACAGGAGAAGAGUUACUUGAAUCUUCAUCAGUAUCCAGACAUUCUACAAUCACAGAGUAAAGAGUUCUAGCAGGAAAAACUGAGAAAACAACGUACUUCUAUAGUUUUUCACAAUAUUUCCAACGUUUUCAAACAAUAUUUCCACAAUAUAGUUUUUCAUAGCGAAGAGUUUUGCUUUGGUGGUCUAAGGAUUUGUUCUAGGCAUAAUGCUCUGAUUAGAUUUUGUUUAUUUUUAAUUUUUUAUCCGAUGAAUGAUUUUCAGCUGGUCUUAAUUAUGUGUUCAUAGGGAAGAGCAUUUGGAAAGAUCAUCAAAAAAAAAAAAAAAAAAAGUUUCCAAAGAAAGAUAGGUGUGAAGCAAACCAAACUAAAUGAACAAACUAAAAUAACAGAACAGCAAUGAUGUUUUCAAGGAAUUAUAAAAUAUGAAGGCUUUUAAUGAAAUUUUAUCAUACAAAGUAUGCAAGGAAUUAUAAAAUUUUAGAAAACAAGGGGAACUCUCAAAAAAAGAAAAAAAGAAAAAAAUACUCAAAUUAAACUAGACUAGAAGACAUUCAAUGAUGCAAAAUCUGUCCACAAAAGUCUGAACGAAUCAUUAAAAUUGCAUUCCAAAUUUAACAGUAAGCCGAUUGACCCAUUCUAAAUAAUUCAUAUGAAAUUGCGAAACAAGCCAUGAGAUCAAAUAAAUGAAAUAAAAAAUAAUUACCAGCUGAGGCUUUCUUCUAAAAUUCACAACUCCCAAGUCAUAAGAAGCCUAUGAAAUUAGUACUGGGUAGAGAUCGCCGACUGCACCGCCAACAGCUGAAAAUAAAAUUCUUAUUCAUCAAUUUAAACUUUUACUUUAUAACAAAUAUCUUAUCUAUAUUUUAUUAAAAAAAAAAAUUGUAAAAUGUUUCCAUGGGAGAUAGAGAGUACUAUGUAUAUCCGUACCUUUUCAGCAUGUAAUUGUUGUAUGGUUGUGUUUAGAUCAUUAUUGGUCCAAAGCAAUCGAUCCUCUGUCUCUCCAUAGCAGACGUUUACUCUUGGAGGCGUGAUUGAUUCUCCUGUAGUGAAAAUCUUCAUCUUGGGACAACCAAUCACCCACAAAUCUUGCAAAGAUGGGAAUUUGAAGGUGUAGUUGGCAGAGCUGAAACUUGUGAAGCUAUCUAAAUCAAACAGUUCCAACGUCUUCAAUUUGCUAAAAACAAUCUCUUCUUUUUCAACUCCAUCUUUGUCAUUUAUUACCACCUCUGUCAUUGCUCUGCAUCCACAUACUUGCACUUUGACGAGUUGCACUAGAGUUUUUGCUGUGGAGGAUGUUACCAAGUGUAUCAAUCCCUUGCAACCGAAAGCCACCAGAGCUGUUAGGUUCUGAAAAGAUACCGAUGAUGAUGGCAAUAGAAUUAACAGACUUUGACAAUGAUGUACUUUUAGAAUUUCAAGAUACUGAAAAAUGGGGCCAAGUUUGGAGUCUUGUUUGCACAGCUGCUUCAGAUGAUAGUGCCGGUUCAGCUGUAAUUUUUUUAUCAUUGCCAACUUCCCCACAUGUUUCUCUAAGCUUCCUUCCUCCGAAAAUACCUCUUCGUUGAAUGAAAAAAAACACAGUAUGAGCAUUUCCAGAUUGUGAAAUCUCUCCAGUACGUUCCAGACUGGAAAACAAGCUGAGUCAUCUCCAGCAAUCUCUAGUUGUUUAAGACUGCCAAAAAGGUGUUGUGGGAAAUCGGCCUGCAAAAUCAUCUUCACAUCUUUUCCACUUAGUGAUAGUUCCUUCAAGUUGGGUACGAUCUGAUCAUCAUCAAUCAUAAUAACUAAUGAGGUCAAUUGAUGAUCUACGGUCACACGCAGUGACUUUAUAGUAUUUGUUUUAUAUUAUAUUUUUUUAAAAAAAUUGAAUUAUUGAUAAAAUUUAUUUUAUAUGUUAAUUUUAGAGGUAAAAAAGAAAUUAGGGAAAAAAGGUUGAUUUAUACUGGCUCGAAAUUAUUUUAUUGCACAAUAAUAAAUUACUAAUUUAUUUUGUAAGUUCUUCUAUAUGGAAAGACUAAGGAUUCUUUUAUAAAUGCUAUACCUAAAACAGUUCAUAUAAUUAUUAAUCUACCACAUUGAUCUCUUAGGUAAUGUUUAUAUAAUUAUGGCAAGGCAUGAUUAAAUUGAUCAUUUGUUUGGUAACAACUUUAUUAAUCGGGUUCUGGCAGAUUUUCUUGGUCACAAAAGCGUCAAGAUGCUGGUUUCCUCCCAGGUAUGAUGAUAUACUAAUGAAAAUUCCCACUAGUUUGUGAGUUGCUUUGUGCUAAUUAGCUUAAUUAGCUGCUUAAAUUAAAGUGCAGAUAACCAGGUGAUUUUUUUCAUUCUGAAUUUGGUGGAGGCACUUGGAGUAAUAUUGACAUUCAAACCGUUUCUAACUCAACGUGCCCCGUGAGUAGAAAAGAUGCUCUGUUGAAAUAUUCAAAUAUCUAUCAAGCAAAUUAAAGCUUUCUAAAUCUAUCAACAAUUUGAUUAUUUGAUGUGGUUGCCACUUGCCAUAUUUUGUGCUACUGUUCUAAAGGCUUAAAUAUGAACAUGGUUUUUGGUGCCCACGCCAAUUGAUUGCUGGUAACAUUAAUUUAUCUUCACAAUGAUGCUAUCUACAAAGAAAUUUUCAUAUCAAGUAAAAUAUUGAAGCCACAAAGAGUCUUAUUCCGGAGCCUUAUUAAGUACUAUGUUUUCUGCCAUGCUUUCAAAGUUUACACAUUCGAAGCUUGGGGAUUCUGUAAUAAUAGAGGACAAAAAUUUUAUAAGAAUAUUAUUUUGUACAAUUUUCAUACAACUGACAAAAGCAAGCAUAAUUUUUUUAUCUUAACUCAGACCAAAAGACCUUCAAUGAUGUAAAAUAUGCACAUAAAGCUAGCUCAGAACCAGACAAUAGAACUUAUGAUGAAACGGAAACAUAAACGUUGAGAUUAAAAACAUCGAGAAACACCCUUUCAAAAAAAAAAAAAAAAAAUCGAGAAACACAGCUUUUGAAAAGUCUGAAAUUUUAUUAAUAGAAGUCUGAAUAACAAAAUUAAGGUUUUGAACCCUUUUUAUACUAAUCCUAAAUAUUACGAAUUUAUUAAAAUAAGCAAACCUGAAAUAUUAUUACAUAAUAAGGUUCUCCUAACUGGAAUAAGAAAAAUAAAAUAAAUCGUAUUUAAAAUCUUAUAUCUAAAAAUAAAAUAUAUAAAAAUCUUGAAAAUAAUAUGGAAAAAUAAGAAAAUAUCUUAAACUUGUAAAAUAACUAUGAAAUAAACAAAAUUUCUGGUUGGACCAUGAGGCCAAUAGGGUGUCAUAGUAUUAGAUUAAUGGUAUAUUAUACGCCCUAGAUAGAUACUAUAGCUCAAUUUAUGAUCUCGGAGUGAUAUCCUACUCAUCCUAUGCAACCAUCGUCUGCAUCAACUUCAUUCCAAAAUAAACAAUAAACGAAUUGACGCAUUGCAAAUAAUUUAGAUGAAACGAUAAAAUAAACCUAGAGAUCAAAUAAAAUGAAAUGAAAAUGAUAGUUACCUCGGACUUUCUUCUUCAAAUUUCGCAGCACUAUGUAAUAAAUUAAAAAGCCUAUGGCAUCAGAACAUAUCGUACUGCGUCAAGAGAGACGACGACUCCUCCAACAGCUGAAAAUAAAUUCUCUCAUUCGUUAAUUUAAAGUAAAAUUUGUAAAUUUAGGUACUUGCUGAAGAAACGUGUUUUCAUUUCUUAAAUAAAGCAUUAUACAUUGAGAGUUAUUUAUAGAUGCAGAGGCUACAUUUUUUCAAAGAUUACAUAUGUGAAUACGGAAGGAAAUGUGUCAAUCCGUUCGGCGCGAAUCAUCCGUUCGGCGCGAAUCUUGUCUUUGACAAGUGCAGAUUACCCCUUUGACAAGUGCAGAUUCUGUCUUUGAAAGCUUCAUUCAAUGUCGUUUUAUUUGAUUUUCAACACUCCCCCUCAAGCUGGUGCAUAGAUGUCUUUCAUACCCAACUUGUCUAGGAAUUUUGUAAAUGCCCUGCUUGAAAUGGCCUUCGUUAAAAUAUCUGCAAGUUGAUCUUCUGAUCGAAUUUUCGGCAGUUCUAAGAUUUUUUCAUCUAAUUUCUCCUUGAUGAAAAAUCUAUCUACCUCCACAUGUUUUGUUCGAUCGUGUUGAACUGGGUUAUGAGCAAUAUCUCGUGCAGCUUUGUUGUCACAGUAUAGUUGUAUUGGUUGUUGUGAUGGAUAGCCCAUAUCGUUUAAGAUAAAACUUAUCCAUAGCCCUUCACAUAUCCCAAGGGCCAUGCCUCGAUAUUCUGCUUCAGCGCUCGAACGGGCAACGACAUGUUGUUUCUUGCUUCUCCAUGUGAUAAGGUUUCCUCCCACAAAGGUAAAGUAUCCUGAAGUAGAGCGUCUAUCACUAACUGACACGGCCCAAUCUGCAUCAGUAUAAACUUCUAUGUUGCUGUAAUCUUCAUUUUUGGAAAGUAAGAUUCCUUUUCCUGGAUUUGUCUUCAGGUACCUCAGGAUCCGCAUUACUGCUUUCAUGUGUUGUUCUCCGGGAUUAUGCAUAAACUGGCUUACAACACUCAAUGCAUAAGCAAGAUCUGGCCUUGUGUGGGACAAGUACAUCAAUCUUCCAAUCAGCCUUUGAUAUCUUCCUUUGUCUACUGGAACUUGGUCUGAAGUAAUACAAAACUUCAGUCCUUCUUCUAUUGGGGUGUCAAUAGGCUGACAAGCUGUCAUUCCCGUUUCGUGCAAUAGAUCUAAGGCAUAUUUCCUUUGAGACAGAAAGAUUCCUCCCUUAGAUCGAGAAACCUCAAUUCCAAGAAAGUAUUUUAAGGCACCUAAAUCCUUCAUCUCAAACUCUCUUGACAAGUACUUAUGAAGAGCCUCUGUUUCUUCCUCGUCGUUGCCUGUAACUACCAUAUCAUCCACAUAGACAAUAAGGGCAGUGAUUUUACCUUGUCGUUUUUUAAUGAAUAAGGUAUGAUCUGAAUUGCUUUGGUUAUAUCCAAAACGAACCAUAGCCUUUGUGAAUUUCCCGAACCAUGCUCUUGGGGAUUGCUUCAACCCAUACAAUGAUUUCUUCAAUUUGCAUACUUUCUGAUUGAGUCGUUCUGGUCCACUGCAUCCUGGUGGCAGAUCCAUAUAAAUUUCUUCAGACAGGUCUCCAUGGAGGAAAGCAUUCUUUACAUCGAACUGUUGCACUGGCCAAUCCAAGUUGACUGCUAAUGAUAAUAAGAUACGAAUAGUAUUAAUUUUUGCUACCGGUGCAAACGUAUCAGUAUAAUCAAUCUCGUAGGUUUGGGUGUAACCCUUAGCUACGAGUCUUGCUUUGUAUCGUUCAAUAGAGCCAUCUGCUUUGUAUUUUAUAGUGUAGAUCCAUCGACAACCCACUAGUUUCUUUCCUGGUGGAAGAUCAACUAGUUCCCAUGUUUGAUUUUUCUGAAGAGAUCUCAUUUCAUCAUUCAUAGCCGCUUUCCACUUUGGAUCUUUUAAAGCUUCCUGCACACUGUUAGGAAUAGAUACAGCAGAUAAUUGAUUCACAAAUGACUGAUUUGAUUCUGACAAGCAAUGGUUAGACACAAAAUGACUUAUAGGGUAUUUGACUAUACUAGAGAAGUCAGGCUCAUAUGUGGGUUUAGGGAUACCUCUAUUUUGACGCUGGGGAAGAAUUCUUCUGAUUGGACUUGUGGUAGGAACAUCCUCUGCAGACGAUUGGUUAGGUAUUUCUUCAUGUGACUCAUUCUCGAUUGCAGUUGUGUCUGAGUUAUUGUGCUCCCCAAAUGUGUCUUCACAUAUCUUAGCCUGCGAAUUAUCACCAUUUGCUUUUCCAGUAUCUUGAAGGUUUACUAUCUCAAUGGAAGAUUGACUUUCUUCAGGUGGAAGAUAUGUAAGAGUAUGAAUUUCCUCUUCAUUAUACUCCCCCUGAAAUUCAGACUCUGACAAGUAGUACAUGAUAUCUUCAUGAAAAACGACAUCCAUGGUGAUGUAUAUUUUUCUUGAUGGUGGAUGAUAGCAUCGGUAUCCCUUUUGAUGUAAGGCAUACCCUACAAACACACAACGUAGUGCUCGAGGAGAUAAUUUUUCUUGUUGCGGCAAAUGAACGAAGGCAACACAGCCAAACACAUGUGGGGGCAGAUUCGGCACAUUUGGUGACAUAAUUGCAUCAUUCAGAACUUGGAAAGAAGUCUGGAAUCCAAGGGAGCUUGAAGGUGUUCGAUUGAUCAAGUAUGUUGCGGAUGCCAGUGCUUCUCCCCAAUAAGAUAAUGGCAUGUGGGCUUGGAUUAGUGAUGCUCGAACAACUUCUAGUAAAUGUCUGUUUUUUCGUUCAGCAACGCCAUUUUGUUGGGGUGUCCCCACACAAGUGGUUUGAUGGACAGAUCCUUGUGAUUUCAAAAACUGUUGAAUUGCUGUGCUCAUAUACUCGCCUCCAUUAUCAGUAUGUAGAACUCGAAUUUGUGUCUGAAAUUGAGUUGUCACCAUCUUAUGAAAUCUUUGAAAUAAAGAGUUUACUUCGUCUUUCGAUUUCAUCAGAAAAAUCCAUGUCAUUCUGCUACAAUCAUCAAUAAAUGUAACAAACCAACGAGCACCUCCAAUUGUAGAAACUUUAGAUGGCCCCCAUACAUCAGAAUGUACUACCAUAAAAGGAACUGGAUUUUUAUUUAAGGACAAUGGAAAAGUAGUUCGAUGGCUUUUUGAAAGUUCACAAACAUCACAUUUAAAGUUACAAACAUCAAAUUUCAGAAACAAACUAGGAAAUAAUUUUUUUAAGUAACCAAAUGACACAUGCCCUAAACGUCUAUGCCAUAACCAAAUUUCUGAUUUCCCUUUUUUUAUGGAACUAUCUGCGACUAGUGCAGGGCUUAGCUUUCCAGUGUUUGUUGAUGACAUCUCCAAGUAGUACAAGUUGCCUCGUCUAAUACCAUAACCAAUCGUUUGCUUCGUUUGGAUGUCCUUAAACACACAAUGAUCAGGCCAAAAAAUUACAACACAUGAUAAGUAAGUGGUUAAUUGAGACACAGAUAAAAGAUUAUAAUCUAAAGAUGGAACAAUUAACACAGCGUCUAAAUUUAAUUCAUUUGUGAGUCGUAAAGAUCCUUCCCCAAUAACUGAGGUUGUGGUUCCAUUUGCAGUGGAAAUAUGUUUUUGUGAAGAUGGUUUCAAUUGAGAAACUUGUCGAGAAUCAAAAGUCAUAUGAUCAGUUGCCCCAGAAUCAGUUAUCCAUGUACUAUUAAUAACAGGUGUAAGAGUUUUAAGGGCCUUACCUGGACUGACAGAGGUUGCGAUUUGCACUGAAGAUUCUUUUUUAAGAUCUGUAGUGGAUGUGGAUUCAGCUACUGCAGUUUUUGAUCCAUGCUUGGUGUUCUUCUUUCGAGUAUCCCACCAGUCAGGAUAUCCAAUGAUUUCAAAACAUUGUUCUUUCGUAUGACCCUUCUUUCUACAAUGAGUGCAAUGGAGUGAUGACUUGUCAACAAACUUCCUUUGAGGUUGCUGUCGUGCUAUCAUAGCAGACGUUUCUGAGUCGACCUUCUUGUUUAGUUUGCUUUGCCAUAUAUCUUCUCUUCGGAUCAGAGAAUAACAUUCUUCUAAGUCUGGAAUAAUGUCUUUUCGUAGAAUUUCUCCACGAACUUGGUCAAAUUCUUCAUCUAGCCCAGCAAGAAAAAUGUGCACUCUCAAUCUUUCAACAGACCUUCUGUAUAUUACAACAUCUUCUGGAUCCUUCAUGACCACUUUAUCUCGGUGAUCAAGUUCUCGAAAUAUUUCGACCAAUUCUCCAUAGAAUUUAGAGAGUGGUUGUCCAUUUUGCUUGGUAGAGAAUGCCUUUUGGUUUAGAGUGAAAACUUGUAAUUCAUCGCUUCCAUCAUAGAAGGCUUUUGAUAAUGCAUCACAGAUUUCGUAGGCUGUAGAAAUUCGUAAAUAUUGCUUCAUGAUCUCCGGAGACAUGGAUAUGAGUAACAAUCUUUUUACUUUUUGGUUCUCACUAUACCAUUUCUCAUAUUCCUUUUAAGAUUCCUCAAAUGGCUUUGUGCUGCUACGAAUAUAUGAGAGUUUUUCUCUUUCUGCAAGAUGCAUUUCCAUUAUUUGAGACCAAACAUCGUAGUUUGUCUCAGUGAGGAUAAUUCCAGCAUUAAAUACUCCAUCAGAUUGAACAGAUUGAAUGACAACAGGACUAGAUUCAGUUGGAGUUUUCUCCAUUUUUUUUGUUUUUGUUUUUUUUUUCUUUUUCUUUUUUCUCUUUUUUUUCUUUUUUUUUGUUUUCUUUUUUUUUUUGUUUUUUUUCCCGUCUAGAUUGAAAGAAGAAAAAAAAAAUAACCUUUUUAGGUAACAAAACGACAGGUCGUUUAGCCACUGCUUACCAAACCGACAUGUCGGUUAUGGUGGAAUAUAAACGACAUGUCGUUUUACUCCUGCUGCACUUCUGGAAACUAAGCGUCACGUCGUUUUAUCUCUAAUUUAGAAAAGACAUAUCGGUUUUAAUAUAACACAAAACGACACGUCGGUUUUUGACUGCUGCACUUCUGAGAUAAAAAUGACAUGUCGGCUGACGUCUUCUUCAACCUCUGGAGCGCGUGAGGGCGCGUGAAUGAUGACAGAGGUGCGUGGUUGACUGGCCGUGGCUUCGGUUGGCGCGUGGGAGCGCGUGGGAAUGUGUUUAAAUGCGAAAGUUUUACAGUUUCCUCACUAAAAACUGAGAAAUUUUAUGGUGUUCUUGGUUUUGGACGAACACACUCUCGGAAAAUUGAUGGGAUUGUUGAUAAAUUUGUAAACUCAAGUUUUUUACGUAUUGGUGGCUUGUUUCUUGAUCGGCAUGGAUAUCUGUAAUGGUAGGAAUGGGUUUAAGAAAGAAAAUGGUGGGAAAAAUGGUUGUGGGAGGAAUUUGGUUUCCUCUGUUUUUGUUACAAACAGAGCAACGGAACUUGAAGAAACUUGAGCGUAUUCAUGGCUCUGAUACCAUGAAGAAACGUGUUUUCAUUUCUUAAAUAAAGCAUUAUACAUUGAGAGUUAUUUAUAGAUGCAGAGGCUACAUUUUUUCAAAGAUUACAUAUGUGAAUACGGAAGGAAAUGUGUCAAUCCGUUCGGCGCGAAUCUUGUCUUUGACAAGUGCAGAUUAACCCUUUGACAAGUGCAGAUUCUGUCUUUAAAAGCUUCAUUCAAUGUUGUUUUAUUUGAUUCUCAACACUUGCACAUAGAGAUUUGCAAGGGGAGCGAGAGAUUCAAUAGCAGCAAUUUAAUUUGACGGGACUUUCAUUGAAUAAUGAAAUUAAAAACUAACGAUUAUUGAAUUUUUUAUAUUCUCUUAACUCUUGUGGAAAUGUCAGCUCUAAAUAGGACAGCUUCAAGAAUCUUUAUCUGAAAGUGUAAUUGGCAGAGCAGAAACUUGUGACACUAUCUAAAUCACAAAGACUCAACGUCUUCAAUUUGCUGAAAACAAUCUCUCGUUUUGAAUUUACAUUUGGAGCUCCAUCUUCUUCUUCGUCACCUAUUACCAUAUCUGUCAUUGCCCUGCAUCCAGCCACCUUCACUGAUACGAGCCGCACUAGACUUUUAGCUGCAGUGGAUUUUACAAUUCUUUGCAAUGGAAAACCACCAGUUCUGUUAGAUUCCCACAAGAUAUAGAUGAUCAUGGCAAUAGACUUAAAAGAUUUUUACAUGCAGUAAUAUACUCUUAAGUGGUGUUUGGUUGGGAGGAGAGAAUAGAAGAAAGGAAAGUAAUUUAAAUGCUCUUUUUAUUUCCAUUAUUUGGUUUGACAAAAUAGAUAAGAAUUUAAUUUCCAUUAGAAUUUGAAUUCCACACCAAGUAGUGAAAAAUUUAAAUUCCUCUUAUGUUAAAAACUAAAGUUUCCAAAAUUAUCCUUCAAAUUUUUAACUUGUUUAAUGUCAUUAAUAAUUAUUAUUUAUAAUUUUAUUUUAUUGAUUUAAUAUUAUAAAUAGACCUCCACCGGUAAGUCGCCGGACCACUGUCGGACUUCACCGGACCACCGCUGAACUUUCGCCAGACCAUUGCCGAACUUCCACCGGAAAGUCGCCGGACUUCCACCGGAAUAUAGUUUUUCAUAGCGAAGAGCUUUACUUUGAUGGCUUAAGGAUUUGUUCUAGGCAUACUGCUGUGAUUAGAUUUCGUUUAUUUUUAACUUUUUUUAAUCUUUUAUCCGAUGAAUGAUUUUCAGCUGUUCUUAAUUAUUUGUUCAUAGGGAAGAGCAUUUUCUAAGUACUUCCUUGCCUUCUAAGUUUCCGAAGAAAGAUAGGUGUGAAGCAAAGCAAACCAAACCAAAUGAACAAACAGAGCACAAACUAAAAUAACAGAACAGCAAUGAUGACAAUAAAUAAUUGGCAAAAAAAGAAAAGAAAAAAGCAUGCACAUUUUCAAGGAAAUAUAAAAUAUAAAGCUUUUAAUGAAAUUUUAUCAUAAAAAGUAUGCAAGUAUUUAACAAGAUGUUUGGAACGAUAGAAAAUGAAAGAAAAUUGAUUAAGAAGAUUCUGGAACAAUCAUAAUUCUUAUUGAUGAAACUGAUCAAAAUCGUACAUUGUGAACGAGCUCAGCACUAUUUAUAGUUACACACAUGCUGAUUAGAAAGUGUAGAGCUCAAAACUGCAAUAUUAACAAACUAAUUAACCUUCCAAUCAUAUUAAGCCAGCUGGACAGUUAGUUACAACCAAUCAGUACAAAUAACAACCUAAUCCAGCUUGGCAACUUUGUUACACAUCAUCAGCCAGCUCAGCUUAGCAAACUUACACUCUUAACAGCAAGGAAUUAUAAAAUUUUAGAAAACAAGGGGAACCCUAAAAAAAAAACUCAAAUUAAACUAGGCUAAAAGACAUUCAAUGAUGCAAAAUCUGUCCAUAAAAUUCUGAACGAAUCAUUAAAAUAGCAUUCCAAAUUUAACAGUAAACCGAGUGACCCAUUCUAAAUAAUUCAGAUGAAAUUGUGAAACAAGCCAUGAGAUCAAAUAAAUGAAAUAAAAAUUCGCAACUCCAAGUCAUAAGAAGCCUAUGAAAUUAGUCGUAAUGCGUAGACAACGACGACGGCACCGCCAACAGCUGAAAAUAAGAUUCUUAUUCAUCAAUUUAAACUUUUACUUUAUAACAAACAUCUUAUCUAUAUUUUAUUUAAAAAAAGCAAAUUUUGUAAAAUUUUUCCAUGGGAGAUAGAGAGUAAUAUGUAUAUACGUACCUUCUCAGCAUGUAAUUGUUGUAUGGUUGUGUUCAGAUCAUUAUUAGCCCAGCGCCGUUGAUCCGCUGUCUCUCCAUAGCAGACGUUUACUCUUGGAGGCGUGAUUGAUUCUCCUGUAGUGAAAAUCUUCAUCUUGGGACAACCAAUCACCCACAAAUCUUGCAAAGAUGGGAAUUUGAAGGUGUAGUUGGCAGAGCUGAAACUUGUGAAGCUAUCUAAAUCAAACAGUUCCAACGUCUUCAAUUUGCUAAAAACAAUCUCUUCUUUUUCAACUCCAUCUUUGUCAUUUAUUACCACCUCUGUCAUUGCUCUGCAUCCACAUACUUGCACUUUGACGAGUUGCACUAGAGUUUUUGCUGUGGAGGAUGUUACCAAGUGUAUCAAUCCCUUGCAACCGAAAGCCACCAGAGCUGUUAGGUUCUGAAAAGAUACCGAUGAUGAUGGCAAUAGAAUUAACAGACUUUGACAAUGAUGUACUUUUAGAAUUUCAAGAUACUGAAAAAUGGGGCCAAGUUUGGAGUCUUGUUUGCACAGGUGCUUCAGAUGAUAGUGCCGUUUUAGCUCUAAUGUUUUUAUCAUUGCCAACUUCCCCACAUGUUUCUCUAAGCUUCCUUCCUCCGAAAAUACCUCUUCGUUGAAUGAAAAAAAACACAGUAUGAGCAUUUCCAGAUUGUGAAAUCUCUCCAGUACGUUCCAGACUGGAAAACAAGCUGAGUCAUCUCCAGCAAUCUCUAGUUGUUUAAGACUGCCAAAAAGGUGUUGUGGGAAAUCGGCCUGCAAAAUCAUCUUCACAUCUUUUCCACUUAGUGAUAGUUCCUUCAAGUUGGGUACGAUCUGAUCAUCAUCAAUCAUAAUAACUAAUGAGGUCAAUUGAUGAUCUACGGUCACAUGCAGUGACUUUAUAGUAUUUGUUUUAUAUUAUAUUUUAAAAAAAAUUGAAUUAUUGAUAAAAUUUAUUUUAUAUGUUAAUUUUAGAGGUAAAAAAGAAAUUAGGGAAAAAAGGUUGAUUUAUACUGACUCGAAAUUAUUUUAUUGCACAAUAAUAAAUUACUAAUUUAUUUAGUAAGUUCUUCUAUAUGGAAAGAUUAAGGAUUCUUUUAUAAAUGCUAUACCUAAAACAGUUCAUAUAAUUAUUAAUCUACCACAUUGAUCCCUUAGUCUAGACUAGCAAAGAUUAUUGUAUAAUAAAAAUUUUUAAUUUAUUGAGUAUUAAUUUAUCGAUGCUUUGUCAUAUUUUUCAAAGUUAAAAAUAAGCUAUUGAUAAAAAAUCUAGAAAAUGACUUCAUACCUUUUCCAACGGCAAUAGGAGCUGUUGUGCAGGAAUACCAAGUUGAUCAUUCUCAUUAUUCUGCGAUAAAUCAGCGAAUAUCUUUAAUUUGUCACAACGAUACACUAAAAGACUUUCUAGCGCGGGCCAUUCCAAAGUAUGCAUUCCAGGGUACAAACAUCUAAGUUUUGGUAGAUGUUGGAGUCUCAGAGUGGUGAGCUGUGGAAAGACAAAAUAAGGGAUCACUUGAUCUGCUCUGUUUUCAGAAAUGAUCUCCUGUAAAUCCUCACAGAAGCGUAUAUCUAGGUGUUGGAGCUGCUUAAGGCUUCCGAUCAUAGACGCUGAAAAUAGGUAUUUUAAUUUGUGACAAUGCCGCACAGUCAAUCGUGUUAAAUUUUGAAAGCGAGGAAACAUGACCGGAAGAUGAUUGUAGUGCCAAAUCUUGUCGACAUUAAUUUCAGAUAUCUCCAAAGCCUCCAAGUUAGGCAACGCAACCUAAAAAAAAGAAGAAUUUCUCGUUACAUCCAAUAUGCAUAUGAGAAGCACUUGUUGAAAUUUUCGUCUUCGAUUACAAAUUAAUGCAAGUCAAAACCAAUUUCUAACUGACAGAUAAGUAUGCAUUCUAAUUCAUACUACUUGUUAAGAGCUCAAUUAGUGAGCGCGUGAGAUUCUUUUUAUCCUUUUUUUUCCAUUUUCUUUCAAUUCUUUAAAUGAUUUAAUUAUUUUCCACGUAUGACAACAAAACAGAACGCAUGAUAGAAUAAAGUCUGUUAUAUAUAUAUAUAUAUAUAAAGAAAAUGUUAGCCUACGCACCUUCUCGUUGAAAAGCAGAGUUGAAGUAUCCAAAGUGAUUUCGCUGGAGCUAUACGUAGUCGUCGAUUCCUCUUGCGACGCUGGUCUGUUUGGUGAUGCUGAAGGAGUCUUUACUUCACGGCAAAAACUUGUAACCUCUGGAAGAUUCCCCAGACUCAAAGAUCUUAAUUGAGCAAACUCUAUCUUCUCAAUUGCAUUAUCAACUUCUUCCCCAAUUGCAAAAAUCUCUUUCAUCUUGCUGCAAUUAAUAACUGCAAUUCUCUCAAGUCUUGGAAGGCAUUUUGUUGUAGAGAGCCAAAAGAUAUUACUCAAUUUUUCACAAUUAUAUGUUUGUAUGAUUUUGAGUUCGUUGAAGGACUCUACUUUGAGCCGAUCAAUACAUAUCCUCUCCAUGUUGAUCAAAUUGUGAAGGCCAAGUGACUCCAAAAGAGGAAAGGCAUCACAAGCGACCAUCGCCCUUGAAUCGACGAUGCAAAAGAAGUCAGGAUUAUUUUGAACCCAGACAAGCUUCAAUUGUGAAAAGCCCUCCGUGUCCAAAUUGAAAAGAACGUUCUUGAUCCCUCGCAGCUUGUCCAACAAUAAGUAUUCAACGUUAUUGACGCCCUGCAAUUUCAUGGAGCAAAUGUCCGUAAAAGCAAGCUUGAGCUUCAAUGCUCUUAAACUCUUGCGAUCACUGUCGAUCAAAAAGUGCUGCCAACUUUCAAACCAAUUUUGUCCAGCAAUCAUGGGAUGUGUGAAUAACACAUUUCCAAUAUUUAUUUUGAACCUUUCGAGCUUUCUGGCCAAAAAGCCUUCUGGUAACAUACUCUCAUUUUUAACAUCAAUUUCUAGAGUGGUUAGCCGAGGUAAAUGCAUCAAUUCAUCAAGGCUAGCAUUACUUCUUUUGCUGUUGGCUCUUUCAACCUCCCAUUCAAUGGAGCAAUUACCCAUAUACAAUUCUUCUAAUCGGAUUAAGCUUGAUAUGACAUUUGGGGCAAUAACUUUCAGACGGAAACAGUCUGUUAAAUCUAACAGCCUUAGCUUAGUCAGUUGACCCAGUGCUUUAGGCAACUCUACAAUAUCAGACCGCACGAAGCUGAGGAUUUCUAGGUUUUCCAACUUUCCAAUAAUGGCUACGUCUAUGCCUCUGAAAAUGCUUUGAUCAAGACAAAGUGUCUGAAGAUUUACUAGAAGACCAAUUGAAGAUGGCAAUGACAAUAACCGCAUUCUAGUCAAAUCCAAAACCCGAAGCUUUUUCGUCCUUUUGAAGAAGUUCUCAGGAAUAUUAGGCACAGCAAAAGAGUUCUUGGGAGACAUGAGUAGAAGUUCAAGUUGUAGAGAUUCGGACCCUUCAGGAAUGUCAUUAAUAACACUAUCUUUUAAAGAAAUUGCAAGAUAUUUUUUUAAUUCAUCUGCAUUUGGCCAUUUCCAAUCAUCCUCAUUUCUCACCACAAAUCCAAUUUUGUCACGACAUGCAAUUGAAAUGGCAACAUCGCGAACAACGUCGUGCAUAGAAAAGUAUUUACUGCCACCAUCCUCAAGCAACAAACAAGAGUCUCUUAGUUGAUGGACCCAUGCAUCUAAUUUGUUAUGUGCAUCUUCUAGCUUGUGGACACUUUUAAAUACACCCCAGAGCAUGCUAUAUUUGAACAAGUCCAUAAUUGGUGCUGGCGUAAUAAGACUACACAGUAAAAAAGUUUUCUUGAGUUGCUCACCUCUUAAGUACUUGUAACUCAGCUCAAUUGUUGAGUAUGCCUCUGCUGGUACUCCUUCGUCGAAGCUUGCCUCUGAAGGCGUUUGGAGUUCUUGCAAGACAUUCUUCCACACAGGCAGCUCUUUUUUUCUCAGUGCCUUUGCUACUGUGGUUAGGGCAAUAGGCAAACCUCCGCAUGCCUUGGCUACACUUGUUGCUGUAGAUUUUAACUCACGAUUUUCCACAUAAUCACCUGCCAUUAUCUUGAACAAUUUCCAGGCUUCUUGUUCAUUUAAAAUGCCAAUCGAGAAGUUUUUUUCAGAUUCCAUCCUUAACAGCACAUCAAGAUCUCUUGUUGUGAAUAAUAAUUUGCAUCCUCUGUGCUCAACUCCAAAAGGAAUUCCAAUAGUCCCCAAAUCAAGAGGUUUCCAGAUGUUAUCCAGAAUCACAAGGAUCUUCUUCUCAUUCUUCAAUCUUUCAUAUAGUCUACUAGCUCUUCUAGACUCAGCUUCCUCGGACAACUGUAGGCCUAACGUUACCGCAAUUUCCUCUUGGAUCUUUUUUAUGUCUGGACUUUGGGUAACCUCCGAAAAAGCCACCAUAUCGUAAAGCUUGUCUUCAAUUGCUCGCCUUGCAAACUCCCGCACCAGUGUCGUCUUUCCAAUGCCGCCCAUGCCGUAGACGCCAAUGAUGCUGACAUCAACAUCGAUCAAUGCAUUUUGUAUGGCCUUCAAAGUAGAAAGUCUUGAUUCGAAGGCCUCGUAGCCUUUGUGAGACUUGAGCCAAAUCUCCUCCGGAAUGGUACGGUAGGAAAUUCUAUCAUCAAAUCUCCCAGCUUCUUCUCGGAGUUUAAAAAGGGCCUCCUUCUCUGUUUCUGCUUUCUUUCCAUGCUGAUAGCGAGUAAUCCAAUUAGGAAACAGCCCCAUGAGACAUCGUUCAUUUGCUUUCUCUUCGUCUUGAAUGAAUUUGGCUGCCUCCUCAAUGCUCUUGUUCGCAUUAACCAGCCAUUUCUCAACCUUCUCUUCAAUCUUUUCACUUUUUCUUUCAGCCUCAGAAACUCUGCGCUGAAUGCUUUCUCUUUCAUCCUUGAGCCCAUCGAGUUCUUCCUUGAGAUUCUCAAAGUUGGCAGCGGAGUUAUACCAAUAACUAAAUUCGCGUUGUGCGUGAGGAGACAAGCAGUUUACAAUGCUUUUCAAAAUGUCCAUUUUUUUUUUUUGGUUGGGGGGGGGGGGGGGGACGAAAUAGAAAUAGAACAGGGUCAACGACCGCGCAAUUGAUAAUCAAGUAGAAGCAAAACUAGGCAAAAUUGGAAAAAUAAAUUAUAUUUGUACAAAACAAGGGGAAAAUCAGUGUAACAGAAGAGAAUCAAAGUGUUUUUGAGAUCAGAAAAUUGAACCAAGAAAAGGGUUGCUUGAUCCAAUGAAAAAGCAAAGAGCUGAUGGCAAAAGGGAACAAAGAUAAAUAAGAAAACGGCUAGUACGAGCAGCGACCACGAUGAACAGAAGCAAAGUGUUUAUGAGAUCAAAAGACGAAAAUCAGGAGAGGUUUUCUUGACUGAGAAUUGAAGGCAAAGAGUAGGAGCUGACGAAUACGGGGAUCAAGAGGGAAAAACUGCUUGCUCGUAAAACUACUUUCAAGCGAAUCUGAUAAAAUUAUUUCAAUACUCAUGGGCGACUCCUUUUUAAACUGCAGAAGGAAAAAAAAAAAAAAAAGAGUUCUGAAUUUCAAUAUAUUAAUUUUUAUCCUAAUUUAUGUUGAGAUUCGUAAUCUCGUCUCAAUGAUUAAUUAGUAGAUAAUCUUUCUAACAAAUAUGUGUUGAAUAGAUAUAUUUCUUGACUAUUAGUAAGUUAGAUAUAUUUUAGCAUAGGAAUGAAAGUACCAAGUUGUGUCAUAUUAGAAUAAAAAUGUGAGCUAAAAAUAAUUUUCUAUGACCUUUUAAUUAUUUGUCAGCAAAUAAUUAAGUCAUAUAAAAAAAUUAAUAAUCUGAAUUAGUCUUUAAGUAUUAUAAAUAUUUUUUUUUAUUUUUAAUUAUAAUAUCAUUAUUUAAAAAUAAUUGCUUGACUUAUAUUAGUAACAUUACGAUUGUCAUAAAACAUGUGAUCCUCAUCCAAUAUCCAUUAUUUGUGAUCCUUAAUCAAUAAAAUAUCUAACAAUAUCUUCACCUAAAGUUUGAGACAUGUGAUCCUUAUUCCACUGCGUCAAAACAAGGAGAAAAUCAGUGUAACUGAAGAGAAUCAAAGUGCUUUUGAGAUCAGAAAUUGAAGCAAGAAAAGGGUCGCUUGAUCCAAUGAAAAUGCUAAGAGCUGAUGGUAAAAGGGAACAAAGUUAAAUAAGAAAACAGCUAGUGCUAGCAUCGACCACAAUAAACAGAAAAUUUGAGAUGGAUUUACAAUAUUUCUGCCUUUCUUUAUGCUUUAACAAAUAUUGCUCUAUCAAAAAAAAUAUUUAGCAUUUUAUUAUUGGAGUCACAAAAGACCUACACAAUAUAGCAAGUGCUAGGAAUAAAUAAGAAUAUAUAACUCUCUCUCUAAUUCUCACUCUAGCUUUUAAUUGUCACUCAAAACCCAGAAUUCAUCCUUAAAGUGUAAGCAAAUCAGAGAUGACAGCGUCUGGUUGUCAUACGUGCCUUUUAGUUUUCGGAUGACAUGGCGUACACUUCUUCUGUAAAUCGAACAUGACAUGUCGUACUCUUUGUUUUGAGAUCAUAUUUCAAACUCUUCAUGCUAUGAAUGAAAGAUAAACUACAAUCAUCAAAAUAUUUAGUGUUUAUUUGGUAAUGUAACAUCAUAGUUGUUGUGAAUUGAAAUUAUUUAUGUAAGAUAAAAGGAUUUGGGUCAUCGUUUGUUAUUCUCUAGCAAUAUUGUUUGGCCGUGACUAUUUGUUAAAUAUUAAAAAAAUAAAUUUAUAUUUAUUAAGUACAAAAAAUAAAUAAACAAACAAAAAUAAAAGGAAAAGUUUAUGCAUUACAUAAAAUAAUAAGAACAAUAUCAAUAUUUCACACUCUAUAAUUGACUGAUGAGUUGUCCAACUACCAUACAUUGGUCCCAGAGACUUAAAUAUUAAAGUCCAAAGUUAUUGUGAUGAUGACUUAUAAUUGCCAAACUUGACAUACGGGUAAUCAUGCAUUAUAUAAGGUGCUGAUUUCUUCCGAUCGGAACUUUAUUUUUCAUUUACAAAUAAAUAAAUGAUGUGACUUAACGGGUGGCGGGGUCCUUUGUGCCAUUUGUGUAUUUCACUGAAUAGUUGAUUCAACUUGAUUGCAGCAGAAAGAUUCCUGGAAGUUGCCAUUUGCCAAUGCUACUAACAUUUUCAAACUUGGAAAACCCUUCAAUCAAUCUUUUAGUGGUAGGCUCUGGUAGCUUGCUUUGAUUAUGACAUAUGAUUAUUUGAUAAUAAAGCUAGAGGAUGUAUUAAUAUAAAAUUUGUUUAUUGGUGUUGAAGUUAAUUAUCUCAUUAAUAAUAAUAUAAAAAGUUAAUUACUAAGAAACACAUAGCAGUAUUCUAGGAUAUAAUUUUAUAUCAUAACUUUGUAAGUGUAUAAUUCCUCAUUAAAUUAACAAAAUUAUUUUAAAAUAUUUAGUUAGAAAAAAUAAAAUAUUUUACAAUACCUCCCUUCAGAUUGCACAAAUUACAUAAAAAAAAAAAAUUGCUUUAUGUAUAAAACUUUCAAACAAAUUGGGCCAAAAUCUAACUUUACCAAGUUUAGAGUAAUUUUGGGCUCUACAUUCCAUUUCCGACAAACGAAUUUUCUUUAUCACCAAGGUAUGAUACUUUUCAUAUUUAUCCAACGGCUCGUCAAUGACAAUACCUUUGUAAAAAGUACUUAUUUUCAAUAGUAUAUUGUGGAAAUGUCUGGUCGGUAAUACAACUAUUUCUUAUAGUGUAAAAAUGAUACACUAAGCGUUCACAUUUUGAUGAGUAAAUUAAGGAUUUCAAGAUGAAGUACAUAAUUAGAUUAAUGCUAAGAAACUGAAGUUUGAUCGAUUGAAAACGAAAAUAAUAAUAAAGGUAAUUAAGAAAAUGAACAAUAUAUGCAGAAGCGGCUCCUUAUUAGGACUUCUAGAUUUUCUCUUGGGCUUUCCUUAUUAUUGUUAAAAAAUGACACGAAGAACUUUGAGUUUAAAAAUCUGGCCCUGAUGCCUGGUAGCCCUCCAACAUAUGAAGCACCAGAUGUUUUGAUGAGAAUAUGACAAGACCAUUUAUCAAAUUUCUUGUGGAUAUAAAUACGUACACAUGGACGAGACCAACCUCCUCAAAUGAGAAUCAGAGUGAUUACAAGACCUUGCAAUGAGACAAUGAUACACCUUCAAAUGUCAAAAUACAAUAGAAAUUCACGACAUAUAUAUAAUAAAAGACCUCUCAUUGAGUCAUAUAUAUUGAGAAUAAAAAUGUUAUAAUACAUACACAAAGCUUAGCUAGAAUAAAAUGUCUUUGAACUUGCGAUGAUCAAAUAAAGAAAACAGACAGGUUGUAACUCACACUAUCACAAGAAGAUCACGAAGAUGGAAAUAGGAACCCGACAGAAUGGAAAUUUUGAAUAGAGGAAAAAAGAAAAACGACCUUAUUCACAUAAGAAGAGUGACUCAAAUCUUCUUCAGUAUCCAGACAUUCUGCAAUCAUAGAGUAGAGAAAUUUUAACAGGAACAGCAGAGAAAAUAUUAUGAAUAUGCUAUAGACCAAUAUACUUGUUCAUAGCUAACGUUUGAUGGUUUAAAGAUUUGUUCUAGGAAUAAUGGGCUGAUUACUUUUUUUUUAUUUUAAUUUUUUUUUAAUCCAAUGAAUGAUAUUCAGCUGUUAAUUAUGUGUUCAUAGGGAAGAACAUUUUCUAAGUACUUUCCUUGCCUUCUAACUUUCCGAAAAGCAAACCCAAUGAACAAACAGAGCACAAACUAAAAUAAAAGAACAGCAAUGAUGACAAUAAAUAAUUGGCAAAGAAAAAAGGAAAAAGUAUGCACGUUUUCAAGGAAUUAUAAAAUAUGAAGGCUUUUAAUGAAAUUUUAUCAUAAAAAGUAUGCAAGGAAUUAUAAAAAUUUAGAAUUUUUGGAAUUUUUAAUGCACCAAAGUUCAUUUUUAGCUUUUAAGGUUUUUAUGUGUGAGCCUCUCAGCAUGUUCCCCAACCUCCUCACGUGAAAAUAUUUCUAUGCACGGUUACAAGCUUUUCCAGAUUGUGAGUAUUCCGAAGCAAUCCAACUUGAAAAACAGCUGGUUCGUAGAAAAUGACAGUUUACGAAGCUGGCCCUGCUGCCAUACAUAUGAUGAUGAAGACCAUUUUGCUUUAUGUCAAUUCCUCCAAGUUGAAAUCUUUCUCGGUCUGGGACACUUCCAACACAUAAUGUACUACUAGGCCAGAUGAUUUUAAAAAAUGUCAAGGUCCUUUAUCAAAUUUCAUUUGCAUUCAAGACCAAUCCCCUUUGAUGAAAAUCAAUAAUUAAAGGCUUUCCAAUGAGAAAUUAUUACGUCUUCAAAUCUCAAAAAACGCCAGAAUAUUAAUUCGCUACAUAUAAUCAAGAUAUCUCAUUGAGACGCAUUAAUAAAAAAUGUCAAAAUGCAUAGAAAGAGCAGACACACGGAUGAUGAAUUUACUCAUCUUUAUUAGUAUUUGAACUUGAGAGACAGAAUGAAGUACAUGUCAAGAAUAUCAUAAAGAUGGAAACCGGAAGUCCUCCGCACAUAAACUUUGAAGAAACUGGAAAACGACUUUAUUCCAGAUAAUGCACACCAGAGUGACCAAAAUUCUCUUCAGUAACUAUAGAGAAAAUAUUAUUUUGCAUGCAUUUCACGUAACUGGAUCAAACUACUCUCCUGUUGGUUUAUCAGACCACAUUUUUAUGGUGCAAUAUAAACCAUCUUUUCAAAACGCUUUUACCAUGUGAGAAAUAUACGCAUUAAAUUUCAUAAACUAAAAACUCCAAUUGUCAAAAAAAAAAAAAAGGGUGAGAAACUCAGUAGAAUUUACAACUUCUCAGACUCACGAAAAGGUGAGAAACAAAUGAUUUUUAUAUAGUUGUUCAUAGCUAACUUUUGAUGGUUUAAUGAUCUGUAGAUUUUGUUUUAUGCUAUUCAAGGAAUGAUAUCCAAUUGUUCCUAAGAGUUCAUAGGCAGGGGCAUAUAUGCAUGAUUUGAUAUAAUUCUUGCAAUUUCUAAGUACUUGCUCUUUCCAUCCCUUCUAAGUUUUGAAAGAAAGGUCGAAAUAAACAGAGAAACAGGACAAACAGAAGAAGACUGAAUUAACAGAUCAACAAAGAUGGCAACUAACAAAUGGAAAGUUCUCUUGUAAUCAAACUAUAGCAAACAGAUGACACCAUUACAAUAUAUCUUAAUGAGUAGAUUGAUUCUAAACAUAUAUGUUAGGAUACAUUUGGUUGUUUAAUAGUUUGAAAUAAGGAGGAUGGGAUGGUUUCCACAUAAAAGUGCUGUCCCUUUCAAUGACAUUUUCAAAGAAUUAUAAAAUUCAAAAUAAAAAAAAAAUUAGCAAAUUAUAAAGCCACACCGUCAAAAAAAUAAAUAAAUAGAUAAGUUAAGACCUUUAAUGAUAUAAAAAUAAAUAAAUAGAGAAGUCACUAGGACCUUUAAUGAUAUAAAAUAAGCAUAUAAAUCUCAGAACAAAACAUUAAAAUUCAUUCUAAAAAUAAACUAGUGGUGUAUUCCAAACAAUUUAGAUGAAGCGAUAAAACAAGCCAAGAGAUCGAAUAAAAUGAAAUGAAAUUGAAUUAACUGGGACUUUGUUUUCCAAAUUCACAACUCGCUUGUAAUUAAAGUAAAAUGCCAAUGCCAUUAGGACAUAUACAUCAUUGAAUAAGAUGAGGACCCCUCCAACAGCUGAAAGUAAAAUUUUCAUUCAUUAGUUUCAAUUAAAAGUAAAGCACACAGAGAUUUGCAGGGAAGCAAGAGAUUUAAUAAAUUUAACAGCAGCAAUUUAAUUUGACAGGACUUCCAUACAGUAAUGAAGUUAAAAACUAAUGAUUAACGAAUUUAGUUUGGUCCCAAAGCUGUUGAUCAUCUCUCUCUCCAUAGUAGAAGUUUACUCUCAGAGGCGCGUUUAAUUCUCCUUUAGUGAAAAUCUUCAUCUUGGGACAACCAAUUAUAGAUAAAUCUUCCAAAGAUGGGAAUUUGAAGGUGUAAUUGGCAGAGCAUACAAAAUCUUCAAUUUGGCGAAAACAACUCUUCUUUUAAAUUUGCUGCUCCAUCUUCGUCAUUUAUCACCACCUCUCUCAUUUCUCUGCAUCCACAUACCACCAUUGAUAAUAGUCGCUCUAGACUUUUUGCUGUGGAGGAGGUUGCUAAGCUCAUCAAAUUCCUUGCAACGAAGAACUAGAAGUUCUUUUAGGUUCCCAAAAGAUACCGAUGAUGAUGGCCAUAGAUAUAACAGAUUUUGACAAUAAUGUACAUUUAGAAUUUCAAGGCAUUGAACAAAGGAGUCCAAUUUGGAGUCUUGUUUCCACAAUUGCUUCAGAUGAUUAAAUUUGUGCAGAUCUAAAUGUUUUAUCAUUGUAAACUUCCUCACAUGUUUCUUCAAGUAUCCUCCAUUCGAAAAUACAUCUUCGCAUGAACAACGACGCCGUAUGAGAGUUUCCAGAUUAUGAAAUCUCUCAAGUAAAUCAAGUGGAAAACAAGUUGAGUCAUCAUCCACUGUUUGUAGUAGUUUAAGACUCCCAAAAAGGUGUUGUGGGAAAUCGCUCUGCAAAGUCAUCCUCGAGUCUUUUCCACUUAAUGCCCGUUCCUCCUAAGUUGGGUAAGCUCUGAUCAUCAUCAAUCACGUAAUAACUUAUUAAGUCAAUUCAUAUUCUCUCAAAUGACUUUUAAUAAUCCAAUCAUACACAGUGACUUUAAUAUAAAUGCAUAAUAUUUUACAAAAAAGAAGAAAAAAUCGAAUUAGAGGUAAAAGUUAUUCUACGAUUUUAUUUUUUAUAUAUAUCUUGCAUGCUAUUCCCAAAAGCAAUCCCAAACGGCCCUUAAAGCAAUUUUACAAAAGUGGCCGGUACAUAUAUUGCCAACUUUGUUAGGAAUGGCAAUGGGAAGGGGAGGGGAAGAGACCGACCUCCCCGUACCCAUUCCCGAUAUUCUGCAUAUAUCCCCAUCCUCUCCCCAUUCCAGACAAAAUUGCUUUAGGGAAUCCCUCUCCCCUCCCCAAAUAAUAAUAGGGGAUCCCUGAAGGUCCUCGAUCCUCGAAUAACUAAUACGUUUUUAGUUUUAAAUUUUAAUUUAAUCAUAUUAAAAUAAAAAAUUUAAAUAAAAAUAAAGUUUGACGAUAUAUCUUACAUUAACAUUAAUCUAUUAAAAAAGUCACAUUACAAAGUAUAAAUCACCAUAAUAAUUAUCUUCGGCAAUCUUCAAAAUCAUAUAAUAAAAAAAAAGAAAUUACUUUUAUAUCAACAAUAAGAUAAAUGAAAUGAAUAUAGAUACUUAAUCAAUAUUUCUAAUAAAAGUAUUCACCUCAUGCGUCUCCUACUCUUCUUGUUCUUCCUCGAGGAAUGUGACAAAUUGAGAGAUAGCCUUAGAUUUCAAGUUUAAAACAAUAAAAAUAAUAUAAGUAAUGUAAAUUCUAAGUGAAAAUAUUAAUAAUUAUAUAAUAUAAUUACAAUGUAAAAUAAACUCAUACUACCAUUGUAAGCUUGUAGUCAACUUUGACAACUUAUUAAAGCCUCCAAUGUGCUUGAAUAAAGCGUGUUACGAUACUCUACCACAGGUGCUAAAAGCUAAUUCAGAAGCAACAUUUGUAAUUAGAAUUGCCAAAAUAUCUCUAGCAAUUCGUGCCAAUAUAGGAUAUCUAUAGACAUUUGUUUUACACCAACUCAAAAUAUUAAAAUCUUUCAUCCGUGGCAUAACUUUUUCAUCCAAAUAUUAAUGUAGUCAAUUAGGCCUAAAGUUUAAUAAUAUAAUUAUUUUAAUUUUUUUAUUUAUACUAAUAUUUAAUAUUUUAUUAUUUAUAUUUUAUUAUUUAUUUACAAAUAAUUUUAAAAAAAUUAAAAUUAAAAUUAAAAAAUUGGAAGGGGAUAGGGAUUCCGCUGCAUCCCCGUCCUUUUUUUGAAUAAGAAAUUGGGUAAAAAAACUAUUUCCGUCGCUUUUCUAAAUAAAAAAUUAAGUAAAAAAUUAUGUACCCUCCUGAAUUGGGAAAAUCUCGAGGGUCAUGUCCCCGCGGGAAUAUCUGCCAUUCCAAAACUUUGUAACAGCCACUUGCUUUUGUGACCGUUUAUGUGACGGCUAGACUGCUCUCACUUAUGUUACUAACCACGUGACGGUAGAGAGCCAAUUGGCAUACUAUUAUUUUGACGGUAGAGUUAUAAAUUUGUUUCUAAAUAGAAAACUAUUUGCUGGAGUCAAUAUUUUGAAGACCAAAGUCCCAAAUUCUCUCUCGUGCCUGGCCAGCAUCCUAAACCUUACUGGUAGCCGGAGAAUGGCGUAAAACGGCGGCGAUCUUCUUCUUCAUCUUAUUCUCUCUCUCAUCGUUUCAGGUAAGCUUGUGAUUAUGAGUUUCUUCGCUUUCUUAGCUUGUAAUUAUAGGUUUUGAUUUCUUUAAUUCGUUUUGUAGCCAUUAAUGUCAAUUUUUGUCCCACCGGCAAUGUUUUUUGUUCCUAGAAGUUGAAGCCCUUCUGUUCUUGUGCCAUUGGUGAGUUUGCUCACUCAAAUUAAUUUUGUUCUGCGGAGUUUACAAAGUUCAAAUGGACUCAUUUGGAUUACUAUUGAAUUUAGCUUUAAUUCCAACAUCCAUUCUAAUGUUUUGCCAUUAGAUUUACUUUAAUUUUAUCUUUAAAGCUUCUACAAUGAAUAGCGGAGCUUGGGUUUUAGUUUCAAUUUCUAAUUAACUUGUUUUAGUUUAUCUUAUAUGCUCGCCAAGUGCUUGUUAUAUUGUCUGAUAAGUUAUAUAACAUUGCUGAUUCUAUAUUAGUAAUGUCAUGUUCCAUUUUCGGAAAUUAUAACACAAAAGUUUUUACAAUGGCUUGCAUCUACAAACUGAAUUGACUUGUAGAGUAAGAGCUUGGAUUAGUGUUAUGUUCUUGAAUAAAUGAAAGUUCAUAUUGUGUAAGAGCAUGUAGAUGUAAAGCAUCACUACCAUUUCUACAAACUGCUUUCAUUCUGUUCAGAUGCUCCUCUUGAACUUUGAAAGGUGCCUCAUUCAAGUCCUAGCUGUAACUACUAGCUCUGAUUGCUUAAGUUCCUGUGCUAGCUGAAACAGAUUUAUUUAAUUAAUUAAUUGUGUAUGUACUAAUUAUAUUGAACGUAUAUGAAGAAAUUGUUUAACAUGAAUGACUUCUAAAUGACUUAAAAGCCUAAAGGAUAUGUGAAAUAAUGCUCAUUUCACUUGAACGAGCCUAUUAAUACUUGUAUGUCUGAUGGUUGUCGAAGCCAACAAAAAUAAAUUCAUACUCUAAAUAAAUUGUGUAUAGUGAUUGAGCAAGGUCAUGUCCACAGAGAUCGGUAAUUAUUUAAAUCCUUUUGAAACGUAAAACGUAAAAUGGGGGAAUUGUUGACAAUAAUAAAAAUCAAAUUAAAAUAACAAGAAUGCAAAUUAAAGUUGUAAUUCAAAUUAGAGAAAGCUCUGGUUGAAGGAAUUAAUUCAGCUUGAUUCGACUACUGAUCAUUGAUUCAAAUAUAGAUUAUUAUUACUUAUGAAUAGACCGGUUAUAGCUACUGAGACCCUCUAAUAGCCAAUCUCUCCUUAACUAGUCGAUAACCAAGGUACGACUGUUGGUUAUUUCCCUAAUCAAUAGACAACCCUAGAUACGAUCAUAGGAUUUAAUCAAUUGACAGCCUGAAAAACCAGAGAGACCCAAAUCCUAAUCAACACAUACGAUGAUUCAUUUAAAUUAGAUUGUUUAUUCUCACAACACAACUCUCUGCUAUGUUAUUUGUCACAAACAUUAAAUUCUUCAUACGAUGAAUCCUUUAAUUGACAAUAGAUUAAGUUGAUAAUUAAAUAGUGGCCAAUUACCUAAUUAACAAACAUAAUCAUGAAAAUAAUUCAGAGAAUAAACAAAUACCCAAAAAGUAAUAAAACAAUUAAAGCAUAAAAUAGAUCUCACAAUAGUGAUGAAUCAAAGCUUCAUUAUCCUUCAACCAGAAAAAUAUAUUUAGUUCUUCAUAGAGAGAAGAGAAAAGUUUAGAUCUAGGGUUUCUUUCUCUUCUCUUCAAAAGUCCCAUUUUUCACAAUAGAUUCCUCUCUUAAAUACUCUCUCUCUCUUCUCCUCUAGAAUUCUAUUUAAAAUAAAAUACUAAUAUAUGAAAUAUUAAAUUCGUAAUUACAAAAAUAACCAAAAAUACAAAACACGUUAAACUAAAAACUGUAGGUCCGUAGUUGCAGCACGCGCCCACGCGUUAUCAACAAAGUUCUUCUGACGCUCAUAAUUUCUCCAAGAAAGCAAUCAUCUUUAAACAUCAUCUUAUAGCUCAAUUUUAUCACAAAUCAAUAGAAUUGCACCUACAAAAGUAAAACACAAGUAAAUUAUCAUUAUUAAGUGCAAAACAUCAAUAUUAAGGGAAGUAAACAAUGCAAAACUAGUGCAUAAAUUGCACUCUAACAAAUUCCCCCACACAAAGAUGAUGCUUGUCCUCAAGCAUAUAACUCAAGACUAAUCCCAAAUCUCCACUCAAUUCUCAUCUCAACUCAUCCAAAAACAAUUUUAAGCAAGUAUACCUCAAGAAAUUAAGUCGAUCAACAUUCGAGAGACAAGGAUUUUAAAGCAUAGAAUCUCAUAAGAUAGAAUAAGAACAUUCAACCACCAAGAAGAUCCAUUCAAAAUUCAAGUGCAACAAGAUUUAAUAGCCCUCUCAUUGACCUCACUCCAUGCACUCAAAGUGUUUAGGGUGUCAUUUAUUCACUCAAAUCAAAUCAAAGAAUGUUAUUACCAUAAACUUGCUUAUAUAUCACAUCUCAAUCCACAAAACAUGAAUUAAAUGCAAAAAUCUAAGGGUCUUAAAAGGUUGUAACGGGGUUAAAUGGGUUAAAUGAAAAAGAAAAGUUUAUGAAAGAAAAAGAGAUCAAAAUGAGAAGAAUGAACUCAUUGAACGAACUUUAUGAUAUCGAAACGCUUAUUUCUACACAAGUCACCAAGAAUGUAAACAUUUUUUUUUCUUUUUCUUUUUUUUUUUCAAUUUUUUUUUUCGAUUUUUCUUUUUCUUUUUCUUUUUUUUUUUGAAUCAAACAAAAGAAACGAACCUUGCACAAUUUAAUUCAGGCAUAAUGCUUGUUGAUCUAAUUGAGAAACUUUAAUACAAGGUAGAAAAAGCAACAAAAUAUAUACAAAAUAUAUCCACACAAUGAGUCCAAAAAUCUCCUUAAAUUGAGGCUCAAAAAGAAGAAAAAUGGUUAAGUAGACGGAGAGAAUUAGAUGGGUAAUGGUUAAGGCUCAAACAAAGAUAGUAAAUCAAGGUCUUCGGGUAGAGAAAAAAAAAUGCGAGAAUAGAAAAAUGGUAAAUGGUUUGCCCUUAUCAUUUUAAUGCAAAAAAUCCGUAAUGUGGCUUCAACAUGCAUAACAAAGCAAGUUCUAGAAUAAACAAACUAAGAUUGAUAUUCACAUAACAAAAAUAAUAGAGCAAAGUGGUUGCUCAUAGGCUCAAAUCCUCACAAAGUUGGUAAAUUUGCCAUCAAAUCAUGUGCACUCUUCAAAUGAAUCAACCAUCAAUAGUGGUGUAGAAUGAGAAGAAGGUAUGAUUGAGAUAUGAAAGGAAAGGUAAAAAGGAUAAUAAGCGAGAAAGAUGUAUGUAGUAAAAAAAAUGAAUGAUAAAAUGUGAGUGAUGAAAGAGUAUGAUAGAAUAAAAAUAUAUGUAAAUAAUUUGAGGUAGAUGGGAAAAGAGUAGUGAGAGAGAAAGGAAAAGAAAAUUAAUAAUAUAUGAAGCAUACUAACUCCAAAAUCAUUUAAGGAUGAGUAGAGUGAAAAUAAUAAUUCCAAACAUCAAUAAUGUAAAAAAAUCCCUCCCCCACACCAAGAACUUACAUUGUCCUCAAUGUAAGAUAAUCAAAGCUCACAUAAAAAUUAAAGCGUAAGGAUAAAAGAUUAAAGACAAAAAAAAAAAAAAACUUCCCUGAAUUAUGAGCUUUGAUCCACAUAACGUCUAUGGGCUUGGCAGAAAUGGUGGGGUAAAUCCCACACUCUCGAAGUAUGCGGCCAAAUUCUGCUCCAUCUUGUUCAGCUUGUGCUCCAUUUUCUCUAACUGAAUGCUCAAAGGUGGUGCGGAUGUAGAAGGAAUAGUUGGCGGGGCAGCAGUGUCGUCGUCAAACUCGUCAUCAGAGGUAGCACCACUCCUAGCAUAAAGCUUCUUCGGAGGUUGAGUGGGUCCUGGUUCAGUAAAAUGAAAUCUCCCCUCCUUGAAUUCGACCAUACCUGUUCUUUCAAACACAGACAUAUCCAAAAAUUCCUUUUUGCAAGCAGGAUGCAAAUCAUUAUUGUCAGGAUCAAGCACACAUAGGUUUAUAGCUAACAGAGUAAUGUAUGGACCAAGAAAUAAAGUUCUAUACCGUUUAAGCACACUUUGAAAUUGAUCCGCUAACCAAAAACCUAAAUUAGGCCUCACAUCAUUUAACAUGCACCAGAUAAAAUAACAUUCAGUUUUAGAGAAAACUCCUGAGUGAUCUUUCUUACCGAAAAAAUUAUAUGCUAAGAAUCGAUGCACACAUUUCAAAACAGGAUCACGUAAGAAAGAACUCUUUGAUUUACUCGGGUCAUAGGCAUUGUGAUCAAUAGAUAAAUUACGCCAAAGACCAUAAGGCUCAAAAUUUUCGCUAAAGUCACAAGUUGUUCCUAAAUAUGCAUCACUAGAAGAAUAAUCAUCAUCAAUGAAUCCUAAAGCUAGGUUAAAAUCCGUGAUAGAGUGUAAAAAAUUUCGUCCCAUUAACCUAAACUUAAUGACAUCCGGGGUAUGCAAAGUAAAAUCAUUCGGCAUAUUAAAUUGAAAAGUAGCAUAAAACUUCCUAAUCAACUCAACAUAACCCAAACAAUCAACAUCAACAAACUUAUGUGACCCAAUCUUAUCUAUCAAAGAAUCAAAAUUAUCCUUAACAUUCAAUUUUUCAAGAGUCGGGUAAUGAAUAUACUUAGCUGGAAGUAUUUUGCGCGUGGAAAUAUCUUUGUACCUCUCUUUCUCUUGUUGAGUCGCGAAUGCGAGGCACUCUUUGAGAUUGGAUUCCGCAAGUGGCAAAACACUCAUGCCUUUUCCAUGUUUCGAUCUUUGUCUCACGGCUUGGCGUGAAUAUGAAAUUGUGUUCCAUGGAACCGUAGUGGGAGCGGCAAUCUUAGAUUUCUUUGCGACGAGUGUCUUUUUAGAUGACUUGGAAGUAGAUGCUUUCCUCUUCGGCAUUGUUACAAUAAUUGCACUCACGGAUUUCGAUUUACCUGGCUGGAAUACAGGGCGUAGGUUGGAUCUGCGUUGCGUUGCUGCUUGGCUGGAGCUUGCUGCGCAGGUUGGGGCUGGUUGCGCGCUGCUGCUGGUUGUGUUGCGCGCUGCUGCUGGUUGUGUUGCGUGAUGCUGCGCGCUGCGGGUGGAAUUGGUUGCGCGCUGCUGGGGCUGGAUUCGGGUUGCGCGCGGGGGCUGGGGAUGCUGGUGCGCGCUGCGGGUGGGACUAAUGCGCUGCGCUGAGGCUAAUUCGCGUUGCUGGGGCUGCGUUGUGGGAUGCUGGUGCUGUGUUGCGUUGCGCGCGGCUGCUGCUGCUGCAUGGCUGCGGCUGCUGCUGCUGCGGGUGAAAACGAUAAUCAACAGUGAAUUUUUAUUUUAUUUUUUUGAAUUAGGGAUUUAUGAACAGUGAUUUGUGAUUUUUGUUUUUUUUUUGUUUUUUUUAAAUAAAAAAAAUAUGUAUAUAUAAAAGAAAGAAAAGAAGGAAAAAAAAUAAUAUUUUUUUUUUUGUGAUGAAUCACUUUGAGACACUAAAAAUUUCAGAAGUACUUUUCUAAUAAGCACGUGGGCACGCCUUAAAACCAUUUUAUUUUAAAAAUCACAGAAGUACUUAUUAGUUAAGACGUGGGCACGCCUUAUCAAAAAUUUUCUUCUGACCAAAAUAAGCAAACACAUUAAAAAAAAAUGAAUCAAAAUUAAAAGAAGAUAUAACAAAAACCAAAAUAAAUAAAUCAUUUGGGUUGCCUCCCAAAAAGCGUCUUUGUUUUAUGUCUUUGGCUAGACACAUUUAUGCAUCAAUCUCCAUAAUUGGGACUCUCGAGAGCCACAUCCUCCACAAUAUUCACAAAAAAACCUUCAUAAAAAGGUUUUAAGCGAUGACCAUUAACCUUAAAAAUUUUGUCAGAGGUCGGACUUCGAAUCUCAACUGCACCAUGAGGGAAAACAUUAGUAACAAUAAAAGGUCCAACCCAGCAAGAACGUAAUUUACCCGGAAAAAGUUUAAGCUUAGAAUGAAAAAGAAGAACUUUUUGACCAACAGAGAACUCCUUUCUCAAAAUCAUUCUAUCAUGAAAUGUCUUCGUUUUUUCCUUGUAAAUAACUUCCUGCACUAUAGGGUUAAUAACAUCCACAGAAAAUACCGAAUGUUCCUCACUAGGAUAUUUCAUGGCAUCAUUCAUAUUGAAUUCUAUAACCUCUCCAUCAAACUCCAUAGUGAGAGUCCCUUUAUGUACAUCCAUUUUAGUCCUAGCAGUCUUAAGAAAAGGUCUUCCUAGCAAAAUUGGGACAAAAUUGGAGGAGUUAUCCUCUUCCAUAUCAAGUGCAUAAAAAUCAGCAGGAAAAACCAACUCAUUAACUUGUACUAAGACAUCUUCUAAUACCCCAUCAGGAUAUGCAUUAGACCUAUCAACUAGUUGAAUUAUCACGCCAGUUUCUUUUAAUGGACCAACAUUCAAAGAUGAAUAAAUGGAACGAGGCAUGACAUUAAUAGAAGCUCCUAGAUCUAACAAAGCCUUUUCAAUUCUAACACUACCAAUUUUACAAGGGAUAGUAAACAUACCUGGAUCCUUGCACUUAGAGGUAGUUUCUUUUGGAGAACUGCUGAAACAUUCUCCCCCAUGUGAACUUUUUCAUCUCCUCUUAAUUUUCUCUUAGAGGUGCACAGUUCCUUAAGGACUUUAGCAUAUCGAGGUAUUUGUUUUAUAGCAUCUAAUAAAGGAAUAUUUACCUCAACCUUGCGAAAUGUCUCAAGGAUGUCUUUCUCUUGUUCCUCCUUCUUGGAUAUUGCAAACCGGCUUGGAAAAGGAGGAGGUAUCACAAUAGGUAGGGGUUUCGCUCUGGUGGGUUGCGCAUCUUGAGAUUUAGGCAUCAAUUCAUUCUUCUCAAGCUCAUCUUCUACAUGCUUUGUCACUUUCUUACUAGGCUCUUGCAACUCCUUCCCACUUCUAAGGAUGACAGCACUAACGUUUUUCUUUGGAUUCACCUCAGAUUGUGAAGGCAAUCUCCCUAAUACUUGAGACUCCAGAAGGCUCACUGUAGUCGCCAAUUGACUCAUUUGGUUCUCCAAAUUCUGAAUGCUUGUUGUAGUUGCCUGCUGAAAUUGUUGAGUGUUAGUCGCAAGUGAUUUAACAAUUUCUUCAAGAGAUAUACCUGACUUAGAGUUUGAUUGUGGAGGUGCUGGUUGUCUUGGUGGAUACUAUUGUGGGAAUCCUGACGGCCUAACUCCAUAGCUGAAGUUGGGGUGAUCCUUCCAUCCCGGAUUGUAUGUUUAUGCAUAAGGAUCAUACCUCCUCUGAGGCAUGCCUGGAAAUCCUCCAACUGCAUUGGUUUGUUCAACGGGUUCUUCUUGAAGUGUAGGACACAUAUCAGUUGAAUGACCCAUAUUGUAACAAAUGCCACAAGUCUUCACCUGUUGCACAUUACCUACAACAAACUUUUCCACAAGAGAAGUAAGUUUAUCUAAACUUUGUCCAAUAGAAGAAAUAUUUACCUCAUUUACCUUCCUUGAAGUGAGAUCUUGCCUGCUGCCAAAUUGUUGUGCGUUGGCAGCCAUAUUUGAUAUCAGCUCCUUUGCUUGAGUAGGGGUCUUGUUCACCAACACGCCUCCACUAGCAGCAUCUAUCAUACUCCUAUCCAUCAAUGACAGUCCUUCGUAAAAAUAUUGAAUAAGAUGUUGAUCAGAAAUCUGAUGCUGAGGACAGCUGGCACACAAUUGUUUGAAUCGCUCCCAAUACUCAUACAAAGUCUCCCCAGGAAGUUGUCUGAUCCCACAAAUGUCUUUUCUGAUGUUAGCAGCUCUUGAAGCAGGAAAGUAAUUCUCGAGGAAUUGCUUGUUCAAACCAUUCCACGUUGUAAUUGAUCCAGGAGGCAAGUAGUACAACCAGUCUUUAGCUAGUCCAUCUAAAGAGAAAGGAAAAACACGCAGCUUAAUCUGCUCUUCAGUCACGCCUUGUGGUCUCAUACUUGAACACACAACAUGAAACUCCUUAAGAUGUUUAUGAGGAUCUGCACCUGCAAAACCAUGAAACUUGGGUAAUAAAUGAAUAAGACCAGACUUUAAUUCAAAAUUUACCUCCAAGUCUACAUAUUGAAUGCAGAGUGGUUGUUGACUCAAGUCUGGUUCAGCUAACUCUCUAAGAGUUCUUUCUACAGGUGCAGGUCUAUCUAUCAUUUGUUCUUCUGAAUCGCUAGAUGAUUCAACUAAAUCAGGCACUGUAUCUAUUUCAGAAAGCAAAGGCGACGAGGAUCGUUACUUAGCUCGCUUCGUCUGCUGUCUCAGCUGGCGAGCUGUCUUCUCAAUUUCAGGAUCAAACGAAAGUGUACCUGUACGAGAAGAACGAACCAUACACCAAGUAAAACGUAAAAAGGAUUAAAUAAAUGACACCAAUCCCCGACAACGGCGCCAAAAUUUGAUGGUUGUCGAAGCCAACAAAAAUAAAUUCCUACUCUAAAUAAAUUGUGUAUAGUGAUUGAGCAGGGUCGUGUCCACAGAGAUCGGUAUUUAAAUCCUUUUGAAACGUAAAACGUAAAAUGGAAGAAUUGUUGAUAAUAAUAAAAAUCAAAUUAAAAUAACAAGAAUGAAAAUUAAAGUUGUAAUUCAAAUUAGAGAAAGCUCUGGUUGAAGGAAUUAAGUCAGCUUGAUUCGACUACUGAUCAUUGAUUCAAAUAUAGAUUAUUAUUACUUAUGAAUAGACCGGUUAUAGCUACUGAGACCCUCUAAUAGCCAAUCUCACCUUAACUAGUCGAUAACCAAGGUACGACCGUUGGUUAUUUCCCUAAUCAAUAGACAACCCUAGAUACGAUCAUAGGAUUUAAUCAAUUGACAGCCUGAAAAACCAGAGAGACCCAAAUUCUAAUCAACACAUACGAUGAUUAAUUUAAAUUAGAUUGUUUAUUAUCACAACACAACUCUCUGCUAUGUUAUUUGUCACAAACAUUAAAUUUUUCAUACGAUGAAUCCUUUAAUUGACAAUAGAUUAAGUUGAUAAUUAAAUAGUGGCCAAUUACCUAAUUAACAAACAUAAUCAUGAAAAUAAUUCAGAGAAUAAACAAAUACCCAAAAAGCAAUAAAACAAUUAAAGCAUAAAAUAGAUCUCACAGAAGUGAUGAAUCAAAGCUUCAUUAUCCUUCAACCAGAAAAAUAGGUUUAGUUCUUCAUAGAGAGAAGAGAAAAGUUUAGAUCUAGGGUUUCUUUCUCUUCUCUCCAAAAGUCCCCUUUUUCACAAUAGAUUCCUCUCUUAAAUACUCUCUCUCUCUUCUCCUCUAGAAUUCUAUUUAAAAUAAAAUACUAAUAUCUGAAAUAUUAAAUUCGUAAUUACAAAAAUAACCAAAAAUACAAAACACGUUAAACUAAAAACUGUAGGUCCGUAGUUGACAGCACGCGCCCACGCCUUAUCAACAAAGUUCUUCUGACGCUCAUAAUUUCUCCAAGAGAACAAUCAUCUUUAAACAUCAUCUUAUAGCUCAAUUUUAUCACAAAUCAAUAGAAUUGCAUCUACAAAAGUAAAACACAAGUAAAUCAUCAUUAUUAAGUGCAAAACAUCGAUAUUAAGGGAAGUAAACAAUGCAAAACUAGUGCAUAAAUUGCACUCUAACAAUGUCUAUGAUUGUCAAUCUUGCUUUAAGUGUUUCAGUUAAGUGGUUUACCUAACAGGGAAAAAAAUUUAAUGGAAAACUUUAGAGUUCUAACAGAAAUAUAGUUGACUGCAGAUAUAGCUAUUUUGCAGUACAUAAAUUAUGUUGUCCUAUUCUCAAUGUCCUACGACCUAUUUUAUUUUAUAUGGUCAUUCAUUUUUGCGAUGGUUUUUUGUGCUUAUGAGUAUGGAAAUAGUGGGAUUUGGUGUGGCAAACAAAAAUAUACAUAUAAUCAAGUUUCUUAAUCAUGUAUAUUGGUUUUGGGUAUGAAUGUUUUCCUAUUCUAGUUCUAGGCAAAGUUUCUUCAUUUUGGUCUUCAGAUUUCCAGUAGGUUAAGUUAAGCAACUAUCAUAACUAGCUAGCUAGUUAUUGCCUGCCUUGUCGCCAUUACAUUGCAUGGCAUAAGGAAUAGUAACUAGGUGAUUAUUGGUGAUUCGUUGAGUUUAUUAUUGGCCAAACUAACAUAUUCGCCUUUACCCACAACUUAGUUUGAUUAGAUAUUAGAUAAUAAAGAGCCUUAAUCUAUGCAUUGCUUUAUUAUUUUUAUUUGGUUUUUCUUUCAACAAUAUUGUUGAUUUCUUAUAAAAAAUAUUCAUUGGUUUUUAAACACCUAAUCAUUGGCUAUGAUGAAGCUAAUUAAAACGAAGGCUUUGGAUCAAUUUCUUCUAACAACAUACAAAUGAGCAUAACCACCCCCUCCCCCCGAACCCAAAAAAAAAAAAAAAAAAAGGAAGACUUUGCAAGAUUCACAACCAGGUUACAUUUAAUUUAUUAAUUGUGUGUACGUACUAGUUAUUUGUUGAUAGAAUAGGAAGAAGUAUUUUAAUAUGAAUGACUUAAAACUUGUUGCUCAGUAAACAUAAUGUGCAUCAGUGCUAGAAAAUGUAUUUAUUGUUUGUAAUUUUUUAUGGUUUUGCUUAAGAAAUGAAAUGUGAAAAAAUGCUACAUUGUAUUAGGAAUAAAUUGAAGAGAUUUAUGAUUUUUAUGUGUUAUUCAAGUUUCAGAUUCAAUUUUAAACUUUUGAUACAUGCAUUGAAAGCUUAAACUCCUUUAAGAAAUUAUUAAUAGACACAUGUUUUAUUAGUGUCAUCUUUUGGAUGAUAGUGAGGAUCUUAUGUCUAUUAAUAAUUCUUGAAUUAUCUAGGCUUGGACAGUUUGGUAAUGCAUAGUUUUCUAUGGUAGCUAGUGCCUGAAAUUUUUUUCCCACGUAAAAAUGGGUUUUUCAGCAGCUGCUCCUCAUGUUCUCUGGGUGCAUACUAGACAAAUGGGUGUCAUGUGUUGUUUUGGCAUAACACAUAAACACUCAUAUAUCUAUGUCGCGUACUUGAAGAACUAUAGGGAGAUGCUUCCGAAGUUUCUAUAAACGUAGAGGAAAACUUUAGAUACUUAAGAUUGAAGAAACUUAUGCAUUCUUGAGUGGGAUAUAUAGGACCACUUACCUUUUGUAAAUAUGAAGGGAAUGUUGGAUAUAUUGAUGGGAGUGGAGGAGCUGAGUGGGAUGAAUGUAAUCGGUUAUGAUUUUGCUGAGUCGACUUGGUUUUGAGUCUUGUAAUUUUGUUUAUAAAUGGAGUACUAUCUCCAAUGUUGGUUUAUAAAUAUGUUUCAGCUGGCUGACCUAAUUUUUUGUUUCUAGGUAACAGGCUUUAUAUAUCUGUAAUUGAUAGCCAAGUGAAGUUCUCAGCAGUGGGUAACAGGCUUUACAGAAGAAUACUAUAAAUAAUUCUUGAAUUAUCUAUGCUUAUUGACCAUAGAUCAAAACAAUCUCUUCCUUUUCAACCCCAUCUCUGUCAUUGCUCUGCAUCCGUAUACAUAAAGUGAUAUGAGUCGCACUAGAGUUUUUGCUGUGGAGGAUGUUACUAAGUGUAUCAAUUUCUUGCAACCGAAAGCUACAAGUUUUGUUAGGUUCCCAAAAGAUACCGAUGAUGAUGGCAAUAGAAUUAACAGACUUUGACAAUAAUAUACUCUUAGAAUUUCAAGAUACUGAAAAAUGGGGGCAAGUUUGGAGUCUUGUUUGCACAGCUGCCUCAGAUGAUAGUGCCGGUGCAGCUUUAAUUCUUUUAUCAUUGCCAACUUCCCCACAUGUUUCUCUCAGCAUCCUUCCUUCGAAAAUUCCUCUUCGUUGAAUGAAAAAUAAACCAGUGCGAGUAUUUCGAGAUUGUGAAAUCUCUCCAGUACGUUCCAGAUUGGAAAACAAGCUGAGUCAUCUCCGGCAAUCUCUAGUUGUUUAAGACUGCCAAAAAGGUGUUGUGGGAAAUCGGCCUGCAAAAUCAUCUUCACAUCUUUUCCACUUAGUGAUAGUUCCUUCAAGUUGGGUACGAUCUGAUCAUCAUCAAUCAUAAUAACUAAUGAGGUCAAUUGAUGUUCUUUCAAAUGAUUUUGAGUAAUCCAAUCACGCAGUGACUUUAUAGUAUUUAUUUUAUAUUAAUUUUACCCCUAAAAAAAUUGAAUUAGUGAUAAAAUUCAUUAUAUGAUUUUUUUAUAUGUUAGUUUUAGAGGUAAUAAAGAAAUUAGGGAAAAAAACGAAAUUAUUUUAUUGCACGAUAGUAGACUCUUGCUUCUCAGUGCCUUUGCCACUGUAGUCAAGGCAAUGGGCAAACCUCCACACAACCUGGCGACGUCUGUUGCUGUAGAUUCCAACUCACGAUUUUCAACAUCAUCACCGGCCAUCAUCUUAAACAAUCUCCAGGCUUCUUCUUCAUUUAAAUUGUUAAUCAAGAAGUUGUCUUUAGAUCCCAUUUUUAAGAGGACGCCACGAUCUCUUGCUGUCAGCAGUAGUUUGCAGCCUUUAUGAUCUUCUCCAAAAGGAAUUCCAACUGUCUCCAAGUCAAGGUGCUUCCAGAUGUUAUCUAAAACCACAAGGAUCUUCUUCUCAUUUCUCAAUCGCUCAAAUAGUUUACAUGCUCUUCUAGAUUCAACUUCCUCGUGCAACUCCAGGCCCAACUUCUCGGCAAUUUCCUGUUGAAUCCUUUUUAUGUCUGGAAUUUGGGAAACCUCUGAAAAGACCACCAUAUCAAAGAGCUCGUCUUCCAUAGCUUGCCUGGCGACCUUCUUCACCAGUGUCGUCUUUCCAAUGCCGCCCAUGCCGUACACCCCAAUGAUGCUGACACUAACAUCGAUCAAUGCGUUUUUUACAACUGACUUCAUCAACAAAGCUUUUGUGAAUAUGCGUUACAUUACAACUGCGAUAUCCUUUCACUGUAUAUUCAUACAGUGGCAGGCCAUGUGACGUUGUGACCCAUGUGCUAGCUUUCACUAUUCAUAUUAUUUUUUUACACGGUGUUUAACAAAAUCUUCACGUAAAGAUUUCAGACGCGUGAUCCUAAUUCAGUAUGCAUUAUUUAUUUAUAAAAUGAAAAUAAAAAGAUAAAAGGAUGUGACUUAACUUGCUAUCAGUGCGGAUCCAGGACUUAAUAUUAUUUCGGGUUAAAUUUUAUAUUUUAAAAUUUAUAUUUUGAAGUGAACAUAAAAAUUUAUAAGUAGAAAGAAGUAUAUUAAAUGAGGGGAGAUAUGGAGAGCUUUAUCCCUAUGAAUAUGUAUUAUAAACGAAAAUAAUUGUAAGAAAAGAGUAGAAACCAAAAGGCAAUUCAAAUAUCAAAACAUUAUUUUUCAAUUAUGGAAUCCGAUAUUGCAACCUAUAAUAACAUGUAAUUAUAUAAGGAUUAAUAAAUCAAUUAAGAAUUUCAAACUAAAUUAGAUCAGUACAUGUGAUUAAAAUUAAUUAAAGAUUACAAGUAAAACUUUUUUGUUUGAAGUCAAGUACUAAAUUACCAAGCUUAAAUAAAUUUAAAAAAUUAAAAUUCAUUCAUUCUUUCGAAUUAUAAAAGUAUUAUUAAUAAAAAAUUUAGUAAUAAACUAAAUUCAAUUCAACAAAAAGUUAUUUGGAUAUCGUUGUUUCAUUGCCAGUGCACUAACUUUCUUUAUAGAAGUAGAUGUUGAUGAUUCUUCUAUUAAAGUUCCUCAAAAUACCUAAAUUUUAUUUUCUAACUUCUUCUCGUAGUUAAUGUAACUAAUAAAUAGAAUCUAAAAAAUCACAUAAAAUGUUUAUGAAAAUGUUGAUAAUUGUUACUAUUUAUUGUUUUCGUAAGUACUUUUAAUGCUAGUGACGAUGUUAUAUUACAUUGAUUUAUAUUUUUUUUCAAUUAGAAGUUUUUUAAAAUAAAUUAAAGCGAUAAUAAUACUUUAGCUCCUAAUGUUUUCAAUCUAUCCACUAAGUAUAUAAUUUAAUCAUUUUAUAAAAUAAGUCACUAAUUUCAAUUGGAAAUAAUACAAUUUAAUUAGGGAUAUAUUUGAAUAUAAAAUAAUAGCCCAAUUGUUAUACUAAAUUGAUGAAAAUAUAAGGGUAAUUGAGUUAGGGAAAUAUUUGAAUAUAAAGUAAAAACUCUAUUGUUAAACUAAAUUGAUGAAAACAUAAGGAUACUUGAGUUAGGGACAUAUAUGAAAACAAAAUAAAAACUCUAUUUUUAUAAAAAAAUUAUAAGAAAACAAGGUGUAUAAAUGAUUUUUUCUGUGCUAGACCAAGCUACAACCCAGUCUAGCCCAACUGUAGGUCCGCCACUACUUGCUAUUUACAUACAGACAUGUAGCCCUUAUUCUAAUAUCUAUAGGAAAAGACACUUAUACUCCAAGAUUUGAAGAAAUGGUCACGUAGAUCUCUAAGUUUUCAGUAACCAAAAUUUCUUUUUGACUAUAAUACUUUUUGUACAUAGUAAAUAAAAAAUGACUUUAAGAUUUUUUUUAAUAAAUAUAAAUAUAACUUAAAUAGUUUAAUCUGUCUAAUAGACUAAUAAUAUUAGAAUAUUUUUAAUAUAUAAAAUAUUUUUUAAAUAAAAACAUUAUAUUUAUUUUAAUAAUAUAUUUUUAUUUAUCAUAAAAAUAUCAAAUAAAUCAUUGGGGUUAAAUAGAAUUUAAAAUUAAUAAAACACAUCUCAUUAAUAAAAUAUAUCUCAUGUAGUAAUAAUAUUGAAAUUAUUUUAUAUAAUAUUUAAAAAAUUUAUAAAAUUUAUAAAAUUUAUAAAAUUUAUUUUAAUAUUAUGUUCUUAUUUAUUAUAAAAUUUAGUCUAAUAUAAUAUAAGAUUGUUAAGUAUAUAAAUAUUUUCCUAAAUUGAAGUUGUUUUAAAAUGUUAAUAUUUUAUGUUUAUUUCAAUAUUAUAUUUCUAUUUAUUAUAAAACAUAGGAGUCAAUUUUUUUGAGUUAAUAGAGUCAAAUGUAUUAUAGUCGAAAGAGGUAUUGGUAUUCCUUAUUAAAAAUUUAGGGGUCUACAUGACUAUUUGCCAAACCUUAGGUGUAACGUCCUUUUCUCCAAAAUUGAUUCUCUAUAGGUAUUUCAUGAAGGAAAAUGAUAUUUACAAUGAAUCAAACCCCGGACUAGUUAAAAUGCAUUAUUUCAGCUUAAAUAAUGGUAAAUAUUUGUUCAGUCUCUAUAUUUUGAAUUAAGUACCGUUUAGUCCCUCAAGACACCUUUGUCAGUAAGCACAAUAUAAUCCUACCCUUACUUUUUCUUUGAUUUUAUAAUAACAUGCUUGCAACAAUAUUCUUAGAUAUGUUAAUGUAAAGAAAAAUUUAAAUUUAUCAAAUCAGCCUUAAAAGUAAAAUACAAAUUAGUUGUUAUUAUUAUUAAUAAAAUAAUAAAAUAAUAAAAUAAUAAAAUAAUAAUAACAAUAAUUAACAUUAAUUAAAAUAAUAAAGUUAAUAUAUUAUAUAACAAAAAAAACAAUAUUUACAUUUAUCAAAUUUUCAUGUGUUUAAAAAAAAUUAUGUGAUAUUACAUUAUUAUCUUUACACAAUCAAUCAUUUUUAUGAUCAAGUUAGGCUAAUGGAUCAAGCUUUAAAAAAUUUAAAACAAUAGGAGUUAUAUAAAUAAAUAUUUAAAAAAUUUUGUUUUAUGAUAUUAUAAUAAACAGUAAAGAUUUAAGUCUUAAUAACCAAUUGAACACAUCUCAACCGUUGACAGUAGCGGCUCGACCUCUAGGCAACUUAAGCGGUUGUCUAGAGCCCCGCUUUACAUUAAGGUCCUAUGAAAUGAUUAUUUUGUAUAUAAAAGGGAAAAGUGAAUUUAAAAGUCAUUACUAUGCAUUUAAUUUGUUAUUAUUUUGUAAUUAUCUUUUUCUAAAUAAACUAUCAAAUUCCUAUAAAGUUUAUUUAAUGUAGUACUUAGUAGUUUUAAUUCCUACAAAACCGAUAAAUUAAUAGUUUCAAUCCUACAAAUUCUCUAUUUAAUUGUUAGAAUUAAUAUGUUAUAAUUAAAAAGUUUUAUAUUCAUUUUAAACCUCUAUAAAAGCCCCACAUUUUAUUACUUAUCUAUUAAAUUUUUCCUCUAAUAAUCAAGACACGAUAUGUUGUUAGUGUUUGAGAGAAAGAAAGACAGAGAUGGAAAAAAUCAUGCUUCCUCUACUUUCCACUCAAGAAGAAAAAAAAAAAUCUAAUAAUUUUCUCUAUACUCUAUGGCUAUUGGUCAUUACUUAAAUCCUCAAAUAAUUAAUAUAAAUAUAAAGUUAAUUCAUGAUUUCAUCUCAAAUUCCAGAUUUUAUCUUUUUAUUAUUCUCUUAAUUAGUUGUGUUAUUUACUUGUUCUUAUUUUUUUUCAAUAUAUUCUUUUAUUCAUCUACUUUUUUUUGUAUGCUUGUUUUAUCUAUUUUGAAAUAAAAUUAUAUCGAAAAACUUUAGAAAAUAGAAAAAUUAGUUUAAUCUAGAAAAGGAGUAGUAAAAAAGAUGUAAUUUGAGUUGAAGAACAAUAAGUGAAAAUAUUAUAAUUGAAUUAAAAUUUAAUAGAUAACCCUAAUUUUUUUAUAAGAACUAAUUAAAAUCAUUUGCCUAGGGCCCCAAAUAUGGUUGAGUCGGCCCUGACCGUUGAACACUUUAGCUAUUAGAUUCAUCAGUUGAAUUAGAAAAAUAUAAAAUUUGGGGUACCGUGCAACUGUUGCAAGGUAGGCGGACACGUUAUAUUUAAUAUAGAAUAAAUAAACUAAAUAUGUGUAAAGAAUAUAGGUUAUUAACCUUGCAAUACUUCAAAAAAUUAUAAAAUAAAAAAGGUGAAAUUUCAAAAUAAGGAACUGUAAAAAGUAUUAGGUUCUAAAAUUUUAUUAUUUUAAUAUUACAAAACUUUACUUUUUUAUAACAUUUUUGUUUUUAAUAUUAGUUGACAUGUUAGUUUAUUUGUAUAUAAAAUAUGUUAAUUUACCUAUAAAAUACUAAUAUUACUCUUGAAAUUUAAGGAAGCCAUUUUAAUUUUUUAAAAUUUUAAAUGUAGCCCAACAAAGUCAUAGAAAUAUAAAUAAAGAAUAGCAUAAAAGGAAGUUAGUUUAAUUUUUUGAAGAAUACUUCAAAAGCAUUUGAGUUUUAUGUUUCUUGAGAAUUAUACCUUUUUGUUUUUUAGAUAUUUGAGCUUGUGAAUCUUGUUGUAAUGAUAAUUUAUUAUUUAUUCUUGAUUAAAAAUAAUUGAAUAGUAAAUUUAUUGGUUUCUAAUUACUCUUUUAAAUGUAGGGCGAUUGCUUAAUUUUUAUUAUGUUACCCUAAAUUUUUUGAUGAUGGCUAAUCAACCACUGCAAAAGACUCUACCAUGAUUAUUUUUACUUUCUCUACAUCCCUCUAGACCAUCAUCACUCAAAGAAUUAAGAGUCCAUUUGGCAUACUGUAUUAUAUUAUACUGUAUUGCAUUAUUUAAUAUAGGUAUAUUGUAUUAUGUUAUAUUACAUUAGUACUAAAUUAUAAUAAUAUUUGUACAACAUUUGGUAAUUGGUAUUACAUUGUACUGCAUUAAUUUUAUAUUAAUAUUAUACUAACAUUAUUUAAAUUUAUUAUUAAUUAUAUUAAAUUAUUAUUUUUAUAUAAAUAUAAUAUGAUAUAAUAAAAUAAUAUGAUAGUAUAAUUUAAUUUUAUAUUUUUAUUUAUUAUUAUAAUAAAUAAAAAUAUAAUAAAAAUAUAUUUAAUGCUUAAUUAAGGUAAAAUAAUAAUAAUAACAAUAGUAUUACUUUAAACAAAAAAAUCUAUAAAGUUUAAAGAUGAUGAUGAUGAUGUUGACGACAUUAAUAAUAACAUAACAAUUAAAAUAAUAAAACAAAUAAAUUUUAAUGAUAUUAAUAUUAAUAAAAUAAUAAUAACAAUAAUUAAAAUAAUAAAAUUAAUAUAUUUUAAUAAUAGUAAUAAAAAUAAUAUUAAUGACAGUAAUAAAAUUAAUAAAUAAUAAUAAUGACUUAAUUAAAAAUAAUCAUAAUAAUUAAAAUAAUAAAUUUUGAUGAUAAUAAUAAUAAUAUUAUUAUUAUUCUUAUUAAUAUAAUAAUAAUGACAUUAAUAAAUAAUACUAAUAAUAACAGUCAAAUGUUUUUGAAAAACCAUUUUAUCCCAAAAAAAGGGACUUAUAUAUAAAAUUUUGUAACUUCUAAUGUCUAUUCAAUUUUUUCAUAAAAUAUAAGGUAGUGCAGUGUAAUUAAUAAAAAAGACAAAAUUCGGUGGUAUGCUGCAAUUGUUGCAACAUAGUUUCAUCUUUAUUUGUGAUCCUAAAGUUUGAGAUAUGUGAUCCUUAUUCUAUUGUGUCAAUUAUAGUCCAGUCCAAUGCCGCCAUCAUUAUCGAACAGUCGAUAUCCAACACUUGCACGAAGAUUCCAAGAAGUUGUGUGGCUGCCGACUUUUAAAUGCUAAGCCUUAUUGUGUCGAAGAUACACAAAACAGAGCAGUCCAGGUAAUUGCCAAAACUUAGAACUAAACAGUAGCUUAGUCAGAAAAUCAAACAAGUACCAAUAAAAUGACUGAUAAAAAUAUAAAGAAAUCAGUCAAAUCACGAAGAUUGAAGAGUAAAUCAAUGGUUUUAGAUUUUUAUUUUUUUUUUUAGAUAAUAGAUAUUAUUUUGAUGAAUUUUUUAAUAUUAGAAUAAUGUUAGGAAUUCCAAUAGUAGAAUUCUAGCUUAAGACCCAAUUAUUAUGUGUCAUUUUUUUAUUGGAUAAUGAAUUUCAUAACUAAUAAAAUUAAUAUUUCGAUCAUUUAAUAAAUGACUACCAUAUUAGUUGAGACUCAAUUAUUAGGAUCAUUAACAUUGCUCUUAGUAUUAAAUUGGACAUCUUAUCCAAAUCAGAUUAAAAAUCAAAUUAGAUUUUAAGCUUUUAUUCAACAUCUCCUUUUUUUUUUUUUUUUUUGGUCUAUUUGAAGUGAACAAAAUAAAAAUACAUUAGGGUCAACGACUGGGCAAUUGAUAGUCAAGUAUUUUGUUGUUUUUGCUACCUUGAAUUAAAUUUUCUCAAUUAGAUCAACAAGCAUUAAGCUUGAAUUAAAUUAUGCAAGGUUCAUUUCUUUUGUUUGAUGCAAAAAAAGAAAAAAAAGAAAAAAAAAUGUUUACAUUCUUGGCGACUUGAGUAGAAAUAAGCGUUUUGAUAUCAUAAGGUUCAUUCAAUGAGUUCAUUCUUCCCAUUUUGAUCUCUUUUUCUUUCAUAGACAUUUCUUUUUCAUUUAACCCCAUUACAACAUUUCUAAGACCCUUAGAUUUUUGCAUUUAAUUCAUGUUUUAUGGAUUGAGAUGUGAUAUAUGAGCAAGCUCAUGAUAAUAGCAUUCUUUGAUUUGAUUUGAGUGCAUAAAUGAUACCUUAAACACUUUGAGUACAUGGAGUGAAGUUAAUGAGAGGGCUAUUAAAUCUUGUUGCACUUGAAUUUUGAAUGGAUAUUUGAUAACUCUAGGAAAUGAGAGUUAUUACAUCAAUUCUAGACUUGAAUCAAGGUCACUUAGAGAACAAAUAAAGUGUUUUUAUUACAUUUUGGGUACCUUUUUGCAUAAACAUUCAUUUUAGUUGAGUCUAAUAAAUUUUGCUUGAAUCAUAGUAAUUUGUGCUAAAAACAGGUUUUAAAUUGUAGGUUUUAAAUUCGUGAGAGGAUGUUGAGGCAUUAGAAGAGCAAGAGGAGGAAGGAAGUUGGCCACAAAAGAAGUAAAGCACAAUCGGGAAUAAAACAGUAUUGUAGCAGCUGUUAGAGCAACCAGUGCUAUAACAAUCUUGGAGCAAUGCGGGAGAAAACUUAGGCGCGAGUCAGCCACAAAAUCGUGAUCUGCAUGUUUCCUAAUUCAAGCAUAUGCACGCUCAUAGGCUUUGGUUUAACCUAAUUUGCAAUAUAAAAAAGAGGCGUGCAGCACAUAGAAAGGCGGCAAGGAAUUAUCAUAAAAAAUAAUUACAAAGGCAAGAAGAAGGAGAUCAAGAUUAAAGAGUGCUAUUCGGAAACAAAAGGAGAGAGCCGUGCAGAAUUAUUUGCCUUUCAUCGUGCUCAACUUAUAUUUUCUCUUUUUCCUUGAAUUGUUGGGAUGUAUUCCGAGUUCAACAUAUUUGUGUUUAUUUUUCUCAUCCAGAUUAUGAACUAAAUUUACUUGUGGUUGAGUGAAAAAUAAUCCAAUGGGUUCUUGACUAUUCUUUUAUGUUGUUAUGGUAAUGUUGUAGCAUUAUACUCUAGUAGUUUUUAUGAAUACAACUGUUGUUUCGGUUCACCACCCAUUUAAUAGUUUCAGUUAAGAUAGAGCAGCAAAAGGGCAUGUCUUAGCGGACAUUAUUAGAGUAUUACUUGUUCUUAAGUCGAGUUUCCUGGAAUAUGUUAUCUUGAAUCCCAUAAGGGCAAUACUUGAAGUUAAGAUUUGUGACACUCUAGACAUAGGUGUUCACCUUGUAGGGUAGAGAGAUUAAAGGUUAUAAUGCCAUACCAUAAAUAUAUGAGCAACUGGUCAUUGUUAGUAGAUUUAAAAGUAUGAAAUUUCCAACAUGCGAUAGCUGCGGAUGCAGAUUUAUUCUACCCAUUGCUGCAGCACUUAUUGAAACAAUUGGUGCUAAUUUGGUAAACAACAGUCACCCCAUUAGGAGAGUUUGAUCAUUCAACUACUAUAUUUUCAAUUGAAUCUUAGACACAUUUAACUUAGUUUACUUCAUUACAGUAUUGUUUUAUUUUCAUCUCUCAUAAUUAUUAGUUACAGCAGAAUUAUUUGACAAUUGUUUGUUUCGAUCUUUAAUUGAUUUGCACUAUUGUGAUUGUUUUAGCAUUUUGAGUAACAGCAAUCCCUGUGGAGACGAUCUUGAAUACUCAUCACUUUAUUACUUGUUGUGUAUACUUGCACAUUGGCAUUGAUAAUAAUUGCUUAUAGAAAUUAACCAACAAGUUUUUGGCGCCGUUGCUGGGGAUUGAUUGUUUAUUUUUGAAGUGUGAAGUAAAUCUUGAUAGCGCCAAAUCUGAUUUGAUUUAUUCUAUUUAUUGGCAGAUCGGUACAUGCAUGUGUAAAGACAAAUCUGUGGUAUUCUAAUUCGAUCCUGAGAUUGAAAGGACUGUCAGGAGAUUACGAAGAGAACAAAGGAAUUCAGAAAUUGCUUCAAGCAUGAAUAAUUUACAAGAUGCAGGAAAUUUGAAUCCUCACGGGCCCUUACAACCAGUGAACAUUCAAGAAGAGCAGAAUGACCAUGCUAACGGGAGACAGCCAGGCAAUAACAAUAUUAUUUACAUGGCUGAUGACAGAGACAGAGCUAUAAGAGACUAUGUUGUGCUAACUCCUCAAGUUAUAUAUCCUGGCAUCAUCAGACCUGAAGUAGACGCUGCCAAUUUUGAGUUGAAGCCAGUGAUGUUUCAAAUGUUGCAAACUGUUGGGCAUUUUAUUGGAUUACCAAAUGAAGAUCCUCAUCUCCAUCUUAAAUUGUUCUUGGAAGUAAGUGAUGCUUUCAAGAUUGCUGAAGCAACACAAGAUGCCUUAAGGCUGCGGCUUUUCCCUUAUUCCUUAAGAGAUCGAGCAAGAGUAUGGUUAAAUUCGUUACCAUCUGAUUCCAUCACUACAUGGAAUGAAUUGGCUGAUAAAUUCUUAAUGAAAUAUUUCCCACCGACAAAAAAAUGCGAAGUUGAGGAAUGAGAUUACUUCCUUCCAUCAACUUGAAGAUGAAAGUUUGUACGAGGCUUGGGAAAGAUUCAAGGAAUUGCUCAGAAGGUGUCCUCAUCAUGGUAUCCCUUGUUGCAUUCAAUUGGAAACUUUUUACAAUGGGUUGAAUCCAAGUACAAGGUUAAUGGUGGAUGCUUCAGCAAAUGGAGCUCUGUUAUCCAAAUCUUACACUGAAGCCUAUGAAAUUCUGGAAAGAAUUGCCAACAAUAAUUACCAGUGGCCUUCAGCCAGGCAACCAGCAGCAAGAGGAUCAGCAGGGGUACAUAACAUUGAAACAAUUACAGCUUUAUCAGCUCAAGUAACCUCAUUGACUAACAUGGUAAAAGCCAUGACAGCUGCUCCAGCAACAGUAAAGCAAGUUACUGAACUUUCUUGUGUCUACUGUGGUGAAGAACAUGAUUUUGAUAAUUGUCUUGGAAAUCCAGCCUCAGUAAACUAUGUGGGUAACUUCAAUCGACAACCUCAGAACAACCCAUAUUCAAAUACUUACAACCCAAGCUGGAAACAACACCCAAAUUUCUCAUGGAGCAGUCAAAAUCGAAAUGCUCCAGCAUUGAAUGGACUAAGUACAAACACACAACCACUUAGUUUUCAUUAGCAAAGUCAAGGGCAAAAGCAUAUUAGUCAGGAUCCAAUCACUUCACUAGAAACACUGAUUAAGGAGUAUAUUGCAAAGAAUGAAGCAAUUGUGCAAAGUCAAGCUGUAUCUUUAAGAAACCUUGAGAACCAAAUGGGACAACUAGCUACAGCAAUGAGCAGCAGAACUCAAGGAAGCCAACCUAGCAACACAGAAGACCCUAGGAGAGAGGGCAAAAAAGAAGUUACAACACCAGUAGUUACAACUUGCACAAAAUCAAACAAACAAAGUUUAAUAUCCCCUGAAGUUACCCAGCAGUUUAGACAUCCACCACCUUUCCUACAAAGGUUCCAGAAGCAAAAAUAAGACAAGCAGUUCAGCAAAUUCCUGGAAGUGCUGAAAUAAUUGCACAUAAACAUACAUUUUGUGGAAGAUUUGGAGCAAACGCCAAAUUAUGUUAAAUUUCUAAAAGAUAUCUUGGCACGAAAAAGAAGGCUGGGAGAGUUUGAAACUGUUGCUUUAACACAAGAAAGCAGUCAUAUGCUCCAGAGCAAAAUUCCCACAAAAUUGAAAGAUCCAGGGAGUUUUACAAUACCUUGUUCUAUAGGAACUAGAUAUGCUGGCAGAGCACUUUGUGACUUGGGAGCUAGUAUUAAUCUGAUGCCAUUAUCUGUAUUUAAGCAACUGGGAGUAAGGGAGUGCAGACCAACAACAGUCACUCUGCAAUUAGCUGACAGAUCUCAUGCAUACCCUGAAGGAAAGAUAGAGGAUGUAUUGGUGAAGGUUGACAAAUUCAUCUUUCCAGUGGAUUUCAUUGUGUUGGACUUUGAAGCCGACAAAGAGGUACCCAUUAUACUUGGAAGACCUUUUCUAGCAACUGGAAAAACUCUGAUAGAUGUGCAGAAAGGAGAGCUCACCAUGAGAGUGAAUGAUCAGCAAGUCACAUUUAAUGUGCUAGAGGCAAUGAGAAACCCUAGAAGAUUGUAAUUUCCUAAGUGUAGUGGAUCUUGUUGUAGCAGACAGAAUGGACAGAUGCUGCAGUAAUAUACUUGACAAAGUCACCACCUUUGAGGAUGUUGAAGAGGAAGAUGUUGCAGCAAUCCAAACAGAUUGGAUGGACAAACAACAAUCUGAUAGGUACAACAGGUUUAUUGAACACCUGAAUCUUUUAGACAUGGAAGUAAAAACAACUUUACCAUCUAUUGAAUCACCUCAUAAUUUUGAGUUAAAAUUGUUACCUUCACAUUUAAAGUAUGCUUAUCUUGGUCAAAACAACACACUCCCUGUAAUCAUUUCUUCUACUUUGGAUGCAGGUCAAGAACAUAGUUUAGUAGAUUUGCUGGGAAAAUACAGAAGAGCAAUUGGAUGGACCAUGGCAGAUAUAAGGGGGAUAAGCCCAUCCAUCUGUAUGCAUAAAAUCCUAUUAGAGGAUUGUUCCAGCAAUUCGGUGGAACACCAGAGAAGGCUGAAUCCUAUUAUGAAAGAAGUGGUGAAGAAGGAAAUCAUCAAAUGGCUAGAUGCUGGAAUCAUAUACCCAAUAUCAGACAGUUCAUGGGUAAGCCCAGUUCAGUGUGUUCCAAAGAAAAGAGGGAUAAUAGUAAUGGCUAAUGAGAAUAAUGAACUUAUUCCUACAAGGACAGUGACUGGAUGAAGAGUGUGUAUGGAUUACAAGAAGCUUAACAAAGCCACAAGGAAAGACCAUUUCCCACUUCCAUUCAUAGAUCAGAUGUUGGACAGACUUACUGGAAAACAGUACUACUGUUUCUUAGAUGGGUAUUCAGGCUACAACCAGAUUGCUAUAGUUCCAGAGGAUCAAGAGAAGACUACAUUUACUUGUCCUUAUGGAACAUUUGCCUUCAGAAGAAUGCCAUUUGGGCUAUGCAAUGCUCCAGCAACUUUUCAGAUAUGCAUGAUGUCUAUAUUUUCUAAUAUGGUAGAGCAAACUUUGGAAGUUUUCAUGGAUGACUUCUCAGUUUUUGGAGAAACAUACAAUGAUUGUUUACACAACUUGGAAGAAGUUCUUAAAAGAUGUGAGAUGACCAACUUAGUACUCAAUUGGGAAAAGUGCCAUUUCAUGGUGCAAGAAGGAAUAGUGCUGGGUCACAAGAUAUCCAAGGAUGGUAUUGAGGUAAACAAAGCCAAGUUAGAGGUAAUAGAUAAACUGCCACCUCCAACUUCAGCAAAGGGUGUUAGGAGUUUUUUGGGUCAUGCUGGAUUCUACAGAAGAUUCAUUAAGAAUUUCUCCAAUGUAGCUAAACCUCUGUGUUCAUUGCUGGAGCAUAACAAACCAUUUCACUUUGAUACAGAGUGCCUUAAGGCAUUUGGAGAAUUAAAGAAAGCUCUUAUCAUUGCUCCAGUAGUUAUAUCUCCAUAGUGGACUUUACCAUUUGAAUUGAUGUGUGAUGCUAGUGAUCAUUCUGUGGGGGCAGUAUUAGGGCAAAGAAAGGAUAAGGUUUUUCAUUCCAUAUACUAUGCAAGCAAAACGUUCACUCCAACUCAGAUCAAUUACACAACUACAGAGAAAGAGUUGCUAGUAGUAGUUUUACUUUUGACAAAUUCAGAGCUUACCUGGUGGGUACCAAAGUAACUGUUUACACAAACCAUGCAGCCAUCAAAUAUUUAAUUUCAAAGAAGGAUGCCAAACCAAGAUUAAUCAGAUGGAUCUUAUUGCUUCAAGAAUUUGAUCUGGAAAUUAAAGAUAGAAAGGGGACUAAGAAUCAAGUGGCAGACCACUUGUCACGGUUGGAAUCAGACACUAGUACAUUGACAAGGAAGGACAUCACCGAAACUUUUUCUGAUGAACAGUUGUUGGUAAUACAGCAAGCACAGAUGCUGCAGCAGUCAGAAUCUCCAUGGUAUGCAGACUUUGCUAACUACUUAGUAAGUGGGUUGCUACCACCUGAGCUGAAGUUUUAAGAGAAAAAUAAAUUUCUUCAUGAUGUUAGAAGUUAUCAGUGGGAUGACUCACAUUUAUAUAAGCUAUGCUCAGAUCAAGUAAUAAGAAGAUGUGUUGCAGCAGAAGAAAUACCUCAUAUACUGGAGUCAUGUCAUGCUGCAGCAUAUGGAGGAUAUUUUGGUGGUCACAGAGCAACUGCCAAAGUUAUGCAAUCAGGUUAUUAUUGGCCCACUAUCUUUAAAGAUGCUUAUGAAUUUGUUAAAUGUUGUGAUAUGUGUCAAAGGACAGGGAACAUAACUAGCAGACAUGAGAUGCCUUUGACUAACAUAUUGGAAGUGGAAGUUUUUUAUGUUUGGGAAAUAGAUUUCAUGGGACCUUUUCCCCCAUCCUUUGGGAACUUAUAUAUCAUUGUUGCUGUAGAUUAUGUCUCCAAGUGGGUAGAAGCUGCAGCAUUACCUACCAAUGAUGCUAAAACAGUGGUGACUUUUCUUCAAAAAAAUGUUUUCUCUAGGUUUGGCACUCCUAGAGCAAUUAUUAGUGAUGAAGGCACACAUUUUUGCAACAAAAUCUUUGCUGCAGCAAUGAUGAAAUAUGGAGUCAGACACAAGAUAGCAACAGCAUAUCACCCACAAUCCAAUGGUCAGGCUGAAGUGUCCAACAGAGAAAUUAAAAAGAUCUUAGAAAAAGUGGUGAACCCAAAAAGGAAGGAUUGGUCUUUACAUUUGCAUGACUCUCUAUGGGCCUACAGAACAACAUACAAAACUCCACUCGACAUGUCUCCUUACCGAAUUGUUUAUGGCAAAGCAUGUCAUUUGCCACUAGAGCUAGAGUACAAAGCCCAUUGGGCAUUAAAGAAAUUAAAUUAGGAUAUGCAUGCUGCAGCAGGGCAAAGGAAACUUCAACUUUGUGAGCUUGAUGAAUUACGGCUGUUUUCAUAUGACAAUGCAAGAAUCUAUAAAGAGAGAACAAAACACUGGCACGACAAGCAUAUUCAACACAGGAAAUUCACCCCUGGUCAAUUAGUGUUACUCCACAAUACAAGACUAAGAUUAUUUCCAGGAAAGCUCAAGUCAAGAUGGUCUGGCCCGUUUAAGUUGUUAAAAUCUUACCUUCAUGGAGCUGUUGAUCUUCUAGAUGAACAAACAGGCCACGAGUUCAAGGUUAAUGGACACAGGGUUAAGCAUUACAUACAUCCAGCAGCAGAAUGUUCAAAGGAGGUGUUACUCCUUAAAGAACCUAGCUAUUGAACAAAGAAGGAAGGUCAUGCUGAAGGACCUUAAAUCAAGCGCUUCAUGGGAGGCAGCCCAUUGAGGAGAUAGCCACUUCAAACCAAGUUUGAUAGCCUUUGGUUUUGUAGACAGCUUUCUCUCUUUGCCAUCUUAUUUAAUUUCUGUUUUUCUAUGAUUAGCCCUUAUUUUCAUCCAUUUACAUUAUUGCAUUCUUUACUUUCACUUUAAUUUGCUAUAUCUAUUUCUUUUAAUAAAUUUUAGACUUAAUGUUAGUAAGUGUGAUAAUUGAAUUUCAUAUUGACAAGUGAGAGUGAAUGGUGGCAGAAUUCAGAGGUGAAUCACGUGUUAGAAGCUUUUAGUGGGGAGUCUGUAUCCGUUGUUAGAAUAAGCGAAUGGGUGCUGCAGCAGCUAAUUUUACCGUUACAGUAAAUUAAAAGCUGGAGCCUUUCACUUACCGUUGGAGAUAAAAUCGUGACAGAUGGAUGCAUGGACAUGGAUAGAAAAUUGAGGAAACCAAUCUAUGAAAUUAAAGCUUUAAUUUCAUUGGCCGAUAAUUUUGGGGAUAUGGACAUUUAAUUCAAAUAUUUUAUUCCCUCAAUUAUCUCUCGUUACCGUAUUUAUCUUCAAAUUAAAGUCCAUUAUAAAAAAGAAUCACUGUGCUUAGUGCUCUACGCCACUAUUCCCCAUCUCCUUCGCAAAGACAACUCUAAAAACUCUUAAACUCUUUUUCUCUUUUUAUUCUCAGGAACAGUAGCUUCAAUUUGUUAUUGCUACAGCAAUGCCGAGAUACAAGAAAAUAGUCAGUCGCCUCAAAGAUCUAUCACGAUUCCAGAGUUACCACGCUGAAGAAAAAUAUGAAGAAUUCAUAGAGCCACGUCGGAUUCUGGAAGAAAAAAGGGUUUCAAUUCCCAGACCAACUCACGGGAAUUGUGCAAACCAUUCAUAAUGCUAUAGCAAAGCGAGGAUGGUUAGAGUUUUGCAACCACCCUCGCGAUCCUGUGUUGCCUGUAGUCAAAGAAUUUUACGCCAAUUUGGUGUUCGUCUUGACGCUAGAGAUGAACAUGUAAAAAAUGAUGGUGCCUGUACGGCACGUACCAUUGAGAGAGUUGCUGGUGAGAGUGCUGGAACAACCACUGAACCAGCUGCUAUCACUGGAGCAAGACGAGCCAUUGGUUUAGAACAGACUAUCCAGGUACUCAGCAAUAGUAUAACUCAAUGUGUGGAAGCUCAACAGAGGGAAAAUGGUCGAUUUUGGAGCUAUCUACAGCACUUGGAUAACCAACUACACCAAUUUGAUCUGUACAUGAAACGCACUCACUGGAACUUCCCUGAUGCACUGCUCCAGCAGUUCCAUUUUGCCAUAAACACCACAGGUGCUCCAGCAGCAGCCAGUGAAGAAGCCACUCCUUCAGAUGAACCAGCAGAGGACGCUGCCACUGAGCUACAAGCAGCAGUCGACUCAGAAGAGGCUGAACCGUCUGAUCCACCUGAGGACGAAGGUGACAAGUCUGAGACUGAUAGCUCACCCUCAGAGGCAGAGGAUAACUCAGAGAAAGAAAGUGAGGAACCAACCAUCCCAAGCUAGCCCAAAACUAGAAAAAAGCAUAUUAUUCAAGAAGAAGAAGAGGAAGACCUUGAAGAGGAGCUGCCUAUUCCAGUCUUUAAGGGUAAGAGGAAGGAUAAGGGUAAAGCAAAAUUGGCAACCCCUCCAGCCUCUGAAGAUGAAAUGGAGCAAGUCGAUGCUGAGUUGGCUGCUGCAGCAGCCAGAGCUAUGCCUACACCUGAGCAAGCCUAGCAACUACUUGCGGUUAUUGCUGCCAUCACCGCUGAGGGCCAGGCAGCUGAUGCAUUGACUCAAAAGCCUCCACAGCAAACUCCUGACCAGCCUAUCCGCACCAGUCCAAGACAAUCCAGCAAAUGAAAAGGCAGUACGUCUACAGGUACUGCUACAACAACCCCAGCCACCACUCCUCUCACCAGCCCCGCAGCGAAAAAGACAAAGACAUUGCCAGCCACUUCCCCAAAAGCUUCACCAAAGGAUAAGCUGCGCAGUGCGUCCAAGAAGCGCUGAUAGCAUCCUGUCAUGUGCUGCAGUCCCCACCACAGGGGAGUACUCUUUCCUUACUAGUGCAUUAAAAAAAAAAAAUUCAAUUUGUGUGUCAUUGUUAUGUUUGCUUGUGAGGACACAGCAACUCUCAAGUUUGGGGCGGGUUGUGUUCCCAAAUGCAUAUGUUUAUGUUUGUAUGCAUGUGUUUAUGUUUGUGUGGUGUGGAGCUCUAUUAUCUAAUAUUUGUGUAUGGAUUUGAAAGCCUAAUGAAGAUAAAUUGAGUGCUAUUCAAUAUAUAUAUGCCAAGUAGAGAUAGUUAUAGAUGAAAGUGAAAUUCUGUCCCGACACUUAGACUUUGGUUGAAUUGUACGAGACUGUUAGAGCAAAGCCAAAAGAAGAGAAAAGAUCUCAAGUUUGGGGGGGGGGGGUAGAAGCAAGUUUGAAUAACUGUGAUAUCUAUGGAAUACAAUUUGUUCCAAUGACUCAAGUUGCUGAGUAACCAUAUCUGAGUAUGUACCCCAUAUGCAGACUUGUGUUCAAAGGUAGCGAGAGUUAUGAGCAAUGCUGCACCAUAUAUAUAUAUAUAUAUAUAUAAAGAAAUCAUCUGUCUAAGGCAUUGAGUAGUUAGGUCUGUUCAUGAGCCCCAUGUUCAGCCUUGAGUAAAAGAUACUUCUAGAUAAGAUUACCUUACAAUUACUGGUGCAGCAACUCUAAUCUGGGCAUGGUUUGAUUAAUUGGGUGUCAUCAUUACAAUUGAUUGACAUUCACAUGAAAGAUAAAUGUUACAGUGAGGAGGUUAAAUAUUUCCUAGUUUGUCAAUCCUAAAAUAAUCACAGUUGAGUAUGUGAAAGUUAUGAUUACCCCAUUUAUGAAUGAAGUGUUCUCACUGUUGAAAUUCAUGCAAUCCCUUGGUGAUGCUAUAGCAUAUCUAGAAUUCAACCGAAAGAGCACACACACACACUAUGGACAGAAAGAAGCUUAAGUCUAGGACUAAUUUACUAUGGUCAUCUUGCUUGAUUGAGAAUAUGAUCUAAAGGUGGAAGAAUCCUUGCAAAGUUGAUAAAAGAGUUAAAUUUGUGUAAAGUGUUAGUAUGUGUCAUUACUUGAGGACAAGUAAUAGUUUAAGUUUGGGGGUGUGAUAACUCUAGGAAAUGAGAGUUAUUACAUCAAUUCUAGACUUGAAUCAAGGUCACUUAGAGAACAAAUAAGGUGUUUUUAUUACAUUUUGGGUACCUUUUGCAUAAACAUUCAUUUUAGUUGAGUUUAAUAAGUUUUGCUUGAAUCAUAGUAAUUUGUGCUAAAAACAGGUUUUAAAUUGUAGGUUUUAAAUUCGUGAGAGGAUGUUGAGGCAUUAGAAGAGCAAGAGGAGGAAGGAAGUUGGCCACAAAAGAAGUAAAGCACAAUCAGGAAUAAAACAGUGUUGUAGCAGCUGUUAGAGCAACCAGUGCUGUAGCAAUCUGGGAGCAAUGCGGGAGAAAACUUAGGCGCGAGUCAGCCACAAAAUCGUGAUCUGCAUGUUUCCUAAUUCAAGCAUAUGCACGCUCAUGGGCUUUGGUUUAACCUAAUUUACAAUAUAAAAAGGAGGCGUGCACCACAUAGAAAGGCGGCAAGGAAUUAUCAUAAAAAAUAAUUACGAAGGCAAGAAGAAGAAGAUCAAGAUUAAAGAGUGUUAUUCGGAAACAAAAGGAGAGAGUCGUGCAGAAUUAAUAGUUUCAGUUAAGAUAGAGCAGCAAAAGGGCAUGUCUUAGCGGACAUUAUUAGAGUAUUACUUGUUCUUAAGUCGAGUUUCCUGGAUUAGGUUAUCUUGAAUCCCAUAAGGGCAAUACUUGAAGUUAAGAUUUGUGACACUUUAGACAUAGGUGUUCACCUUGUAGGGUAGAGAGAUUAAAGGUUAUAAUGCCAUACCAUAAAUAUAUGAGCAACUGGUCAUUGUUAGUAGAUUUAAAGGUAUGAGAUUUCCAACAUGCGAUAGCUGCGGAUGCAGAUUUAUUCUACCCAUUGCUGCAGCACUUAUUGAAACAACUGGUGCUAAUUUGGUAAACAACAGUCACCCCAUUAGGAGAGUUUGAUCAUUCAACUACUAUAUUCUCAAUUGAAUCUUAGACACAUUUAACUUAGUUUACUUCAUUACAGUAUUGUUUUAUUUUCAUCUCUCAUAAUUAUUAGUUACAGUAGAAUUAUUCGAUAAUUGUUUAUUUCGGUCUUUAAUUGAUUUGCACUAUUGUGAUUGCUUUAGCAUUUUGAGUAACAUCAAUCCCCGUGGAGACGAUCUUGAAUAGUCAUCACUUUAUUACUUGUUGUGUAUACUUGCACAUUGGCAUUGAUAAUAAUUGCUUACAGAAAUUAACCAACAAUAUUCUUGGUGGUUGAUUUUGUUUUUUUAUACUAGCUUAUGAGAUCCUAUGCUUUAAAAUUCUUGUCUCUCGAAUGUUGAUUGAUUUAAAUUCUUGAGGUAUGCUUGCUUAAGAUUAUUUUUGGAUGAGUUGAGAUGAGAAUUGAGUGGAGAUUUGGGAUUAGUCUUGAGUUAUAUGCUUGAGGACAAGCAUUAUCUUGGUGUGGGGGAAUUUGUUAGAGUACAAUUUAUGCACUAGUUUUGCAUUGUUUACCUCCUUUAAUAUCGAUGUUUUGCACUUAAUAAUAGUGAUUUACUUGUGUUUUAUUUUUGUAGGUGCAAUUCGAUUGAUUGGUGCUAAAAUUGAGCUACAAGAUGAUGUUAGAGGAUGAUUGUUUUCCUGGAGAAAUUAUGAGCUUCAGAAGAACUUUGUUGAUAAGGCGUGGGCGCGUGCUGUCAACUAAGGACCUGCAGUUUUUAUUUUAACGUGUUUUGUCUCUUUGUUUAUUUUUGUAAUUUUGAAUUUAAUAUUUAGAUAAUAUUUUAGAUAUUAGUAUUUUAUUUUUGGAAAAACUCUAUAAGAGAAAGGAGACGUGAAAAACAAAGGAGGAUGAGAUUUUUAAAAAAAGAAAAAGAAACCCUAGAUCUAAAUUUUUCUCUUCUCUCUAUGAAGAACUAACCUAUUAUUCUGGUUGAAGGUUAAUAAAGCUUUGAUUCGUCAUUACUGGGAGAUCUUUCUUAUGCUUUAAUUGUUUUAUUACUUUUUGGGUAUUUGUUUAUUCUCUAAAUUAUGGUUAUGAUUAUGUUUGUUAAUUAGAUAAUUGGCCACUAUUUAAUUAUCAACUUAAUCUAUUGUCAAUUAAAAGAUUCAUCGUAUGAAGAUUUUAAUGUUUGUGACAAAUAGCAUAGCAAUGCGUUGUGUUAUGAGAAUAAACAAUCUAAUUUAAAUGAACCAUCGUAUGCGUUUGUUGAUUAGGAUUUGGGUCUCUUUGGUUUUUCAGGUUGUCAAUUGAUUAAACCCUAUGAUCGUAUCUAGGGUUGUCUAUUGAUUAGGGAAAUAACCAAUGGUCGUACCUUGGUUAUCGACUAGUUAAUGAGAGAUUAACUAUUAGAGGGUCUCAGUAGCUAUAAUCGGUCUAUUCAUAAGUAGUAAUGAUUUAUAUUUGAAUCAAUGAUCAGUAGUCGAAUCAAGCUGAGUUAAUUCCUUCAACUAGAGCUUUUCUCAAUUUGAAUUACACAUUUAAUUUGCAUUCUUGUUAUUUUAAUUUGAUUUUUAUUAUUGUCAAAAAUCCCCCCAUUUUGUAUUUUACAUUUUAAAAGGAUUCAAAUAAUUACCGAUCUCUGUGGACACGACCCUGCUCAAUCACUAUACACAAUUUAUUUAGAGUAGGUAUUUAGUUUUGCUGGCUUCGACAACCAUUAAUAUUAAAAAAUAAAUUUAUAUUUAUCAAGUAUAAAAAAUAAAUAGACAAACAAAAAUAAUAUGUUACCUAAAAUAAUGACAAUAUCAAUAUUUAACACUCUAUAAUUUAGUGAUGUGUUGUCCAACUGCCAUACAUUGGUCCCAAACAGAGCCUUAAAUAUCAAAGUCCAAAGUUAUUGUGAUGAUGACUUAUAAUCGCCAAACUUGACAUACGGGUAAUCAUGCAUUAUAAGGUGCUGAUUUCUUACUAUCAGAACCUUAUUUGUCAUCUAUAAAUAAAUAAAUGAUGUGACUUCACGGUUGGCGGGGUCCUUUGUAUCUCCUUUUGCAUCUACUUUUGUUGUUAACAUUACUUUCAAAAGCAGCUCGUUAUGUAUGCAACAUUUCAAAAUUAAUCUAAAAAAAACAAAAAUUAGUUCAGCUGACUAAAUUUGAAAGCAUGGAUUUGCUGUCGAUUAAAAACCGUUUUGUAGGGAAAAUUUUUGGAUUGCAAUUCUCAUAUAAUACAUAGAAUUAUCAUAAUUUAUAAAUUUUAUUUUCGCUUUUCUGUGGUAGUAAGUCAGACUCCUUAGUGACAAUUUAAUUUGAAAAAAUAAAAUCAUAAAUAAGAAUUAUUCGAUAAGAAUUAAAAUAAUUGAUAAAUAUUUGAGACGUGCAAUUUUGGAAGAUUCGAUUUCUAAUAGGAGGGGAAUUUAAAUUUUACAGCCUUUGGUGAGGAAUCCAAAAUGCACAAUUUGAUGAAAAUUAAAUUUCAAUAGAAAUUGAAUUCCCAUAUAUUAGUGAAAACCAAACAACAGAAAAGUGAAAUGAAUUUGAAUUUAUUUCCUUCCUCUCUUCUCCCUCCAACUAAAUACCAUUGAAAUCCAAAGGUAUGGGAUUUGUUUCGGAGUUUAAGAUUGAAAUUAAUCCCAAUUGUUGAUUUGGGACUAGAUAAGAAUUUAUCUUGGAACUCCAAUUCUCCCAAUUAUUUUAGUUGACAAUAUGUUUAACAUUAUUUUUUUAACAUUAUUAAUUGCAUAUUAUUUAAUUGUCAGUAUAUAAUAUUCUUUAAUUUUCUAAUUUAUAGGAUUAGACGCAAAAUUGAUUAUGGCUUUUGAAAUUUAAGUGUUAUGUCAAUUGAAUAGAAAACAUGGAGUAAAAAUUUUGGAUGCUUUUGUUGAUUAUCAAUUUAUGCAUGAAUUUUUGUACAUUUACUUUGGUUUAUUAUUAUUACUUUUAAACAUUUUUAUUAGUUUGGUUUAGGGUCAGUUUGGUAAUCCUGUAGCUUUUACAAUAAUUACAAUUAGCUAUGCUGUAGAAAUUGAUCAAUCGUGAGGAGAAUCAGCUGAACAUUUAGUAAAAUUUAUUUUUAAAAGUACUUUUAGUUUUAAAAACAGUCGUAUGUAUUUCUUAAAUCUUAUUGUUAAACUGGUGCAAGAAUAUAAAUGAUGAAUUGGACAUAAUGCGAAAUAAAAUUUAUUUACAAACAUGUAUAUAAAAUAUUUUUAUUAUGUACAUAUAAUUAUUGAUAACUAAAAUAAAUAUUUUAUAUUAUUAAAUUUUAUUCUCUAUUUUGUUAUCUCAAUAUAAUUGGUAAUAAUAAUAAUCUUUUUAAAGUUAAUGAUUUUAUUUCUUAAUUAAUAAAGAUAAUUUUGGAUUUUUAUUAUAUAAUGAGAAUAUAUAUAUAGAAUUGGAUUAAGUAUAGAAGUGAUUCUCAAAACCAGAUUUUGAAAAACUAUUCAUUCCCUACUUUUCAAAAUCUAAUGUAUGAUGAAAUGAUUUUGCCAAAACUAAUUACUAAAAAAAUUUAUAAAACACUAAGAAUUAACUUUUACUUUUUAAAAUCACUUUUAAGCUUCCCAAAAACAAUCCUAAGGGCCUUUAUUUGGGUGGUGUUGGAACUUGUAACUUUUGGAUCUUUUAGCUUUUAUUGGUUUGACACAACUGUUACACUAAAAAUUAAAUGCAUCUUAAACCCCAAACUUCUUCUUCUUCUUUUUUGAUUGCACAAAAUUAAAAACAAUAGUGAACACAUUCUUUAAUAAACAAUAAGUAAUAACUAAAAUUGCGUUAAAGAAUUUAGUUGAUAUAUAAAUUGAUUUCAAUGUUGUAUAUGCUAAAUUUCUUAAAAGUUUUCUUUCACAAUCUGCUGCAUAGUUUUAUUAGUAUUUUGAAUAAAUAAAAAUAAUUGAUUUAUAUUUUUUUAAAGAAACUUAUUAGGUUCAUGUAAAGAUGUUUUUUUUUUUAUUUUAAAAAAGUGUACAAAGUAAAACUUAAUUUUUUAAAUUUAUUAGAUGAGUGCAUAUAAUAUUUGAGUGUUCAUAGUAAUUUUUAAAGCAUAGAUAGUCGGGCCCUAAUAUUUUUAAUAUACGGAAAUUUUGCUAAUAUGUUAAUGAGAAUUAAAAUGAUAAUUAAGGGAGGCAUUCGAGACAGUCAGGAUAGUUAGGAUGGGACAUCAUUGUGAGCGGUUUGAGAUUGGUCCUAAUUUUGAUCACAAAUAUAUAAACUGGAUGAGUGUAUCCAUACUUACAUUCCAUUUGAUAAUUAAGAUAAAUGUGGAAUUGUCAAAUCCCAAAUCAUCCCAGACCAUUGCCACCAAAGGUACUCUCACUAAUAAUAUCUAAAGAAUAAUCUACAUCUAUUUCAUACUUUUUUUUUAACGGAAAGAGCCCUCAUGUGGCUUGAAAUGUUAUCCUAAAUAAUAUUCAGAAUAUCAUACCAUGAUUGGGUUUGUGACAAACAAAUAUUACAUAGUUGGAAUACGUAGUUACUAGUGUCCCAAUUUAUGCAGUAUCUAUCAUUUAGUGCACAUAUAAAGUAUUAAUCAGCUUAAUUAAUUUAUAAAAUUUAAAUCUAAUUAAUAAGUGACACAUAAAUGCCAAGUGCAAUAUAUGCAAAUCAUGUUUGUCGAUCAUUACAAAACUGGCUCUUGAAAACAAGCAAGAAAGCUUAAUUAAGAACUUAAAACAAAAAGAAUUAGAUCGAGAACAGUCAAGCCUUAUUUUUUCAAGGAUGGAGCUUAUAAAUCUUCAAGUACCAACAUAUGCUUGCCCCAGUUGUUGUUAUUAAAAUUUUAAUAUAUAUAUACACACACACACACACACACACACACAUAAAAAAGUAUGACAUAGCAAAAAUUUGAUGGUACAUAUGUCGGAAUAUACUAGUUCAUGGAUGCAUUUGAUUAUUGUUUCCAUAAAUUUGAACCAAGAAGGAUGACUCGAUAAAAAUUGAUUUUACGGUAUGGUUGAUUUCAAUCUCAUGCACUCAUUUCUUAAGAUAAUCAAAUUUUCUCUGGCAUCUUUUGCAACUGUGGAAAUAUCAAUUAUGAUCAAUCAAAAGGAUUUCAAAAACUUUCAACGAGACAUAUUUAUAAUACAAUAUUGUGAAAAUUACACCAAAAAUUUUAUUUAUUAUAUAUUAUUAUCCAACCAGCACACAAAAAUGAAUUCGUACAAAUCUAAAAUACUUAGCAAUUUUCAAAUAGAAUUUACCAUGUACUACAAGAAAAUAGGGUAUAUGUGACCCCUAAUGUGAAAAUAGGGUAUAUGUGACCCCUAAUAGAAUUUGUUGAACCUAGACCAGACUUAAUAUCCAAUCAAGAAUCUCCAGGAUCUAGCUGAACUCUCUAAUCAAGAUCUAAAGAAUGGUUAAUCAAUUCACAGAAAAGAAUCACCCAGAAACAGUAUGCAAAGAACAACAAAUAUAAGUGGUUCGGCUGAAAGAGCCUACAUCCACUGAAGAACAGACCAACAGCUUUUCACCAUUAACAAAGAACAAGUUACAAGUUUAGAGAUGAAGUUACAAGCAAUACAUUCCCUGAUUUUCCAGUCCUUAAGACUACUUAUACUAGCUUAAAGGCCCUCACAAAGACCCCCUGUCAACCAGCUGUAAUCUAGGUUUGUUAGCUAACAAACCCAGAAUUCUCCCGCCUAUUGUAACUGACUUUAACAGCUUCCAGGACACGUGUUGAAUUCUUACAAACAGCAAGCCCCAAAACGACAUUCUUUCAUGCCGUUCAGAGUAAGUGGAAGCACGUGACAUUUACGUGCUUCACUUAAAGCUUUGGGUGACGACCAAAGUUUGUCAUACAGGCUUGUAUCCUUUACAGCUGACAUGUCGUAUACCAACAUGACCACAAACUGACAUGACGGUUGAUCUUCUGGAAAUCAGUUUAAAGCUCAUACUUUAACAUUCUCCACCUUGAGCUUGAAACUCUCAUGACCUGCUCAUCUUCUCUCCCACCAUCUGUAUUUUAAUUAUCACAGAUGCCAGCCAAAUCCAAACAGAAUUUGAAUUUAGCCCCUGAAAUAGCUUUAGUUAACAUAUCUGCAACAUUGUCAUCUGUAUGGAUUUUCUGAAGCAUCACAGUUGCUUUUGAGACUUCCAGCCUGAUGAAGUGCACCUUAAUGUCAAUGUGUUUGGUUCUUUUAUGGUGAGUUUGAUUCUUACUUAGACAUAUAGCACUUUGGCUAUCACAAUGUAUCACCACAGACCUCUGAUUGACUCCAAGCUCCUUCAACAUACCCUUCAGCCAUAUUGCCUCUUUUAUGGCUUCAGCAUCUUUUAUGGCUUCAGCAGCAGCUGUGUACUUUGCUUCAGUUGUGGACAAAGCCACAACACUUUGUAGUUGUGAUUUCCAGUUUAUUGUGCAGUUGUUGAAUGUGAACAGAUACCCAGUUAGAGACCUUCUUCUAUCCAAGUCUCCUGCAUAAUCAGCAUCCACAUAUCCUACAAUUAAACUGUCAUCUCUUCUCUGUCCCCCAUAUAUCAGACCAUGCCCAGAAGUUCCCCUUAGAUACCUGAGUAUCCACUUUACAGCCUUCCAAUGUUCUUUUUCAGGAUUGGACAUAUACCUACUAACCACACUGACUGCAUGUGCUAUGUCAGGUCUGGUGAGUACCAUAGCAUACAUUAAGCAGCCUACAGAACUUGCAUAAGGAAUUUUCAUCAUUUUAGACUUGUCAGCAUUAGCUUUUGGGCACUGCUGCUCUGAUAAUCUGAAGUGGGCUGGUAAUGGUGUUUGCACUGGUUUGGCAGUAGCCAUGUCAAACUUAUCAAGUACUCUCCUGAUGUAUUCCUCAUGUGUAAGAAACAAGGUGCCAGAUUUCCAAUCUCUGAUUAGUUGCAUUCCAAGUAUUUUCUUAGUUGGUCCCAGAUCCUUCAUCUCAAAUUCACCUUUGAGUUGUUGUUUCAGAACUUUAUUUGUUCCAUGCUCUUACUAGCAAUAAGCAUGUCAUCCACAUAUAGAAUCAGAUAAACCAUUUCCCCUGAUAUCUCUUUGUAAUAAACACAGCAAUCUAGAUUACAUAUUUGAAAACAAAUUUUCAUCAUAAAGCUGUCAAACCUGAGAUACCAUUGUCUUGGAGACUGCUUGAGGCCAUAAAGUGAUUUCUUCAGAAGGCAUACCCAAUCACCAUUUGACUAGUCUUCAAAGCCUUCAGGUUGAGACAUUAUUAUUUGUUCUUCAAGCUCACCAUGUAAAAAUGCAGUCUUAACAUCCAUCUGUUCAAGAUGCAUGCUAUGAACUGCAACCAGUGCUAGGAUCAUUCUUAUUGAGGUAUGCCUAACUACAGGUGAGUAGACUUCUGUAAAAUCUAUCCCUUCCUUCUGUGUGUAGCCUUUGGCAACCAGCCUAGCCUUAUAUCUCAUGGAUUCAAUCCCUGGUAUACCCUGCUCGACCUUGUAAACCCAUUUGCAGCCUACUACCCUUUUGUUUUCUGGUCUUUUUACAAGCUCCCAAGAGUUAUUCUUGUGUAAUGACUCCAUUUCAUCCUUCAUAGCUUUUAUCCACUUGUCUGCAUCUUUUCCUGAAACAGCUUCUCUGAAGGUUUUAGGUUCAUCAUUGUCUAGUUCAUGGGCUGCUGUUAGAGCAUAUGCUAUCAAAUCUGGAUAUGCAAACCUCUUAGGUGUUUUGAUAAUUCUCCUUUGUCUGUCUCUUGCCAGCUGAUAGUCUUGAAUAUCUGUAUAAGUUCCAGAAGUUUCACUAAUAUCUUUAGUUUCUUCUCUCUCCAUGUCUUCAGCUUCAUCAUGGUAGUUCAGAGUUGAUUUACCUUUCAACUCCAUCUUCAAAUGUUGUCCCUGUGAGUCCACUCCUCCUUCUGGUUUAGCAGGAUCUUUUUUAUGUCUUUUCAUCAGCAUCUCUGACUCAUUGAAGACUACAUCUCGGCUAACUAUACACUUUGGUGGCCUCAUUUCAGUGCACCAGAGCUUAUAACCUUUGACACCUUCAGGAUACCCUAGGAAUACACAUUUCAGUGCUCUUGGCUCCAGCUUCCCUUGCUUGACAUGUGCAUAAUCUGGACAACUAAAAAUCUUUAGAUUUGUAUAAUUUGUUGUUCUUCCUGACCACAUCUCUACUGGUGUCUUGAAGUUUAAGGCACUGGAUGGGCUUCUAUUCACUAGAUAAUAUGUUGUCAUCAAAGUUUCAGCCCACAAUGUUUGAGGAAGCUUUGAAUGAAUCAGUAAACAUAUGACCUUAUCCAUCAAAGUCUUGUUCAUUCUUUCUGCUAACCCAUUUUGCUGUGGGGUGUAAUUCACUGUUUUGUGUCUUGCUAUGCCAUUGAGUUUAUAGAAAUCAUCAAACUGUUGAUUGCAGAAUUCAAGCCCAUUAUCAGUCCUCAGUCUCUUAAUCUUCCUACUACUCUGAGUUUCUACCAAUGCUUUCCAUUGUUUAAACCUCUCAAAGACUUCAUCCUUGCCUUUCAAGACAUAAACCCAUACCAUUCUCGAGUAAUCAUCUAUAAAGAAGAGAAAGUAUUUUGCUCCACCUAGAGAGACAGUAUGUGAUGGCCCCUACAGAUCUGAAUGGAUGUAAUCUAGGGUCCCUUUUGUGUUAUGCACUGCAGUUUUGAAACUAGUUCUUGAGGAUUUGCCUAGGACACAUACCUCACAGAACUCCAGAGACCCCAACUUAUCAUCCCCUAAGACUCCCUGUUUUUCUAAAAUUUUUAGCCCCUUCUCACUCAUAUGUCAUAACCUUAGAUGCCAUAUGAGAGUUUUAUCCAAACCCAGACUUGCUGAAAUACUGACAUCUCCAGUUACAGUAGUGCCUUGAAGCACAUAUAAGCCAUUUUGCUUAUUCCCUUUCAUUAUCACUAUAGACCCUCUAACAACCUUCAUUACUCCAGAUUCAACUUUAAUGGAGCAUCCAACCUGAUCUAGAGUGCCUAGAGAUAUUAAAUUCCUCUUUAAAUCAGGAAUAUGCCUUACCUCUCUUAGCUCCCUAAUCAUCCCAUCAAACAUCUUAAAUCUAAUGGUUCCUAACCCAACAACCUUACACAUUGUGUUAUUCCCCAUUAGAACCUCACCUCCAUUAAAAGAAUUAUAAGUAGUAAAAAGAUUUUGAUCAGGGCACAUGUGAUAUGAACAUCCAGAAUCAUGAAUCCACUUACUGUUUGUCUGAGUUUCAGAAGCCAAAAGUACACCAGCUGAGUCAUAGCCCUCAUCCUCGGAUGCAACAGCAGCAUCACCAUUAUUUCCAUGCCCUUCCUUACCCUUGUUCUUUCUGUCUGGACAGUCCCUCUUGAAAUUCCCUUCUUUAUGGUAGUGAAAGCAUUUCAUAUUUUUAUUCUUGGACUUUGACUUGUCUCUUUUCUUCCCUUUGUUGUAUUCUCUCUUUUCAGGUCUUCAUCUUGCCAUCAGACCUUCCCCAGCUUUUGUUUCUGACCUCUUUGUGACUUCUUUAUAACUGAGAGAAUCCUUUACAUCAGCCAUCGAUAUUGACUGCCUUCCAUAGAGCAGUGUAUCUACAAAGUGUUCAUAGGAUGGUGGGAGAGAUGAUAAUAAGAUUAUUGCCUUGUCUUCAUCCUCUAGACUCACAUUUAUAUCUUCAAGAUCCAGGAUGAUCCUGUUAAAGCUAUCAAUGUGAGUUGCCAAAGAACUUCCUUCCUCCAUUUGCAAAGUAUAUGGCCUCUUUUUGGUACAAAGUCUUUUGGUUAGAGACUUCUUGGUAUAUAGGUCUUCAAGCUUUUUCCAGAGGCCUGCAGCAGUAGUUUGAUCUCCCACUUCCCUAAGAACUCCAUCUCCCAGACUCAAGAUUAGAGUGUUAUGAUCUUUAUCCAAAGCAUCUAGCAUUUCUUCAUCAAAAAGCUUGCUGGGUUUCUUUUCAGAUCUUGGAUCACCCAAAGUAUCCUCCAGCCCCUGAUGAACCAACAGAGCUCUCAUCUUGAGCCGCCAUAGAUGGAAGUCAUUUUCUCCAGUGAAUUUUUCUACCUCAAACUUAGAGGUUCUCAUUUCUUGGAUCAAAGAUCAGAGAUAAGGCUCUGAUACCAAUUUGUUGAACCUAGACCAGACUUAAUAUCCAAUCAAGAAUCUCCAGGAUCUAGUUGAACUCUCUAAUCAAGAUCUAAAGAAUGGUUAAUCAAUUCACAGAAAAAAAUCACCCAGAAAUAGUAUGCAAAGAACAACAAAUAUAAGUGGUUCGGCUGAAAGAGCCUACAUCCACUGAAGAACAGAGCAACAGCUUUUCACCAUUAACAAAGAACAAGUUACAAGUUUAGAGACGAAGUUACAAGCAAUACAUUCCCUGAUUUUCCAGUCCUUAAGACUACUUAUACUAGCUUAAAGGCCCUCACAAAGACCCCCUGUCAACCAGCUGUAAUCUAGGUUUGUUAGCUAACAAACCCAGAAUUCUCCUGCCUAUUGUAACUGACUUUAACAGCUUCCAGGACACGUGUUGAAUUCUUACAAACAGCAAGCCCCAAAACGACAUUCUUUCAUGCCGUUCAGAGUAAGUGGAAGCACGUGACAUUUACGUGCUUCACUUAAAGCUUUGGCUGACGACCAAAGUUUAUCAUACAGGCUUGUAUCCUUUACAGCUGACAUGUCGUAUACCAACAUGACCACAAACUAACAUGACGGUUGAUCUUCUGGAAAUCAGUUGAAAGCUCAUACUUUAACAUAUAUCACUAACUUCUAACUUUGUAACCCCGAGUUGCUUUUGUUACCCUUUAUGUGACUGCCACACUGCUGUCACAUAUGUUAUUAACCACGUGACGGUAAAGAGCCGUUCGGUAUACUACUAUUUUACAAUUUUAAAUUUAUUUCCAGUUAGAAAACUAUUCGCUGGACUCCGUGUUACAUAUGCCACCAUCGUAAACCUAACUGGUUGCCGGCGAACGGCGUAAAACACCGGCCAUCUUCUUCUUCAUCGUAUUCUCCCUUCAUCUUUUGUUCGUAUUAUAGCCGUUAUUGUCAAUUUUUGUCCCGCCAGCAAUAUUUUUUUAUUCCUACAAGUUGAAGCACCCGUGCUCUUGUUCCAUUGAUGAGUUUGCUCACUCAAAUUAAUUUUGUUCUGUAGAAUUUACAAAGUUCAAAUGGAUUCAUUUGAAUUUAGCUUUAAUUAUGUAUGUCAAUUAUGUAUUUAGAUUAUGAAUUUAGCCGUUAUUGUCAAUUAUGUAUUUAGAUUUACUUUAAUUUUAUGCUUAAAGCUUCUACAUUGCUGAUUCUAUAUUAAUAAUGUUAUGUUCUAUUUUCAGAAAUUAUAAUACAAAAGUUUUUACAAUGUUGUGCAUCUACAAACUGAAUUGACUUGUAGAAUAAGAGCUUGGAGUAGUGUUAUGUUCUUGAAUAAAUGAAUGUUCAUAUUGUGUAAGAGCAUGUAGAUGUAAAGCAUCAUUACCAUAUCUACAAAGUGCUUUCAUUCUGUUCAGAUGCUCUUCUUGAACUUUGAAAGGUGCCUCGUUCAAGUCCUAGCUAUAACUACUAGUUUUGAUUAAUUAAGUUCCUGUACUAGCUGAAACAGAUUUAUUUAAUUAAUUAAUUGUGUAUGUACUAAUUAUAUUGAAAGUAUAUGAAUUUUUUUUUUAAAACAUGAAUGACUUCUAAAUGACUUAAAAACCUAAAGGAUGUGUGAAAUAAUGCUCAUUUCACUUGAAUGAACCCAUUAAUACUUUUAUGUCUAUGAUUGUCAAUAUUGGCUUAAGCAUUUCAGCUAAGUGGUUUACCUAACAGAGAAAAAAAUUUAAUAGAAAACUUCAGAGUUCUAACAGAAAUAUAGUUCACUAUGCAGAUAUAGUUAUUUUACGGUAUACAAAUCAAGUUGUCCUAAUCUCAAUGUCCUAUGACCGAUUUUAUUUUAUAUAGUCAUUAAUUUUUGCCAUGGUUUUUUGUGUUUAUGAGUAUGAAAUAGUGGGAUUUGGUGUACCUUAGCAUCUUUUGAAAAUUCUCUUUAUGUGUGGCCAACAGAAUAUAAUCAAGUUUCUUAAUCGUGUAUAUUAGUUUUGGGUAUGAAUGUUCCUAUUCUAGUUCUAGGCAAAGCUUCUUCAUUUUGGUCUUCAGAUUUCCAGUAGGUUAAGUUAAUCAACUAUCACAACUGACUAGCUAGUUAUUGUCUGCCUUGGCGCCAUUACCCAGGCCAUUAUAUUGCAUAGCAUAAGGAAUAGUGAUUAGGUGAUUAUUAGUGAUUUGUUGAGCUUAUUAUUGACCAAACAAACAUAUUCGCCUUUGCCCACAACUUAGUUUGAUUAGUUAUUAGACCUUAAAGAGCCUUGAUCUAUUCAUUGGCUUUAUUAUUUUUAUUUGGUUUUUCUUUCAACAAUAUUGUUGAUUUCUUAUAAAAAUAUUCAUUGGUUUUUAAACACCUAAUCAUUGGCUAUAUGAAGCUAAUUAAAACUGAGGCUUUGGAUCAAUUUCUUCUAACAGGAUACAAAUGAGCAUAACCUAUCUCCUCUAAGUAAAUUUUUUUAAUAUCCUUGAUUUGUAAGGAUCUGGAGGCCUGAAAUCCUCUAGAUUUUUUUUAACACUGUCAAUGUUCUUUUUAUUCUGAAAAGGAAAUAAAAGGUUUUAUCUUUCAUACCCUAAUAGUAAGCUGACCUUGUCUUACCCGAGGAUUUGCAAGAUUCAUAGUGCCCCCCCCCCCCCCCCCCCAAAAAAAAAAAAAACACAAAUAGGAAGAUUUUGCAAGAUUCACCACCAGGUUUUUUUUCAUUUAUUAAUUGUGUGUACGUACUAGUUAUAUGUUGAAAGAAUAGGAAGAAGUAUUUCAACAUGAAUGAAUGACUUAAAACUUAUUGCUCAGUAAACAUAAUCUGCAUCAGUGCGAAAAUGUAUUUAUCGGUUGUAUUUUUUAUGGUUUUGCUUAAGAAAUGAUAUGUGAAAUAAUGCUACAUUGUAUCAGGAAUAAAUUGAAGAGAUUUAUGAUAUUUAUGUGUUAUUCAAAUUUCAGAUUCAAUUUUAAAUACGUGCAUUGAAAGCUUAGACUUGUUUAAGAAAUUAUUAAUAGACACAUGUUUUAUUAGUGUCAUCUUUGGAUGAUAGUGAGGUUCAUAUGUCUAUUAAUAAUUCUUGAAUUGUCCAGGCUUGGGCAGUUUGGGAAUGCAUAGUUCUCUCUGGUAGCUAGUAGCUGAAGUUUUUUUCGCAAGUAAAAAUGGGUUUUUCGGUAGCUGCUCCUCGUGUUCUCUGGGUACGUACUAGGUGAAUGGGUGUCAUGUGUUGUUUUGGCAUAACGCAUAAACACUUAUAUAGCUAUGUUGUGUGCUUCGAGAAUUAUAGGGAGAUGGUGCCGAAAUUUUUAUAAACGUAGAAGAAAACUUUAGGUACUUGAGAUUGAAGAAACUUAUGCAUUCUUGAGUGGGAUAUGUAGGAUUACUUACCUUUUGUAAAUAUGAAGGGAAUGUUGGAUAUAUUGAGGAUAGUGUAGGAGCUGAGUUGGAUGAAUGUAAUUGGUCAUGAUUUUGCUGAGCUGACCUUGGUUUUGAGCUUGUAAUUUUGUUUGUAAAUGGAGUGCUAUCUCCAAUGUUGGUUUAUAAAAAUGUUUCAGGACUUGCUGACCUAAUUUUUUUUUUCCUAGGUUACAGGCUUUAUAUAUCUGUAAUUGAUAGCCAAGUGAAGUUCUCAGCACUUGGCGAGGAUAUUUCUUUACAGAAGGUAUUGGAAACUGUUUUUUACAUUAAUUAUUGUUGUAUAUAUACUUUGAUUUUCACAUCUUUUUCUCUGAUUCUUGUGGCUUUGCUUGCUUUCAUAUAUGUAAAUUCUAAUGAAAUUAACCAUAAAAUUGUAAAAUGAUCUUUUUAUUAUAUUGCAAAACCGUGCACACACGAAAAUAUCUUGUUUAGUAGUAGAAAUGAAGAACUAAAAUGAUUUACUUAACUAAUUUUUGUAGCGCAUUAAAAGGAGAUAGUCAUGGACAAGUGUUGGGCUGGUUUGCCAAAUAGAUAUCCAAGUCAUAUACUGAUGGGGUUGAAAAUUUUAUAGAUUUUGCAUUUGAGAAUGUUGUUGAUGAUGAUAUGAUUGGAAUGAUACACUGCAUCACGUAAUCAAAUGUUCAAGUUACACGCAGCAUUGUUAUGGAUUAUCAGUCACUUUCUAGUAUUGCCAACUUGUCUGGGUGGAGUAUUAAAGGUAAAUAAGCAUGUCUUGUUUGCCAACAAAACACUAGAUCUAAUUGGUUGAUACAUAGUAGAAAAUUUUGUCACGUGGGUCACCGUCGAUUUUUACCAACAAAUCAUAGGUUUCGAAAAUAUAGUUUCUUUUGAUAAAACUAGAGAGUAGGGACAAGCACCUUCUUGGUUGUCUGGAACUGAAGUGAAAAAGCAGUUUAAUAUACUUACUGAGUAUAAGAUUGAAGACUUGAAAAGAGAAAUGAUAAGAUUACUUGGAAGAAGAACAGCAUUUUUUUAUGAACUACCGUAUUCAUCAUGAUCUUGUUGUCAUGCACUGCUUUGAUUUUUGUUAUGAACUCAGAUCAAAAGUUUAAUGUGAUCAAAAUUUCUUAAAAAUAGUGAAAACGACUCCUCCUAAUAAUAUGGAAGAUGGCUAUAAAAGAUAAAAGGAAAGGCUUAAAAAGAAAAGCCAUGCCUGUCAAAAAAAAAUAAAAAAAUUGGCAGCGUCAAAUUUAUAACAAAAAUCAAAACGGUUUUGAGAGUGUAUUAAAAUACAUUUAGAGUGGGAGCUGUGUUGUUUUUUGAAGGUAGAAUGAUUGUGAGAUAUUUGUCGACGAAGCCAAAACCAAAGAUGAAGCCCAUAGAGCUCAAAACUCCACCGGAGCAAAUUCAGACAAUUACGAGGGUUAUGUUUGACAUAGUCAAGGAACACAGUCCUCUCACCGUUGCCGAAACUUGGGAAUGCGUCAAGGUGUGUGUAUCUGUUAAAUUGAAUUUCAACCCGUUUGAUCUGUAAUUAUAAUUAAUCCAAUCGAUCUGACAGUGAUCACUAGUAGUUGUUUUACAUUUUCAGCAAGCUGGAGCGAGUGGAUUGACGGCCAAAAGCCACAUGAAGAUUGUGUUGAGAUGGAUGAGGGACAGACAAAAGCUCAGGUUCGUCUGCAAUCACGUGGGCCCUCAUAAGCAAAUCCUGUACACAACUUGGUUCACCAAACCCGACAACUUGAAGCAGCCAAAAUCAGGGAAUGAUGCUUCUAUGUCACAACCCUAGAAAUUUCAAACACGGUGAAGAUGAAGUAAAGCAUAAGUAGAACAAUGAAGAUGGUAGCCCCUCAGCAUGUAAACUUUUCAACAGUAACACAGCUCUUAUUCCAGAGGCUGCACAGAAGAGCGACCUGAGUCCCCUUCAAAACUUUCAAAUUUUUAUCAAGUAAAGCUUUCAAAUUUCUCAACAAAUUGAUUAUUUGUGUGGUUGCCACAUUUUGUGCAACUGCCAUUCGUGUUCAAGUUCAAAUUCCUUGCCUAGUAAGUUAGGGAAGAGAGAUGUGAAGCAAACAGGGAAACAGAACAAACCGGCCAAAUUUAAAAUGACAGAACAGUAAUGAUGGCAAUUAACAAACUAAUAGCAAUAUUACAUUUGAUUCUUUAGCCCAAUUGUUCCUUCUGUCAGCAUUCUUCAAAAGUUUUUGAAAAUUAGAUGUGAAGCAAACAAAAUAAAACAAAUUUAGACAACAGAAGCCCUGUAUUCAGCAUCAUAUAUAUACCUUGAAUACCUAAUAUAAUAAAUUUCACAUCUAAAAUACUAGAAAUUUCAAACAGUACCAGCAAUAGAAUAAUGACAACGACAACAAUAACAGAAAAUUACAAGAUUGCUGAUAAAAUUUCAUUUGCAUGGAUGUAUAACAAAAAUUCUGUGAUUUAAUGUGCGUUCAUGCAUGCAAGUCCUAACGUUCCUGUGAUCACAAAAUGAAACUGAAGAUAAAUCAGAACAACUACCAAACCUCUGACUGAAAGUUCAAAAGAAUUUAUAUUCAAAAUGUCAAAAUAUACUGGAAAUUUAUUGCACAUAUUACAAGAAGCAGUACACACCAAUGGUAAAUUGAUACAUCGUUUUUGAACUUAACAAAGUCAAAUGAAAGAAACACGACGGAGGGUUAAUGUAAAAGUGAAUACCCUCAGCAUGUAAACUUAACUUCAAAGGACGGAGCACAAGUUUCACAGAAAAGUAGCUCUUAUUCCUGAUGCUGCAAACACACAGGAGUGACCUCAAUCUUCUUCAUAACUUGGGAAUUCUGCAAUUAUAGAGCACGACAUUGAGCAUGAACUAGAAAAAAUAUUUAUUUUGUACAAUUUUCAUAUAACUUGACUAACCAAGAUUAAUUUCGUGGUAAUGUAUUGAGUCAUUAAUUCAUAUGUUUUUAAAUAUUUUUAAAAAACUAAUUUCUCAAUUUGAAAUGGCCCAUAAAAAUUAUUCUCAUAUAAAAACUAAAUUUGACAGACCCCUCGAUUAAAGCAGGGGAAAAGGCUUUCCACAUGAAAAUGUUGUUUGUCACUUUGAAUGAUAUUUUGAAGGGAUUUCAUUCUAAAAAUAAAAUACCUGGGACCUCAUUCUUCAAAAUUGACAACUCGCCAGGUAUUAAAAGCGUAUGAGAUCAGUACUGCGACGAGUAAGAAGACGACCCCUCCAACAGCUGAAAACAAAAUUCGCAUUCAUCAAUUUAAAUUAAAAUUCAUAUUAUGAAACUAAAACUAAUGAUUAGUGAAUUUUCGAGGAAUUUAAUAAGAUUCUCAGAUAUAAACGUGAUAACAAAUUCACUCAUCAAUAACAAAUAAUCUAACAGUUAUCCGUACCUUUUCUUGAUGUAAUUGUUGUAUGGUUGUGUUAAGGUCAUUAUUAGACCAACGCAGGUUGUCCUCUCUCUGCCCGUACCGGACGUUUACUCUGACAUGGGUACUUAAUUCUCCUGAAGUGAAAAUCUUCAUCUUGGGACAACCAAUCACAGCAAGAUAUUCCAAAGAUGGGAAUUUGAAGGCGUAAUUGCCAGAGGAGAAGCUUGUGAGACUAUCUAAAUCAAACAGGGACAACGUAGUCAGUUUGCUGAAAACAAUCUCUUCUUUUAAAUUUGCUGUUUCAUCUUCGUCACUUAUUACGACUUCUGUGAUUGCUCUGCAUCCAAAUACACCCAAUGAUACGAGUCGCUCUAGACUUUUUGCUGUGGAGGAUGUUAGUAAGUUCAUCAAUUUCUUGCAAGCACAAGCUUGCAGGCGUGUGAGAUUCUGAAAAGAUACCGAUGAUGAUGGCAAUAGACUUAACAGAUUUUGACAGUAAUAUGCUCUUAGAAUUUCAAGAUGUUGAAAAAUCAAGUCCGGCUGUUUGGAAUCGUGUUUCCACAGUUGCUGCAGAUGAUUAAGUCUGGUCAGGUGUAACAUUUUUAUCAGUGCCAGCUUCCUCGCAUGUGUCUCCAAAUAUCCUUCAUUUGAAAAUACCACUUCGUACGAACAAUCCGACAGGUGGAGAAAUUCCAGAUUGUGAAACCUCUCAAGUAAACCAAGUGGAAAGCAAGCUAAGUCAUCAUCCCCAACCUGUAGUCGUUUGAGACUGCCAAAGAGGUGUUGUGGGAAAUCGCCUUGCAAAAUCAUCGUGAUGUCUUUUCCACUUAAUGCCAGUUCCUCCAAGUUGGGUAAGAUCUGAUCAUCAUCAAGCACAAAUUAUUAACUUAGCACAUUGAUCCCUAAUUCGAGACUGGCAAAAUUCAUUGUUAUAUACACACACAUAUAUAUAUAGUAUUUAUUAAAAUUUCUGGUCUGUGAGUAAGAAACAACAAAGACAACUGACAAAAAAUCUAAAAGUUGGUUUCAUACCUUCUUGAACGAGAAUAGGGGCUGUUGUGCCGGAACACCAAAUUGAUCAUUCUCGUUAUUCUGGGAUAACGUCAUUUUAUCACAAUUACACGCCUCCAAUAUUUUUAGUGCUGGCCAUUCCGAUGUAUGCAUUCCAGGGUAUAAACAUCUAAGUUCUGGUAGACCUUCGAGUUUCAGAGUGGUCACCCGUGGAAAGACAAAAUAAGCGGUCACUUGAUCUGUUCUGUUUUCAGAAAUGAUUUCUUGUAAACUCUUACAUAACCGUAUCUCCAGGUGUUGGAGUUGCUCAAGGCUUUGGAUCGUAGAAGCUGAAAAUAUGUAUUUUAAUUUGUCACAGCCCCACACUAUCAAUCGUGUCAAACUUCGAAGGCAAGGAACCAUGGCCGGAAGUUGAUUGUAAUGCCAAAUCUCGUCGACAUUAAUAGCAUUCAGCUCCAAAGCCUCCAAAUUUGGCAACACUACCUAAAGAUAAUUUUGUCGUUAGAUCCAAUAUCCAUAUAAGAAGUGCUUAUUGAGAGCUUAAUUAGUGAGUGUAUGAGAUUUUUUUUUUUUGCAUUUUCUUUUUCUAAAUGAUUUAAUUUUUUUUCACUUAUGGCAUCAAAUGCAAGUUCAUGAUAGAAUAAAAAAAAAAAUGCAAUAUCCAUAUGAAAAGGACUUGUGUGGUCCAGUUUGGGAUUAUGGAUGCUGAUUAAAUAAGUUGCUCCUGCUGUACGGAUGCAAUAAGUAGUUGAUUAAAAAAGCAGUUAGCUGUUUGGUAAACUGUGUUGUUGCAGUUGCUGUGAGUUUGAAAAGCAAUGUACAUGCGUUUGGUAAAUUUUAUUACAAACGUGUUAUUUUAUCAUAUAAUGACCAAAAUAUAUAUAAGUUUAAAUUUCCGUUUAUUUUUUUUAAGCAUGUUUAAUAAUCUUUAGAUAUGUCAUUUUCUUUUUAAAAUACGUAAAAUUAUAUUAAGUGAAAAAACUUAAUAAUUUGUUACAUAAAAUAUGAUAAAAAUUUAUACUAGUAUAUGAUCCAAAUAAAAUAAAAAAAGUAAUAUGCAUUACUUUCACAUUAAACUUGUUGCAAUAAACACCAUGACUAUAGAAAAUAUAAAUAGAUUGAAUGUUAAAAGCUAUGGUUAUAAAAUUGAUUUUAAAAGUUAUGAUUAAUUUUCAUGUGAAAUUGUUUAUAGUUCAAAAAAAAUUUACAUAAUUACAUGCAAGUCUUUUUUAAUCUUAUUAUAGAAAAUACAAGUAUAAUAUAAAAAAUAUGAACUUACUAAAUCAAAACUUUGAUAUUAGAGAGAAUAUAUAGUAGUUGUGGUGGUAAUAUGAUAUCUAAUAACUUAUAUAUUAGAGUGUAUGGAAAUAUAUGACAUAAUUAUUUUUGUUAAAAUAUUAAUUAAGGUUAUAAUAGAAACUUUAAAAAGAUGUGAUAGCUUAUUUAAUAAGCUGCUUAUGAAAAGUAACUCCCUAUCUGCUUUUAAAAGUUAAUGUCAAAAUAGAGAAAAUUAUAAAAUAAACAGUUUUUACAAAAUUUAACAAAUACUAUUUUUGUCACAGAUUAUGAAAUAGACAGUUUAUUGAGUUUUAACCUCAAUUCCAAACAGGGGCCACAAUAUCCACAUGACAAGCACUUAUUGAGAGCUUAAUUUGUGAAUAUAUGAGAUUUUUUUUUCUUUUUCUAAAUGAUUUAAUUUUUUUGCACAUAUGGCAUCAAAUGCGAGUGCAUGAUAGAAUAAAGGAAAAAAAAAAAAAAAGAAUGCAUUACCCUACGCACCUUCUCGUUGAAAAGCAGAGUUGAAGUAUCCGAACUGAUCUCGUUGGAACUAGCUAUCAAUUCCUCUUGCGACUCUUGUCUGUUUGGUGAUGUGGAAGGAGUCUUCACUUCACGGCAAAACCUUGUAACCUUUGGAAGCGUUCCCAGACUCAAAGAUCUUAGUUGACCAAACUCUAUCGUCUCAUCAACAUCGACAUCAGCUUCUCCUCCAGUUGCAAAAAUCUCUUCCAUGCUGCUGCAAUUGAGAACUGCAAUCCUCUCAAGUCUUGGAAGGCAUUUUGUACUACUAGAGAGCCAGAAGAUAUUACUCAUCUCAUCACAAUUUUCCACUUUUAUGGUUUGGAGUUCAUUGAAGGACUCUAUUGUGAGUCGAUCAAUACAUAUCCUCUCCAUAUUGAUCAAAUUGUGAAGAGUAAGGGACUCCAAAAGAGGAAAGGCGACACAAGGUUCUCUCUCCAUUGAAUCGGCAAUACACAGGAAGUCUGGAUUAUUUUGAACAUGGAGAUGCUUCAAUUGUGAAAAGCCCUCAGUGUCCAAUUCGAAAACAACAUUCUUGAUUCCUUGCAACUUAUCUAAACAUAAGUAUUCAACGUUAUUGAUGCCCUGCAACUUCUCGGAGCAAAUGGCCAUAGAAUCAAGCUUGAGCUUCAAUGUUCUUAAACUCUCAUGAUUACUGAUUGUUAGAGCAGCUCAUUAUGCUGAACAGAAGAAGGUGAAGACUAAGAUGAAGAAAAUACAGAGCAAGUUACAGGGCAAGUGUGUCAGCAGUGCCAGCUCAGCUAACAGCUCAGCAGAUUAGUUAAAGAUGGUUGUAAGCAUGAUGUGCAUUGUACUGAAGUUAGUUAGCUUUGAUUACAGUUAGUCUUUGGAUUAGUUAAAUGAAGUUACCGUGAUUGCAUUGUAUAUAAACAGGUGAUGCUUUGUAAUCAAAAGUUAAGCAAAAUAAAAAUCAAAGUUUGUUAAGGAAAUAUCUCCAGAAUUAUCAAUUCAUUUUCUUAGUAACCAAACAACUUUAUUUCAUUUUUCUUUCAUGGUAUCAGAGCAAGGUUAAUGGCUAGUUCCAGUAGCACAACAUCAAAUCCAAAUCAAAUGAAUAUAAAUCAAUCAUCACAUAUCUCCUUUUCGUUCAGCACUCCAGUCAAAUUGGAUCGAUCAAAUUUCAUGAUUUGGCGAAAGCAAGUUCUUACUACAAUAAGAGGAAAUCGUCUUGAAGAUUUUAUUUCUGGAAAUCAAAUCAUACCAGAACAAUACAUUUCUAAUACAGUAGCUGAUGGAUCAGUACAGAGAAUCACGAAUCCAGCUUACAUCAACUGGCGAGCUCAGGAUCAAACUUUGCUUGGCUGGAUUUUGUCAUCCAUAAGUGAAGGUAUCUUAAAUACUGUUCUUAAUUGCGAAAAUUCAUUUGAAGCAUGGAGAUCAAUUGAAAAACAAUUUGGAGUACAAUCUGAGGCUAGAGUAUUGCAAUUGAGGUAUGAAAUGAAUGUCCUUAGAAAAGAGAAUAUGUCUGUUGAGGAGUACUGUUUAAAAGUAAAAGCUGUUGCUGAUAAGCUUGCUUGUGCUGGUAGCCCUGUGUCUGAGAAAGAUCUGCUAAUGCAAAUUUUGAAUGGCCUAGGACCUGGAUUUCUAGAUCUUGCUUCAAUAAUUACUGCUAAUAGAAUGUCGUAUGAUGAUGCUUAUGCAUUACUCUUAACACAUGAGGCAAGAAUGGAACAAAAUCAUAAUACUAAAGAUCUUUUUAGUGCAAACUAUGGGAUGAUGAAUGCUAACUACUCUCAGUUUAGAGGAAAUAAUAAGAGAGGUGGUUAUAGUGGAUAUCAAGGGCAAUUUAAUGCUGGAAAUAGGAAUCAAAAUGGAGGAAGAGGAAUGUUUUUCAAUUCAUUCUCAAGAGGUUUUCCAGCUGGUGGAUAUACUGGUAAUGCUGGUGGCAGAGGACAGCAAAUGAAUGCAUAUGCUUAUAAACCUGUGCUUAACAACAGGCAUAAUUUCAAUAUGAAUCAUGGCUCAACUUCAAUGUCCAAUGGAAAUGGAUCUGAUGAUAAUGUGCUUAUCUGUCAAAUCUGUCAUAAAGCUGGACAUGCAGCUGAUGUUUGUUGGCACAGACACUUUGAUGGCUAUGCUCCUCAACCCAGACAAUUUGGAAGGGGCAGAGGGCAUAAGUCUGCUUAUAUGGCUAACUUUGAUCCACAAAUUGGCUUUACUUCACAAUUUGAAGAUUCGUUUGCUACAGAAUAUCCUGGUUAUCAUGGGUACCAUCCACCUGAUAUGAAUGCAUCAGUUGCAUCAGUAAGUCAUCACUCAUCUGAUAUGCAUUCUGUACCUGGAGCAGCUUAUAUUGCAAAUUUUGAAGGACCAGCUGAUGAAGGGUGGUAUCUUGAUAGUGGAGCUACGCAUCACAUCACUAACAACAUGGCCAAUAUGCAUAUCAGAGAUCAAUUCAGUGGAGCAGAUCAGCUCAUUAUUGGAAAUGGACAAGGUUUGCCCAUAACUCAUGUUGGUGAUGCAUCCUUUCUCUUUAAAAGUUCCAAUUCUACACACAAACACUCACCUAUAGUACUUAAAGAUAUUCUGUUGGUGCCUUCCAUUACCAAAAAUUUGUUAAGUAUCUCGAAGCUUACCACUGAUAACAACUUGUCUGUUGAAUUUCUUGGAAAUGUUUGUUUUGUGAAGGAUUCUCUGAGGGGACAGGUACUUCUGCAGGGUCUUGCUGAGAAAGGGUUAUACAGGCUGUUAUUGAAAUCAUCAUCAUCCUCUCAGUUAUCAUCAUCUUUUCUUUCUCACAUGUGUUCCAAUAAACCUUUGUCUAUGCUUUCUUGUUGUUGUUUCAAUUCUGUUCCUUCUGGAGUUGUUACAGAAUCUCAGAAAUCAUGUAAUCAAACUGAUGAUUCAUCUUGUAAAACUUCAGUUAAUAAAGCUAUUUUGCUUCAUAGAAAGUUUGGUCAUCCCAAUCAUCAAAUAUUAACUCAUAUACUCAAAACAGCAAAAUCUAUUCAUUUACCUGCAUAUCAAAAGCAACAAAUGCAUCAGCACAUCUGUGAGGCCUGUCAAAUGGGCAAAACACAUAAACUUCAUUUUCCUAUUACUGAAACCAAAACCUCCAAAACUCUAGAACUUAUACACACUGAUUUAUGGGGUCCUUCUCCCAUUAUUUCUAGAGAUGGUUAUCAGUAUUAUAUAAGUUUUGUAGAUGACUACAGCAGGUAUACAUGGAUUUAUCAUUUGAAGCUAAAGUCUGAGGCAUUAGAAGUCUUUAAGCUCUUUAAACUGCAGGUUGAAAAUCAGUUUAGCACAACCAUUAAGAUGAUGCAAUCUGAUUGGUGGGGAGAGUAUAGACCAUUCACUGAGUUUUUAAGCCAAUUUGGUAUCAUCUUUAGACAUCCUUGUCCUUAUACUCAUCAUCAAAAUGGGUUAGUUGAAAGGAAGCAUAGACAUAUUGUUGAAUUGGGUCUGACUCUCUUAGCUCAAGCUCAACUUCCCUUUAAGUUCUGGUGGGAUGCAUUUCAUACUGCUGUAUAUCACAUCAACAGACUUCCAUCUCCUGUUUUGCACCUUUUAACCCCAUAUGAAAAGACAUUCAAACACAAACCUGAUUAUGAUUUUCUCAGAUGUUUUGGGUGUUCUUGUUAUCCUUACUUGAGAGAUUACAAUAAACAUAAAUUUGCCUACCAUUCUAGUAAGUGCAUAUUCAUUGGUUACAGUCCUUCACAUAAGGGCUACAAAUGUUUACACCCUUCAGGUCGAGUCUAUGUGGCAAGACAUGUUACCUUUGAUGAAUCAGUUUUUCCUUAUGCCACUGAGUUUGUUUUUCAUAGUCAUGCUAAAACUGAUUCUCAAAUUUCUCAUUCCCAUACACCACAGCAAAUCCAUCAUAUCUCUUCUUUGCCUGUCAAUAACAGCACUGGUAAUCUGAACUCUGUAAGAUCUGGAAGCAGCAGUUCAAGUCACUCAGAUCAUCUAGAACAGACAGCAACUGAUCAGAAUUCACAACAAGCUACCAUAAAUGACAGGUCACCUUUUCAUACAUGUCCAACAAUUGUUGAAUCUAUACAAAAUAUUCCAGAACCUCCACAUCACUCUUUGCCUAUACAAAGUCACCAUCCUAGCAACACCUCUUUCUAUCCAUAUACACAACCAAAUACACAUCAGAUGAUAACCAGAAGUAAAGCAGGGAUUUUCAAACCCAAAAUUUAUACUGCUGUGCUUACUCACAAGGAACCAGAUACUGUGCAAGAAGCAUUAAAUGAUUCAAAGUGGCUACAAGCUAUGAGGGAGGAAUAUGAUGCCUUGAUUAAGAAUAAUACAUGGACAUUGGUUCCAAGACAAGCUGAUCAGCAUGUGGUUGGAAAUAAAUGGGUGUAUAGAAUCAAAUAUAAUACAGAUGGAAGUAUAGCUAAGUAUAAAGCUAGACUUGUUGCAAAGGGUUUUCAGCAAGUGGCAGGGAUUAACUAUUUUGAGACAUUUAGUCCAGUUGUGAAGUCAGCUACAGUUAGAGUAAUACUUAGCUUGGCAGUGAUGAAUCAGUGGAGAAUAAGGCAAGUGGAUGUCAAUAAUGCCUUUUUGAAUGGAGAGCUAACAGAAGAAGUUUUCAUGUCUCAACCUGAUGGCUUUAUUGAUGCUCAGAGAUCUGAUUUUGUAUGCAAAUUACACAAGUCUCUGUAUGGGCUCAAGCAAGCUCCUAGAGCCUGGUAUGACAAGCUUAAAGGAUGCUUAAUAAGCUGGGGUUUCACUACUACUAGUUCUGACACCUCAUUGUUUGUUAGGAAGAUCAAGACAUCUAUGAUCAUAGUUCUUAUAUAUGUUGAUGACAUACUGAUCACAGGUCCAAACACUGAGGAGCUGGAAGGUUUCAUAACUGAAUUCAGCAAAACUUUUGCUCUAAAGGAUCUGGGAGUGUUAUCUUAUUUCCUUGGAAUUGAGGUAUUAUAUGAUGCAGAUUGUAUGUACUUGUCACAGAGAAAGUAUAUCAGAGAUUUGUUAUCGAAGGUAGAAAUGACUGAAUGUAAGGGCAUUGAUACACCCAUGAGUACUGGCUCUAAACUGCAAAAGAUAGUUCAGGGGGAACUUGGAUACUAUCUUGAAGAUCCAACUCAUUAUAGAAGCAUAGUUGGAGGAAUGCAGUACCUGAUACUUACCAGACCUGAGAUUGCGUUUGCUGUAAACAAGCUCAGUCAGUAUGUAGCUGCACCAACACUACAACAUCUAAUGGCAUGCAAGAGAGUUCUAAGAUAUCUGAAGGCAACUCAAGAUUAUGGUUUAAAAUUUUUCAGAGAAGGAAGCUUAACACUCACUAGUUUUACUGAUGCAGAUUGGGCAUGUGACUUAGAUGAUAGGAAAUCAGUUGGUGCUUAUUGCAUUUAUUUAGGCAAUAAUUUGAUAUCCUGGUCUUCUAAGAAACAAUCAGUGAUAACCAGAUCAAGUGCCGAGAGUGAGUAUAGAGCUUUGGCAUCAGUGAGUGCAGAGCUGACAUGGUUACAAUCCUUAUUUUCUGAGUUGGGAUUAAGUUGCAUAGAAAAGCCAAUCAUAUGGUGUGACAACAUUAGUGCCACUGAACUAGCAAAGAAUCUUGUGUAUCAUUCAAGAACAAAGCAUAUCGAAAUUGAUAUGCACUUCAUUAGGAAUAAGGUUCUUGCUGGUGAGUUGAUUAUUCACUAUGUACCAAGUGAAGAACAGAUUGCAGACAUAAUGACCAAGCCUCUCUCAUUUGUAAGGUUUAACUACUUGAGGUCCAAACUCAAUGUCCAUCUUUGUCCUCUGAGUUUGAGGGGGGCUGUUAGAGCAGCUCAUUAUGCUGAACAGAAGAAGGUGAAGACUAAGAUGAAGAAAAUACAGAGCAAGUUACAGGGCAAGUGUGUCAGCAGUGCCAGCUCAGCUAACAGCUCAGCAGAUUAGUUAAAGAUGGUUGUAAGCAUGAUGUGCAUUGUACUGAAGUUAGUUAGCUUUGAUUACAGUUAGUCUUUGGAUUAGUUAAAUGAAGUUACCGUGAUUGCAUUGUAUAUAAACAGGUGAUGCUUUGUAAUCAAAAGUUAAGCAAAAUAAAAAUCAAAGUUUGUUAAGGAAAUAUCUCCAGAAUUAUCAAUUCAUUUUCUUAGUAACCAAACAACUUUAUUUCAUUUUUCUUUCACUGAUCAUAAAGUGCUGCCGACAUUCAAACCAGUCGUUCCCAAUAACCUUGGUAGAGUCGAAUGAUGCAUCUCCUAUUGAUAUAUCAAACCUUUCCAGCUUUUUGGAAAAAAAGCCAUCCGGUAAAAUGCUAUCGUUUUUAACAUCUAUUUCUAAAGUGGUCAAUCGCCUCAAAUGCAUCAAUUCGUCGAGGGUGGCAUUACUUCUUUCACUAUUGGCUUUUUCAACUUCCCAUUCAACAGGGGAAUUACCCAUAUACAGUUCUUCCAAUCGAGUGAAGCUUGAUAAGAUGUUGGGCAAAAUAAAUUUUAGUUGCAAACAAUCUCUUAAAUCUAGCAGCCUUAACUUAGUCAGUUGACCUAGUUCGUAAGGCAACCGUACAAUAUCAGACCUUAAAAAGCUAAGGAUUUCUAGAUUCUUCAACUUCCCAAUUAUGGCUAUGUCUCCCAACAUGCUUUGUACUAGACACAGUGUUUGAAGAUUUGCUAGAAGAUCGAUUGAAGAUGGCAAUGAAAAUAAUCGCAUUCCUGUCAAAUCCACAACUCGAAGCUUUUUCAUCCCUUUGAAAAAGUUCUCAGGGAUAUUGAGCUCGACAAAAGAGUCUUUGGGAUGAAUAAGUAAAAAUUCAAGUUGCGGACAUUCCAAUUCCUUAGAAACUUCAUGAAUGCUACUAUACAGUAAAGAGAUUGCAGAGCAUUUUUUAAGUGCAUCCUCAUCUGGCCACUCCCACACAACCUCACUUCUCACCAAGAAAACAUGUUGUUCUCGACAUGCAAUUGAAAUGGCAACAUCGCAGACAACAUCAUGCAUAGAAAAUUGUUCAUUACUAUCACCCUCAAGCAAAAAACAACAAUCUCUAAGUUCAUGGAGCAAUGCAUAUAAUUUGUUUCGUGCAUCUACCAUCCUGUUGACUCCUUGAAAUAUGCCCAAACCCAUAGAGUACCUAAACAAGUCUAGAAACCAAAAACUGUUACCUAUUAGACUACAGAGAAGAAAAUUUUUCUUGAGUUGCUCACCUUUUAAAUACUUGAAACUCAGCUCAAUACUUGAAUAAGUCUCUGCAGGCACACCUUCGAAGUUUACCAUUGAAGGCGUUUGGAGUUCUCGCAAGGCAUUCUUCCAUUCAUGCAGAGUCUUGUUUCUCAGUGCCCUUGCCACUGUAGUCAAGGCAAUGGGCAAACCUCCACAUGCCUGGGCUACAUUAAUUGCUAUAGACUUGAACUUACAAUUGUCAACAUCAUCACCAAUCAUUAUCUUAAACAAUCUCCAAGCUUCUUCUUCAUUUAGAUUGCCAAUCAAAAAGUUAUCUUUGGAGCCCAUACUUAAUAGUACAUUAUUAUCUCUUGCUGUGAGCAAUAGUCUACAUCCUUUAUGAUCAUUUCCAAAAGGAAUUCCAAUCGUCUCCAAAUCAAGAUGUUUCCAGAUAUUAUCUAGAAUCACAAGAAUCUUAUUCUCAUUCUUCAAUCGUUCAUACAGCCUGCUGGCUCUUCUAUAUUCAGCUUCAUCGGACAACUCCAGACCUAACUUCUCUGCAAUUUCCCCUUGUAUCUUUUUUAUGUCUGGAGUUUGUGAAACCUCUGAAAAAACCACACGAUCAAACAGCUUCUUUUCCCUGGCUUGCCUAGCAAACUCCUUCACCAGUGUCGUCUUUCCAAUGCCGCCCAUGCCGUACACCCCAAUAAUGCUGACGUUCACAUCAGUCAACACAUUUUGUAUAGACUUCAAAGUAGAAACUCUUGAUUCGAAGGCCUCGUAACCUUUGUUAGACUUAAGCCAUAUCUCCUCCGGAAUGGCACGGUGGGAAACGAUAUCAAACUUCUUAACUUCUUCUCCAAGUUCAACAAGGGCCUUCACCUCUGUCUCUGCUUUCUUGCUAAGCUGAUAGCGGGUCUUCAAAUUAGGACACAAGCCCUUGAGACAGCGCUUAUUUGUUGACUCUUCAUCUUCAACGAAUUUGGCUGCCCGGUCAAUGAUGCCGUUAGCACUAACCAGCCACUUCUCAACCUUCUCUUCAAUCUCUUCCCCUUUUUCUUUCGCCUCUGAAACUCUGCGCUGAAUGCUCGUACGUUCAACCUUCAACUUCUCCAUUUCCGCCUUGAGAUUCUCAAGGUUGGCAUUGUAGUUCCGCUUGCGCAAAUAAACAAGUUGGCGUUCUGUUGGAGGAGCCAAGCAUUUUACAAGUUCCAAAAUGAGAGUAACAAUGAUUUCCAGCAUCUUGAAUCCUGACAACAAUGUAGAAAUGAAGAAGGCCAAAGGACAGUAAGAACAGAGAGACAACGAUACGACAAGCAGUUAUGGAGCUAAAAAUAAAUAACAAACAAACAGAAGCAAAGUGUUUUUCGAAUGAGAAGAAGGAAGCAAGAAAAGGGUUUCUAUUUAGAUUAAGAAUGAAUGUAAAGAAGUGACAAAGAUGUCACAUAAUGUAAUUAAGUACUGAAUCCAAAUCCUAUCCUAAAUGGUUAGAUAAAAAUAAGGGAAUGAAAAGAGUAAUGGUAGAUUAAUUUAUGAGGCCAAUUAACGAAACGACAGAUCUGGUUUCCAUGUUUGUAAUUUAAGUGUAUGAGUACGAGGUGAACCAACUCUUUGUCGAGUCAAGCAAUUAGAAGGAGAAAUUACUAAAACAAGAACCAGCAACUUUUACUCACACAAGAGCUAAUAAUGUAUUGAGAUUGUGCAGAGUAAUACAAAACCUUAAAACUAGUAUAAUAAAUUUGUCAUCAAGUUUUAGCCUUCUUCUUCAACCAAUUACAGCACUAUCUUGAGCUCUGAGUUUCUUUUUUUAAAAUUUUUCAAAAGAUCUUUGUCAUUAGUUUUUCAAUGAUAAAAAUUAUAUUUUUAUCUCAUAAAAUAUAAAAUUUUAAAAAAAUCAAACAUAUAUUAUAGGUUUGUUUGAGAUUAUUUUUAAAGGCUCAAAAGUCACUUUUUAAAGUUAAAUGUUAAUUUUGGUAUUUGGUAAAAUUUUUAGAAAUCACCUUUGGUAAAAUCACUUAUCCCACAACAAAUUUCGGAAAGCAAAAAAGGAAUAGUUUGUCAAAAUCUAAUUUUGAUAACCAGUUUUAUACUUAAUAUAAUUCUAUAUACAACCUUAUAUAUAUUAUAAAAAAAAAAUAUCCUUAUUAUUUAGGAAAUAAAAUUAUUAAUUUUAAAGAUAUUUUAACAAUUACAUUGAGAUAACAAAAUAAAAAUAAAAUUAAUAAUAUAAAAUAUCUAUUUCUGUUAUCAAUUAUUAUAUAUACAAGAUAAAAAAAAUAUGUUAUAUACAUGUUUAUAAAUGUAUAAAUAAAUUUUAUCUAACAUUAUGUUCAAUUAAGUCAUUUACAUUAAUAGCACUUUUACAAGUAAAUUUUCCUAAAUGUUUAACUGAUUAUCUUCACAGUGAUUAUUUCCACAACAUAACUACCAGAAAUUAUUGUAAAAGAUACAACAUUACCAAAAAAAUAUUGAGGUACAUUUUAAUUAAGUAAUUGACUUAAUUAUGAAUCAAUUUAUUAUUUUCAUCUGUGUUAUCUAAACCAGCUCAUUAAUGAGAUCACUCUUUUUCUUAAAUAAAAUAUUCCUGCCAAACAAUUGUUGCAAAAUUUCAAAUAUAAAUUACAAACAGCAAAAUUUUCUAAAGUCAUAACAAUUAUUUAUGUUUUGAAGGGUCCAGCUAGCUUGCAACCGUGAUUUGGUACCCCAUUUUUUGUCUUUUUGUGAUCCAACCAUUAGAUCCAACCCAAAAGUUGUAAAAGCUAUUCCAACGGCAAGGAUGCAAUUACUUAGUUAUUAACGCUGAAGCCCCUCUUGUUUCAUAAAAAAAAGAAAAGGUUAAAUUUCAAGAUUUUGACACAUAAGUCCAUCAAAAUAUUUUAUGAUUUUUAUAUGAGUCCAGGUAAUUUAAUAAAUGAAUAUAUUUAGAUAUACAAAAAUAUGGAUGGAUUAUUUUAACUUGCUAAAAUACUCCCCACAUCCAUUUAUUUAAAAUAUCAAUUACAAAAAAUCCCAUUUUUUAGUAUAAUUUUUUUAAAAAUAAAAUACCCAUUUAAUGUUUUACCAUUUAAGAUAGUGUUACUUAUAAGGAUAAAUAAUUAUUUUAACUAAAUAAAUGAAACUUAACUUUUAUUUCUAUAAAUUUGCUCAACAUCAUAUAACCUUAUAAUUGUUAGCAUAAGAUAUAAAUUUAGUCUAAAAAAUUUAUUCAAAGGGUCCCCUUAGGGCAAAAAAUUAAUUAUCAUAUGAUAAUUUGGUUGGCACAAACUCUAUUAUUCUUAAUUUACUUAUCCAUGCCAAACACUAUAUUGGAAUUAAAUUUUAGUAAAAUAAACAUAUGUCAACAUCUUUAACCGCAUUCAACUGACCCUAAUUGUUUAGAUUUUGUUAUAGAGAGCAAGAUAUAGUUCUUUUCUUAUUAUAGUAGUAAAAAUAAAUAAAAAUAAACACAAUAGAUUUCUUUUAAGAGAAUGCAAGCAUUAUUUUUAUGAGAUUUUGUGUUCAAGAAAUUAAUCUAAUUAUGUGGUUAGAAGACUCUCUAUUUUGUGAUAUUUUAGAAGAAUUAUAUGUUGGAUAAAUGAAUAAAUUAAGAUCAAAGCAAAACAAAAAUGAUUGAGAAGAAAACCGAGAGAGAAUAAUUUUUUAAAUUUUAAAAUUUUCAUUUUUUAAUUGGGGUUUAUUUUGUAAAAUUAUUGCAAUUUAUAGUUUUUAAUAUUACCAAAAACAGUAGAGAUUGCUAAAGAAAAUGCCAAACAAAUUUUUUAGAAUUAUAAAAUUAUUAUAUUUUAAUUAGGGCUUGUUGUGUAAAAUUUUUAAAAUUUAUAGUUUUUAUUAUUUACCAAAAACAAUGAGGAUUGUUAAAGAAAAUGUCAAAAUUGGGUGUUUGGUAUAACGGAGGCAAAGUAGUUUCGUCCUGUUUUGAAUACAUGUAACUAAACCACAUUGAAAGUUGUCAAAACAGGAGGACCUAAUGUUAGUAAAAUUAUUUUUCAAGCAAAUGCAGUGACGAAUUUGGUUUCAUGUUUCACCCUCGAUAACUUAAUUUUCAUAUCUAACAAAUCAUCCAUAUUAUUAACAAUAUCAUCACCAACCAUAAUCUACCUAAACAUAAACUAAACAUAACACAUACAUAUAACUAUAUACAUACCGAAUCAGGAAAACAAUGAGAGCUACACGUAUCCGGCUCCACAAUUCCUUGUUGAUACCCUUGUGCUUCUAAAAUUAUCAACCAAUUAUAAAAAUUAGCUUAGGCGCAACUUUACCCCUUUUUUUUGGAAAACUUAACUAUAAAUAAAGUAUACAAAUCUCUAAAUUAACUUUUUUCCCAUGAAAUUCAGCAUAAAUAGAAAUAGAAUUAUAGAAAUCUUACUUCCUUUUAUGAGAAAUCCAACUUAUAUAUUUGAGACCUCUCUCUCUAAGCACGCGCUUCCUCUCUCUGUAUACUUUCCACCUUUAAAUUCUCCUCAUUAAAUCUGUCUAAAUGAAUUUAGCAGUCUCCCAGUUUCUUUAGCAUUUUUCUCCGUGAAAAUAAGUGAAAAGCGAAAGUGAUUUGAUUAUUUUAAUGUAUGACAGAUCUGGUUUCCCAUCUCCGUAAUUUAAGUGUAUCAAAUUGUCGAGUCAGUCAAAUAUAAAAGACAAAUUACUAAACCAAGCAGAGCCAAAAAAAAAAAAAAAUUCCAAUUAAAUAAUCAUCAAGUCUUUUUCAAUUAAAAUAGGGAGUGCAGAACAACUGUCGAGAGAUAAUCAUUGUUUAUGGAGCCAUAUUAUAUUUUCGAUUAAAAUAUUUGCGCGUGAACAAUUGGCAGAAUUCGUAUAAAUUGUUGUAAGGUCUAUUAUAAUUAACAAGCGGAAUGGCCAAUGGAUGAAGAACCACUGUAAUUUCGUUUAUGAAUUUAAAAUGCUAAAGAAACUGGACAUCAACGCUAAAUGUUAGCCUGCGGUCCUUGCCUCAGUUUCUUUCAGGCGUUACUCUGGGUAGUUGAUAUACUGACCGUCCCUUUAUCAAUUAAUAAUCGAAAUAGGUUAAAAUAUGAAUGGAUUGGAAUGGUAUGACUUGGAAAUGGGAUGACAAUCAGAUUAAUUUAUUCAUUUAAACUGAGAAAUUAGAAUCAAAAUAAAUUAUAUUGUUAUUGAUAUAUUUACUUUAUCUUAAAAUUAUGAUAAGUUGUUACGAGUUAUUAAUAUGCCUUAUUUUUUAUUAUAAUAAUUAUUAUUUAUUAUAACAUUUUUCAUAUAAUAAUAAUAAUAAUAAUAAUAAUAAUUAAUAUUGAAAAAAUUUUAUUGUUAAUAAUAAAGUAUCAUUAGAGUACUAGACAAGCUCACCACGUCUAAGCUAAGUGAAGAAAUAGACUUCAUCAACAAAGCUUUUGUGAAUAUGCGUUACAUUACAACUGCGAUAUCCUUUCACUGUAUAUUCAUACAGUGGCAGGCCAUGUGACAUUGUGACCCAUGUGCUAGCUUUCACUAGUCAUAUUAUUUUUUUACACGGUGUUUAACAAAAUCUUCACGUAAAGAUUUCAGACGCGUGAUCCUAAUUCAAUAUGCAUUAUUUAUUUAUUUAUAAAAUGAAAAUAAAAAGAUAAAAGGAUGUGACUUAACUUGCUAUCAGUGCGGAUCCAGGACUUAAUAUUAUUUCGGGUUAAAUUUUAAAAUUUAUAUUUUGAAGUGAACAUAAAAAUUUAUAAAUAAAAAGAAGUAUAUUAAAUGAGGGGAGACAUGGAGAGCUUUAUCCCUAUGAAUAUGUAUUAUAAACAAAAAUAAUUAUAAGAAAAGAAUAGAAACCAAAAGGCAAUUCAAAUAUCAAAACACUAUUUUUCAAUUAUGAAAUCCGACAUUGCAACCUAAUAACAUGUAAUUAUAUAAGGAUUAAUAAAUCAAUUAAGAAUUUCAAACUAAAUUAGAUCAGUACAUGUAAUUAAAAUUAAUUAAAGAUUUCAAGUAAAACUUUUAUGUUUGAAGUCAAGUACUAAAUUACCAAGCUUAAAUAAAUUUAAAAAAUUAAAAUUCAUUCAUUCUUUCGAAUUAUAAAAGUAUCAUUAGUCAAAAGUUUUAGUAAUAAACUAAACUCAAUUCAACAAAAAGUUAUUUGGAUAUCGUUGUUUCAUUGCCAGUGCACUGACUUUCUUUAUAGAAGUAUAUGUUAAUGAUUCUUCUAUUAAAGCUCUUCAAAAUACCUAAAUUUUAUUUUCUAACUUCUUCUCGUAGUUAAUGUAACUAAUAAAUAGAAUCUGAAAAUUCACAUAAAAUAUUUAUGAAAAUGUUGAUAAUUGUUACUAUAUGUUGUUUUCGUAAGUACUUUUAAUGCUAGUAACGAUGUUAUAUUACAUUGAUUUAUAUUUUUUUCAAUUAGAAGUUUUUUAAAAUAAAUUAAAGCAAUAAUAAUAUUUUAGCUCCCUAAUGUUUUCAAUCUAUCCAAUAAGUAUAUAAUUUAAUCAUUUUAUAAAAUAAGUCACUAAUUUCAAUUGGAAAUAAUACAAUUGAAUUAGGGACAUAUUUGAAUAUAAAAUAAUAGCUCAAUUGUUAUACUAAAUUGAUGAAAAUAUAAGGGUAAUUGAGUUAGGAAAAUAUUUGAAUAUAAAGUAAAAACUUUAUUGUUAAACUAAAUUGAUGAAAACAUAAGAAUACUUGAGUUAGGGACAUAUAUGAAAACAAAAUAACAACUCUAUUAUUAUAAAAAAUUUAUAAGAAAACAAGGUGUAUAAAUGAUUUUUUCUGUUCUAGACCAAGCUACAGCCUAGUCUAGCCAGCUGUAGGUCUCCCACUACUUGCUAUUUACAUACAGACAUGUGGCCCUUAUUCUAAUAUCUAUAGGAAAAGACACCUAUACUCCAAGAUUUGAAGAAAGAUUUGAAGAAAUAGUCACGUAGAUCUCUAAGUUUUCAGUAACCACAAUUUCUCUUUGACUAUAAUAUUUUUUGUACUUAGAAAAAAAAAUGACUUUAGAUUUUUUUAAUAAAUAUAAAUAUAAGUUAAAUAGUUUAAUUUGUCUAAUAGACUAAUAAUAUUAGAAUAUUUUUAAUAUAUAAAAUAAUUUUUAAAUAAAAAAUAUUAUAUUUAUUUUAAUAAUAUAUUUUUAUUUAUCAUAAAAAUAUUAAAUAAAUCUUUGGGGUUAAAUAGAAUUUAAAAUUAAUAAAACACAUCUCAUUAAUAAAAUAUAUCUCAUGUACUAAUAAUAUUGAAAUUAUUUUAAUAUAAAAUUUAUUUUAAAAUAAAAAUAAAUUUAGAAUAUUGAAAAAUUUUAUAAAAUUUAUUUUAAUAUUAUGUUCUUAUUUAUUAUAAAAUUUAGUCUAAUAUAAUGUAAGAUUGUAAAGUAUAAAAAUAUUUUCCUAAAUUGAAGUUGUUUUAAAAUGUUAAUAUUUUAUGUUUAUUUCAAUAUUAUAUUUCUAUUUAUUAUAAAUCAUAGGAGUCAAUUUUUUUCAGUUAAUAGAAUCAAAGGGUAUUAUAGUCAAAAGAGGUAUUGGUAUUCCUUAUUAAAAAUUUAGGCGUCUACAUGACUAUUUCCCAAACCUUAGGGUGUAACUUUCUUUUCUCCAAAAUUUAUGAUUCUCUGUAGGUAUUUCAUGAAGGAAAACGAUAUUUACACUGAAUCAAAUCCCGAACUAAUUAAAAUGCACUAUUUCAGCUUAAAUAAUGGUAAAUAUUUGUUUAGUCUCUAUAUUUUGAAUUAAGUACCGUUUAGUCCCUCAAGACACCUUUUUCAGUAAGCACAAUAUAAUCCUACCCUUACUUUUUCUUUGAUUCUAUAAUAACAUGCUUGCAACAAUAUUUUUAGAUAUGUUAAUGUAAAGAAAAAUUUAAAUUUAUCAAAUCAGCCUUAAAAGAAAAAUACAAAUUAGUUGUUAUUAUUAUUAAUAAAAUAAUAAAAUAAUAAAAUAAUAAUAACAAUAAUUAACAUUAAUUAAAAUAAUAAAGUUAAUAUAUUAUAUAAAAAAUAAUAUUUACAUUUAUCAAUUUUUCAUGUGUUCAAAAUUUUUUAUGUGAUAUUACAUUAUUAUCUUUACACCAUCAAUCAUUUUUAUGAUCAAGUUAGGCUAAUGGAUCAAACUUUAAAAAAUUUAAAACAAUAGGAGUUAUAUAAAUAAAUAUUUAAAAAAUUUUGUUUUUAUGAUAUUAUAAUAAACGGUAGAGACUUAAGUGUUAAUAACCAAUUGAACACGUUGAACACUUUAGCUAUUAGAUCUGGCUAAAUUAGAAAAAGACAAAAUUUAGGGUACCGUGCAACUGUUGCAAGGUAGGCGGACCCGUUAUAUUUAAUAUAGAAUAAAUAAACUAAAUAUGUGUAAAGAAUCUAGGUUAGUAACCUUGCAAUACUUCAGAAAAUUAUAAAAUACAAAAGGUGAAAUUUCAAAAUAAGGAAUUGUAAAAAGUGUUAGGUUCUAAAAUUUUAUUAUUUUAAUAUUACAAAAAUUUACUUUUUUAUUACAUUUUUAUUUUUAAUAUUAGUUGACAUUUUAGUUUAUUUGUAUAUAAUAUAUGUUAAUUUACCUAUAAAAUACUAAUAUUACUCUUGAAAUUUAAAGAAGUCAUUUUAAUUUUUAAAAAUUUUAAAUGUAGCCCAACAAAGUCAUAGAAAUAUAAAUAAAGAAUAACAUAAAAGGAAGUUAAUUUAAUUUUUUUAAGAAUAUUUCAAAAGCAUUUGAGUUUUAUGUUUCUUGAGAAUUAUACCAUUUUUUUUUAGAUAUUUGAGCUUGUGAAACUUGUUGUAAUGAUAAUUUAUUAUUUAUUCUUGAUUAAAAAUAAUUGAAUAGUAAAUUUAUUGGCUUCUAAUUACUCUUUUAAAUGUAGGGUGGUUGCUUAAUUUUUAUUAUGUUUCCUUAAACUUUUUGAUGAUGGCUAAUCAACCAUUGCAAAAGACUCUACCUGAUUAUUGUUUCCUUAAACUUUUUGAUGAUGGCUAAUCAACCAUUGCAAAAGACUCUAGCAUGAUUAUUUUUACUUUCUCUACAUCCCUCUAGACCAUCAUCACUCAAAGAAUUAAGGGUUCACUUGGCAUACUGUAUUAUACUAUACUGUAUUGCAUUAUUUAAUAUGGGUAUAUUGUAUUAUGUUAUAUUACAUUAGUAAUAAAUUAUAAUAAUAUUUGUACAACAUUUGGUAAUUGGUAUUACAUUGUACUGCAUUAAUUUUAUAUUAAUAUUAAACUAACAUUAUUUAAAUUUAUUAUUAAUUAUAUUAAAUUAUUAUUUUUAUAUUAAUUAUUUUUAUAUAAAUAUAAUAUGAUAUAAUAAAAUAAUAUGAUAGUAUAAUUUACUUUUAUGUUUUUAUUUAUUAUAAUAAAAAUAAAAAUAUAUUUAAUGCUCAAUUAAGGUAAAAUAAUAAUAAUAACAAUAGUAUUACUUAAAAAAAAAUCUAUAAAGUUUAAUGAUGAUCAUGAUGUUGACGACAUUAAUAAUAACAUAACAAUUAAAAUAAUAAAACUAAUAAAUUUUAAUAAUGUUAAUAUUAAUAAAAUAAUAAUAACAAUAAUUAACAUUAAUUAAAAUAAUAAAGUUAAUAUAUUUUAAUAAUAGUAAUAAAAUUAAUAUUAAUGACAGUAAUAAAAUUAAUAAAUAAUAAUAUGACUUAAUUAAAAUAAUUAUAACAAUUAAAAUCAUAAAUUUUAACAAUAAUAAUAAUAAUAAUAAUAUUAUUAUUAUUAAUAUAAUAAUAAUGACAUUAAUAAAUAAUACUAAUAAUAACAUUCAAAUUUUUUUUAAAGCUAUUUUAUCCCAAAAAAGGGACUUAUAUAUAAAAUUUUGUAAAUUCUAGUGUCUAUUCAAAAUUUUCAUAAAAUAUAAGAUAGUGCAGUGUAAUUAAUAAAAAAAAGACAAAAUGAUAUGCUGCAACCGUUGCAACAUAUUUUCAUCCUUGUUUGUGAUCCUUAAUCAAUAAAAUAUCUGACAAUAUCUUCGCCAAAAGUUUAAGACAUGUGAUCCUUAUUCCACAGCGUCAAUGAAACUCCAGUCAAAUGCUGCCAUCAUUAUUGAACAGUCGAUAUCCAGCACGUGCACGAAGAUUCCAAGAAGUUGCAUGGCUAUCGACUUUUAGAUGCUAAGCCUCAUUGCGUUGAUGAUACACAAAACAGACGGUCAAGGUAAUUGCCAAAACUUAGAACUAAACAGUAGCUUAGUCAGAAAAUCAAACGCCAGUACCGGUAAAAUGACCGAUAAAAAUAUAAGGACAUAAAAAUUUUAAAGUUUUACUUUAUUGCUUUUUUAAUCUUAUUACUAUUUCUCCUUGCACUUCUAAAGAAACCAAAGCUUUAAAAGAAAUCAGCCAAAUCACAAAGAUUGAAGAGUAAAUCUAUGGUUUUAAAUUUUUAUUUUAUUUUUUUAGAUAAUAGAUAUUAUUUUGAUGAAUUUUUUAAUAUUAGAAUAAUGUUAGGAAUUCUAACAGUAGAAUUCUAACUUGGAACCCAAUUGAUAUGUGUCAUUUUUUCAUUGGAUAAUGAAUUUCAUCACUAGUAAAAUUAAUAUUUGGAUCAUCUAAUAAAUGACUACCAUAUCAAUUGGGACUCAAUUAUUGGGAUCCUUAAAAUUGCUCUUAGUAUUAUAUUGGACAUCUUAGCUAAAUCAAAUUAAAAAUUAAAUUAGAUUUUAGGCUUUAUUCAACAUCUCUUUUUGUCUUUUUUUUGGUCUAUUUGAAGUGAACGAAAUAAAAAUACAAUAGGGUCAACGACUGGGCAAUUGAUAGUCAAGUAGAAGCAAAUCAAGGCUAAAUGGGAAAGAGAAAUUAUAUUAGUGCAAAACAAGGAGAAAAACAGUGUAACAGAAGAGAAUCAAAGUGCUUUUGAGAUCAGAAAUUGAAACAAGAAAAGGGUCGCUUGAUCCAAUGAAAAUGCAAAGAGCUGACGGCAAAAGGGAAUAAAGUUAAAUAAGAAAAUAGCUAGCGCUAGCAGCAACCACAAUAAACAGAAAAUUUGAGAUGGAUUUACAAUAUUUCUGCCUUUCUUCAUGCUUUAACAAAUAUUGCUUUAUAAAAAAAAAGAAAUUGAGCGUUUUUAUUAUUGGAGUCACAAAAGACCUACACAAUAUAGCAAGUGACUGGGAAUAAAUAAAAAUAUAUAACUGAUAAGUGCAUAUUUUCCAUAUAUUUUGUUAUUAAUUUCUCCAUCUUUUUCUUGAUUUGAUCUUAAAUAUUCUAGUUAUUUUAGUUAAUUUUUAAUUAAUUGUAUUAUUUUAUUGAAUAGGGAAUUAAUUGGAGAUUGUGGAUAAAAAGGGCAUGAAGAAAUUCAAAUUGAGAAGGAAUAAGGAUUAAAUUGGAAAAGGAUUUCAAUUAGAAUGGAAAAAGGAUUUCUUUAUUCUUGUUGGAGAAGAAUUCGGUCAACUAGCUUUAUAAAAGGGGAGCUGCUGGAUGAAAAAAAAGGAGGAGAAUAUUCGGCAGCCAAGAGGAUUUGAGGAACUAGCAGCCGAAAGAAGGAAAAGCAAGGGAGAAACCGAAAAGGAAUUGAAGAAAAAGGCAGCUGCUUGAAUUAAUCUCCAUGAUUGGUUUUGUCAAUUCUCUUAUUUCCAAUUCAAUUAUGUUAGGCUAGAUUUUUAUUUGGUUGAGGGUGAAUUCAAAACCCUAAACAUGCUAUGCAAUUAAAUUUAAAUUCUAUCAUUUAAUUUAUUUAAUUGAGAUUGUUUAUGUUCUUCUAUAAUUAAUGUUCAUGGUUUGUUCUUGUUUUAUUUGAGUGGCCAAUUAGAUAGGACUUGAAUAAAUUUUAUUGCUAGAUUAAAAUUCUUGAUCCGUAAUUAUCUUGAUAUUUUAAUUAUUAGUAACAUGUUGGAAUUAGUGAUUUCAAUUAAAGAACAUAACCUAGGUUAAAUAAUCCGAGCUUGUGUGUUUAUUGCCUAGAUCAACCUAAUAUCUUUCUCUGUUUAAUGCUUCCAUUAUCUUAAAUUUAAAGAGCUUGUUUUAAAUUAUUUAAUGGUUAGAGAUUAGGUGAAGAGCUUAUUUUGCCUAACGACACACUAAGGAAAGAUUGAGACUAACAGAGCUUAUUGUUGUCUACGGUUGAUAGUUUUAAUAUAAAUUAAUGAUAGAAUUGAUAUAUUAUGUGCAUGUUUGGUGGUGGCGAAUGAUCCUUUAACCAAAGUUUUCAUCAUUAAUAUUUCUUUCUCCUUUAAUUAGAGUUUUUAUUAAAUUCUUGUUCGUAGUUUUAAUUUCUUUACUUCUUACUAUUUAGUUAAAAAUUCAUAAACCCCCUCUUUUAUUUAUAAUUGGUAAUUUCCUUAGUUAGAUUAAUUUAUAUUAUUAUUACUACUAUUAUUUUAUUUUAAAUCUUGCUUUAGAGUUGAUAAUAAAUAUAACUACAUAGUCUUUGUGGGAUCGAUCCUUACUCGCUCUGUACUAAUUAUUUAUAUUAGUGGUAAGGUUAUAAAUUUGGUGCACCUUAACGACACUACCAAAUUUUUGUAACUCUCUCUCUAAUUCUCACUCUAGCUUUUAAUUGUCACUCAAAACCCAGAAUUCAUCCUUAAAGUGUAAGCAAAUCAGAGAUGACAACGUCUGGCUGUCAUACGUGCCUUUUAGUUUUCGGAUGACAUGGCGUACACUUCUUCUGUAAACCGAACACGACAUGUCGUACUCUUUGUUUUGAGAUCAUAUUUCAAACUCUUCAUGCUAUGAAUGAAAGAUAAACUACAAUCAUAAACAUAUUUAGUGUUUAUUUGGUAAUGUAACGUUAUAGUUGUUGUGAAUUGAAAUUAUUUCUGUAAAAUAAAAGGAAUAUUUAUAAUAGUAUAAAAGGAAUAUUAAUAGAGGAUGUAUUAAUAUAAAAUUUGUUUAUUGGUGUUGAAGUUAAUUAUCUCAUUAAUAAUACUAUAAAAAUUUUAAUUACUAAGAAACACAUAGCAGUAGUUAAUUGGUGUCAUAUUAUUGGGAUUCAGGGAUAUAAUUUUAUAUCAUAACUUUGUAAGUGUAUAAUUACUCAUUAAAUUAAGAAAAUUAUUUAAAAAUAUUUAGUUGGAAAAAAUAAAUUAUAUUCUUUUUAUUUCAAAUAAUCUAUAAGUUAACUCAAAACAUAAUCAAGCUGAGAAUUAAAAUAAUGCUACUAUAUGAGAGGAUUUUUAUUUUUUCCCGAAGUUUCACUAGGAAAUUAUUGAUAUAUAGCUUUAUUCGGAUCAUCUCAGUUCAAACAACAAAUAAUUGAAAGACUAAGCUAAAUAGACCAGCCAACAACUUUGUGCAAGAGAGUUCAAAAAUUAAGGUCAUGGUAUUGAGGUGUUCUGUCUUGAAAAGUACAGCAUAGUGAUAAAAUAAAAACUAUUAAUCUAUGGUAAGGUAUGACUUUUAAAUAAUAAUUUUCACAAAAAUACAAAGAAUAUUUAUAAAGUACUUCUAUAGUGAGGAGAUCCUUACUUUGUUAAAGUAAAAAUAUCAAUAAUAUAAAAAAACAUAUAUUUUAACACAUUAAGAACUGUAUUUUCUUAAUCUAUUGGUGUAUUGAAAUAUGUGUUAUUUAGUUUGUUAGUGACAUCAUCACUUUGUUAAAAUAAAGAUGUCGUCACUAGAGAAUCAUUAUAUAUACAUAUAUAUAAAGUGUUUCUCUCCAAAACCUAGACUUUAUUAAAAUUUAAGAAAGCAAAUAUAUUUUAUAUGGUAUAAUAGUGUAAUAACAUCACACAAUUAUAUCAUAUAGAGUAAUAGUUUUUGGAACUUUAAUAAAGUUCAAGAUUAUAGAAUGAAUGAUUUAUAUAUAUUAUAAUUUUUUUAUCAUAGAGUGGAGGACAAAAUUAACAUAUUUUCUAAAUUAUAAUAAGUAAUUAUCAAAUAAUUUAACAUUGUAUUUCUCCUAACUAGUAUAGUAAAUAUGACCUAGGAGGUACAUUCAAAGCAUUUCAUAAGUUAGUUGUUAAUAAUAAAUGAUACAUGCAGCUCCAAUCAUCAUUGUACGGUGAGUAAUUUCCAGUUAUAAAUAGAUAUUACUCCCUUCUCAGCAAUUUUUUAUGGCUUAAUUUAGUGGGAUCAAAUCAAAAUCAACAUUGAAUAGUCAAAAUAUUAAUGACCAAACAGACCCAGAUAGAAUAAUAUUAAAUGUAGUUAUCUCAAACAAGAUAGAAUAAUAAUUGAUAAGGUAGGUGUAUGAGUGUGUGUGAUGUGUACUCUUUAUGCCAUUGUGUAUAUAUAUAUAUUUGUUUUUUUUUUCUAUUUCGCGUGGUUCCACCAUGCAUAAUUGAAGGGCUUCAAAUUCUUAAACGUUCGGUCACCGAAAUUGAAAUCCCAAUGGAACAAGUAAUUAAGCAUGUUAAUUCAACAAGAUUCACUCCCUUUAUUACUUAAAAGUUAUUUUCGCUUUUGAUAUUGAUACUUAUUUUUACAUUUGCAUGCACUAGGGCAGACGCGAAGCUAAAGGUGGGCUAACCCAGGCAGCAGCCUCGGUUAGCUUUUUGAAAAAAAAUAAUUAAUUAUAAUUUAUAAAUUUAUUUUAUUAAUAUAUAUAAAAAAUAAAAAUAAAUCUAAUAUUUGAUAAUAUUUUUCUUAUUUACAUUGUAUUUUUAUAAUUUUAUGGUUAGAUUUUUAUGUAUAUAGUGUGCUUAAUUUCGUUUAUAUAAAACAAAUUUUUUGAAAAGUAAAUUUCAUUUUUUAAAAAAAUCUAGCCCACCCAAAAAAAUACGCUAGCUUCGCCACUGCACUAGGGACAUAUUAAUCAGGUGGGUUAUAUUACAACCAGAGGAUUUAAAUUUGAUUUAAGAUAUGUGGGGUCUGCUUUUGGAUUUAGAAAAUUUGCCCAUUAAGAGUUGAAACCAAGUGACCUACCGUUAGAUUAGAUUAAUAGUGAUUUCUUGUAGUAAACAUUUGUGAAUUUGAAAUAUGUGAAUUCUAUCCUGGUGAUACAAAACAAGCUUCUUGUACACGAGAACUAUUUGUUUUUAUGAUUUGGAAACCAAUCUAUAAAGAUGAAUUAAGUUGGCAUAAUGGUACAAAGCAACUUUAAUUUUUCAAUAAAUUCAAAAGUUGGCAGGUUGGUUGUGAUUAUUAUCUUUUCUUUUUUACUAUUUAAACUACAAUUAAUUGAAUCCAAAGACUAAAGGGUUGGAUCGAGAAGAAACUAAUUUUAAGUAGACAUUCCGGCGAAAAUCACUCCCAUGAUCGAGACACUCAUGCAAUCAAUACAAAAAAUGGACACAAAAAUUGUCUACUUAAGUUUGGUUGAAUGAUUUUAAAAAUAGUUUUAUUUGUUUCACACUCGAAUUUGUAUUUUGAAAAAGAGUGGGAGUUAAAAAUUGAUUUACACUUUAUCAAUUACUCUAUUUUAAAAAGAAAUAAAUAUUAAAAAAAUAAAAACAUUAAUUUCUUGUUUGUUUGUACUUACCAUUGUAGGAUAAAUAAAGUGGUUGACAAAAAUUAGAUAUCUUAAAAAUAAAUUCUAAAUUUAUAACUAAUGUAUAAUGAUUUCAAUUCACAUGUUUCAAUCCCAAAUAAAUUCUCCUUUGGUUAUUUGAAUCUUAGCACGGUAAGAUUUCAUUCUCUUGUAUGCAUUUGUGUAAACUUCUCCCUUUACCUUUAUCAUUUUAUCAACUGUAUUGAUUGCCAAACAACUUUAGGGUUUAGGCAUGAAUCACACAAGGGAAUGAUAUUGUGGCAAUUUUUUCCCCCUUCUUUCUUCUUUUUGAAAAAAAAAAUUAAUUAUAGCUUUGCUUUGAUGGGUAGAAGACUAGAAGACCAAUUAAUUUCUUUUUGUUGCGUGGUGAUAAUAAUGGUGAAAAUUGCUAUGUGCGUGUUGGUGAUUGCAUUGCUAAUCACAUAUUGCUUCCCAUCAUGGAGACAAAGGGGACCCCUCUAUCAAAGCUAGCUGUUGAAAUAUCAUACCCAAAAUCACAUGAAUUCAAAGGUUGAAUGGGAAAACGAUCUUGCUUCUUUGUAUGUUUUAUUUUAUUUAAAGACUUAUUUUUCCCAUAAGAGAUAAGCUUGGAUCUAUCUUUCCUUUUAAUCAUUUUAGCCUCCAACUCCCAUCUUUUUCAAAAGUUUCGUUUAGCCCAUUUUGAAUGGCAAGGUAAGCUUCAAUCAACGCUACAAGUUCUAGUGAUUCCCGUCAAUAUUCGAUUGCAUGUAUGUAGCUUUGAAUGCUCAAAUUUAUUUUAUUUAUUAGUUGUUAUCACUUAUCAUUUUCUUUUUAAUAAUGAGAUUUGGGCAUUUUCUUUUUAAUAAUGAGAUUUGGGUCCCUAGAUGGUGAUUAGCCAACAGUCUAGUUAUGAGAAAUUAAUGUCUUAAUUACAAUGACAAAAAAAGGCAAGUGGGGAUCUCAUUUGCCAUUAGGUAACACAACAUCUUCAGCAUUGGAGCUUUUCUUCCUUUCUCUCCUUCUUUCUUUCUUUCUCAAAAUAAUUGAAAAUCUAAUGCAAUACAAUUAAAUUGAUCAACGAUCUAAUUUAAUCAAUACAUUAUAUUAAGAUAUUUAAAAUAAAAUCGGUUCAAAUGGAAUGAGAAAUUCUACUCACAAAAUAACAACAUUUAUUCCCGAAUUCAAAUAACCUUGGAUUCCAAAUGCAUUCAAGACUAGCCAGGCUGCAUAUCCAAGAAGAAAACAAAAUCAAAACUUUAGCCACAAACAUAUACGUGUGUGUGUAUGUGUGUGUGUAUAUAUGUGUGUGUGUGUCUGUGUAUAUAGAGAGAGAGAGAGUUCUUUCACUAGGUUCAUUUGCGUGAAACUUUUUGAUCAUUUAGGUUUAAGACUAUAUCAUAUAUCCUAUUGCAUGAACAUUGAUUAAUAUGAAUGAGUCAAACCCACUAAGCUUGUAACAAAAUCUUUUCAUAGUUACUAGAGAAUAUUUAUAUUUUUUUCAAACAUUAAUAAAAUUAUUGAAUUGCUUUAUUUAUAGUAUGUAUACAAUUAAUAGUGUAUGGAUUUUUUUAUCUAUUGGUAUAUUGAAAUAUGUGUUAUUUAGUUUGUUAGUGAUAUCAUCACUUUGUUAAAAUGAGAAUGUCCUUACUAGAGAAUCAUUAUAUAUACAUAUAUAAAGUGCUUGUGCUUCUAUCCAAGACCUAGAUUUUAUUAAAAUUUAAUAAAGCAAAUAUAUUUUAUAUGGUAUAAUAGUGUAAUAACAUCACACUAUUAUAUCAUAUAGAGUAAUAGUUUUUCGAUUUUUUUAAAGUUCAAGAUUAUAGAAUGAAUGAUUUAUAUAAAUUAUAAUUUUUUUAUCAUAAAUGGAGGCGAAAAUUAACAUAUUUUCAAAUUAUAAUAAGUAUUUAUCAAAUAAUUUAACAUUGUAAUUUCUCCUAACUAGUAUAGUAAAUAAUAUGACCUAGGAGGUACAUUCAAAGCAUUUCAUAAGUUAGUUGUUAAUAAUAAAUGAUAUAUGCAGCUCCAAUUAAUCAUCAUUGUACGGUGAGUAAUUUCCAGUUAUAAAUAGAUAUUACUCCCUUCCCAGCAAUUUUUGAUGGCUUAAUUUUGUGGGAUCAAAAUCAACAUUGAAUGUCAAAAUAUUAAUGGCCAAACAGACCAGCUGCCAACAACUUAUUCCAAUGUGAGUAGUUCACAGUGGGUACUGCACAUGAUGCUUGUUUCUCCUUUUGCAUCUAUUUUUGUUGUUAACAUUAAUUUCAAUAGCAGCUCUUUAAUCCCAAUUGUUGAUUUGGGACUAGAUAAGAAUUUAUCUUGGAACUCCAAUUCUCCCAAUUAUUUUAGUUGACAAUAUGUUUAACAUUAUUUUUUUAACAUUAUUAAUUACAUAUUAUUUAAUUAUCAGUAUAUAAUAUUCUUUAAUUUUCUAAUUUUAUAGGAUUAGACACAAAAUUGAUUAUGCCUUUUGAAAUUUAAGGGUUAUGUCAAUUGAAUAGAAAACUUGGAGUUAAACUUGUGGAUGUUUUUGUUGAUUAUCAAUUUAUGCAUGAAUUUUUGUACGUUUAUUUGGCUUAUUAUUAUUACUUUUAAACAUUUUUAUUGGUUUGAUUUAGGGUCAGUUUGGUAAUUCUAUAGCUUUUAAAAUAAUUACAGUUAGCUAUGCUGUAGAAAUUGAUCAAUCGUCAAGAGAAUCAGCUGAACAUUUAGUAAAAUUUAUUUUUAAAAGUACUUUUAGUUUUAAAAGCGUCGCAUGUGUUUCGUAAGUUAUAUACAUUGCUGAUUCUAUAUUAAUAAUGUUAUGUUCUAUUUUCAGAAAUUAUAAUACAAAAGUUUUUACAAUGGCGUGCAUCUACAAACUGAAUUGACUUGUAGAAUAAGAGCUUGGAGUAGUGUUAUGUUCUUGAAUAAAUGAAAGUUCAUAUGGUGUAAGAGCAUGUAGAUGUAAAGUGUCAUUACCAUUUCUAUAAAGGACUUUCAUUCUGUUCGGAUGCUCCUCUUGAACUCUGAAGGGUGCUUCAUUCAUAACACACAUAAUUUAUGCCAGGGAAGAGAAGAUGCCAAAAAAGUUGAAGGUGAUCAUUCAUAACUUUUCAGAAAGUUGUUGCAAAACAGAAAUCACCCAUCACGAUCGGUCGUACAAGUGUCUGCUACGAGUGCAGCAAAACGUUUGUCACGCUAGUUGUGCUAAAUGGACCUCUCCUGUGUGCCUCUAAAAUCAAUGCAUGUGAUCAUGUCGGUGAUUCAAUGGCUGGUGGGGAUGAGUCCACUCAAAUUCUGAAACUAAUCAGGUGAAAUAUAAACCCUUUUUGUCUCCUUCUUUAAUUGUAUGUUUUACUAUCCAUGUUUUACCCAAAAAAAUUGUAGGUUUACACUUUGCAAUCAAAUUUUGUAGUUGUGCUUUUUUCUUGCUUUUAUCCUAAUAAGCAAAAAAUCUAAUUAAUCCUAAUUAAAGGUGUUUUAAAAUUUAAAUAGAGAAAGUACCAUUGAGAUUUGAGAGAAAAUGAAUCGAUUGAUUUACUUCACAGUAUGAAUACACAGAGAGUUCGCUUGCUUUAUAUGCAGUAAUCUAACCAACUUGUUAACUAAGCUACUAUUCCCAGCAAAUCAAGCUAACCAAUCCCACUACUCAGCUUGUCUACUACAGAUCACAGAACCACUUGGGCUGAGCCGUAAUUCCAUGUCAUCAGUCUGUGCAACAACCUCAUUGAUCACUUGUUGUGCUGACUAUCGAACAACAGUGUGCCUCUUUAACAUAAUAGACUAAGCUCGUAUGCAUAGGAAUGGAUCUUUUAUUAUUGUCAUUAACUAUCUGUCCCUAAGGGUUUGGUUGAGUGAUUUAUUCCUUUAGUUGGCCCUCCCAAUCUUUUGGAUUGUUAUUGUCAUUAAAUAUCGGUCCCUAACUGCGUGAUGUAAGUACUUUCUAGAAGAUAUCUAAAUGGUAAAGCGACAUUACCAUUUCUAUAAAGGACUUUCAUUCUGUUCAGAUGCUCCUCUUGAACUCUGUAAUUCAGAUCCUAGCUAUAACUACUAGCUUUGAUUAAUUAAUUUCCUGUACUAGCUGAAACAGAUUUAUUUAUUUAAAUAAUUGUGUAUGUACUAAUUAUAAU
This 110543-nucleotide long non-coding RNA is filed under the name Citrus maxima (pomelo). Its description in RNAcentral is "long non-coding RNA (CMAX_LNC001322)". The stretch from base 42077 to 42183 matches the Rfam family "Plant small nucleolar RNA R71". The record is from RNAcentral. Lineage: Eukaryota; Viridiplantae; Streptophyta; Magnoliopsida; Sapindales; Rutaceae.